RNAcentral lists this long non-coding RNA (90868 nucleotides) under Ananas comosus (pineapple). RNAcentral's name for it is "long non-coding RNA (ACOM_LNC030645)". The record is from RNAcentral. Lineage: Eukaryota; Viridiplantae; Streptophyta; Magnoliopsida; Poales; Bromeliaceae.
GGUUUCUAUAUACGAGAGAAGAUCAAAACCUAGUUUUCUAGGGUAUAAAAUCAAACCUUAUACCUAUUGUUACAAAACACCUCACCUUAACCCAAAGCUCUCCAAUGUCCACCUUGUAGGAGAGAUCCCAAGCCUUCAAAACCACCAAAAAUCCCUCCAAAGCCUUCUUCUCCUUCACCUCCUAGCUCUUGGAAGUGAUCUCUAAAGAGAGAAAGAGAGAAAUGAGAGAAUAGGUGUGUGUUGGCUGUGGAAGAGGGAGAGAGAGGUGUUGGGGUGUUUUAUAAGGUGCUACAAUUGCGUCUAGGUCCCCAAUUUCUUUUUAUUUGCAGCAGACCAAAUUGGUGCUGUUAGACCAAAGUGUACCGGUACACUUUGUUCUGUCACUGAUUACACGAUCACGCAAAGGCAAACCCGAGCGCACGUUUCUCGGUUACGCAAGAUUUGUACCGGUACACUUUCAAAGGUACCAGUACACUUCGGAUUUUUCUCUCAAACCCGAGAGCAAGCUCUUCUUGGUCUGCAGGGCUGUACCGGUGACAACUCAAUCGUUGUACCGGUACACUUUGCCCAGAAUGCUGGUUUUGCGUCGUUUUCGAUUCUAUUUCGCGCCGGUCGAUGUUAAAAUCCUUUUAACUCUUUUAGAACUCCUUUUCAACCCUUCCAACAUUGUUGGAAUGUCAACCAGACUUUGUCCAUCCAUUUCUCUCGGCAUUUUAACCAAUUUGGCUAAAGUUCGAUAAUCGCUAUCGAGCUUUCGAUACAUUACAUAUUUUGUAUUUGAAACUAAUCCAAAUCAUCCUAUGUAAUAUUUAUUUUCCAUUUCAACUUGGUUUAACAUAGAAUACAAAUUAGUUUAACUAGAAUGUAGUUAGAUAUGUAGUCAAGGCAAUUAAACUGAUUACAUUCAUAAACUGUUUAUGUUUUGUAGUGUUUGGUUUGAAGAAAAAAAAAUAGUUUUUCAUCAAUAUUUAUUUUCUUUGAAAGAAAAAAAAUAAAUGAAAAGUGCUCUAUAUGCAAGAAUUUUUAACUUUUUUGGUUGGUCCCUAACUGAAAGAUGUUUUAGAAGUCUUUUGAUUUUAUUGUCUGACUAACCUGAUUUUUUUUUUUUUUUUUGCAGAAAUUUCAAAAAAAGGAAGAAUUGGUGUUUAAUUCUGAGUGAAUUCAUAAAAUAAGUUGAAGAACUCGUAGAAAACUUUGAUUUCAUAUGGAUUUUAUUUCUGUUAGAUUGAAAACUUCUUUGAAUAAAAUUUUUAAUUGACAAUUCUGUUUACUCUGCAAAUUCCUAUUUGAUUAAAUGAUUUGGCUUGUCUUGUUUGACAAUUGUCGUAUGUAAUCAAAUUUAAAUUUGUUUGAAUGAUGAAUUUGUUCUUAUAUCUCAAUUUAAAGAGUAUUAAAUUUUUGUCUAGUUUUUUUUUUUAAUUGUAUGUUUUAUAUUUUGUAUUAGAUUCACAACAAUUACGAAACCGAUGGUAUAAAUUUACUAAUUUAUACUAGCGCUUUUUACUAUAUUUAGUAGCGGUCGGAGAAGCGUUACUAAAAUUAUUUUCUCCAAUGGUUGUAUAAACUGUCGGUAAAGACUUUUAGCGACAGAGAUCUAACAGCGGUUAUAGAACUUUUCUCGGCGGUUUUACAAAUGUCGGGAAAUAUUUUUCCAGCGAUCCUAGACACUUUUCCCAGCGGUUUCGACCGCUUCUAAAACCUAUUUUUUUUGUAGUGUGUGAAAGCCAAACCUUUAUCUCCACCCUCUCUUUUUUUAGUGGCUUCAUCUUUCUCCAAGCUUAGAAUUGGACAAGAGCACUUGAAGAAGGAGCACUCCAAGGGUGAGAUCAAGUUCUUCGACAAUUAUUGAUCCACCUAAUGGUAAGUGAGAUGAGUUUCUCGUAUUUUGGAUGUGAUUUUAGGGUUUUCUUAGAUAAAGACUUUCAAAAGUUCUAACUUGAUUAGAACUUCUUCUUUAGGCUUGAUUAGAAGCCUCAACAACAAAAAUCCACUUUACGAUGAGGCUCUAGUGACUUGAGGUGGGUUAUGCUUUUCGAAAUGGUUGGAUCCUUUCCUCUAUCUCUAAAUCCCUGUUUCUCUAACUUAUGGUUGCAUGAUUUGAAUAGUAAGGUUUUUUGAUAUUCCUCCUCCUUUUAUUUGAUAUGCAUGCAUAGUAGAUGAUAGCUACAUCCCAUCUUUGGAAACUUAUGAUUUAGCAUACAUGAGUAGAGAAUGACAAUAUUGUGUCCUCAUAACCCUAUCACUUGUAUGAUUAGCAGUAAAAGUUAUCUUAUCAUGAGAUGCUUGAUUAGCAUAGUUGCCAUGCAUGAUUACCAUAAGGGGCCGUUUGGUUCCCACUAUAAAAUAUUACUAGGAGUAAAAAGAUGUUCGAGAAUCUUAUUUCUAUUCAUUCUAUUACUAAGAAUAUGACAUUCCGGUGUUUGGUUCGCACGGUCAUAUUAUUUAGUCAUGUUAUUUAAGAUUACGAAAAAUAUACAAUUAAUUUAUUUAUUUUGUUAAUAAAGUUUAGAUAAUAUUAUAAAAAAUUUCAACAUCUUUUUAGAAAAAAAGGAGAGAAAAUAUUGGUUAGAGAGAGAGCAUAAUUAAAGAAAAUAUGAAGAGAAAUAGAGUCGAGGUUAGAGGGAGUGAGAAAAUUGAGACUUUAGAAAAAGAGGGGGAGAGAGAGCUUUGUUUAGAGAGAGAAAAAGAGUUGAAGUUGAGAGAGAAAAAGAUAAGUUUGAAGAGAGAUAUGAGGUUAGAGUGUAAAAAAAAAAAUACUAACUAACCGGCAGGUAGGAAAAAAGAAAGAGAUUAGACAUAUUAUAAUUACUCUAAUCCAUUAAUAUGAGGAUAUCCACCCUCCUUCAAAGGAAUGAGAUUAGUACUUUGGGAUGAAUCUCAUUCCCAAGUAAAUCCAAUAUUACAAAUUAGAUUACUUAGUGCGUUUAGCCAAACACUGUUAUAUUUUUUUAUUCCUAUUAGAUUAAUAGGAAUCUUAAAAAGAUAGCGCGAACCAAACGCACCCUAAAGAUUUAUGAAUUUGUAAACCUAGUAUGGUUAAUAAACGAUGAUGACAAUUAUCCAUUUUGGUACCUUCUAGUAGCAUGCUGUAUUUACCAUUGUGAUACUUUCUUCAUGAGAAAAGCAUGCUAGGAUAGCAGGUACCACUAUUUUAGAAUAGGCGCUCUUCAUUGUGAGAUUUUUGACCAAGCUUGCGCUAGUUGUUUAUUAGCUUGUAGAGUUUGCGACUACACGGGCAGCGUCCCUCCGAAGGUGAUUAUACAAAUUGGGGGAUAGACUGCCGAGGUGGGCGUAGUGCCCAUAAAGCCGUGACGAGCAAGCUUGGAACGGACCAUGUGGUCGGUUGAUGGUAAAAUUGGAUCCUUGUGACAAAUGUCACAUUGCUAGGAUUUGAGACAUAUAUCGGCAAAGUUGAUCAUGUUGGACCUACAUGUACCCUGUACUUUGUAGAGGCAUUGUAGCGACAUCUUUACUUAUACUCCGUUAUCCUAUUAUUUAGUUGCUUUAUAUCUCGCUUAUUCAAUCCUAUUAACUCAUUUAGACCUAGUGUGGACAUUUGGCCAGGUUUGGCGGUCGUACCCACUAGAAACUUAUUGCAGUUCUCACACCCUCUUAUUGAUAUUUUUAUUACAGAAACAUCUAUCAACAGUGAGGCGCAUGAUCACGUCAAGGGUGUCGUGAACUAGUUAGAAGGCUACCCUUCACGUGUUGUAGGCGACCCAUUUCGUGACAUGAUAUCAUGUAUUUAUAACAUUAUGAGAGAAGAAGAAAUGUGUUUCGUUUUGGUGAUGGAAUUGUAUAAGGAAUAAAGAUUAGCUUGUAAAAGUUUAUAGUAUACUAGUUUCACUCUAAUGCUAGAUGGUACAUGAUCUCGUAUGUGAUGUACAAGUUGAAAGUUUUUAUCCGUUUUGUGCGGGCAAAGGAGACUCUGUGCAUUCAGCGGGUCCAUCGCACAUGCACGAGAGAGAGCCUCGGGUGGUCCGGUGUGAAGGAAACAAAUAAAAAGGAUACAAGGGAUGGUUGGUGCUAUCCAAAAGAAUUAUUAACAUUACAAUACGGAGGAGGAGGUGAAUGUUAGGUCAGCUAAUUUGGUAAAUUUUGAGAUUUACUAACUAGUCAUGCAAUAGUCAUUGGCUGUUCUUGAUAUAGUUCGAUCAUAAAUUUAAUGAAACAUUGAAAUAAAUUGAAAAAAGUAAACUUUCAGGCAAAACAGUAGUCUACAGUUUUACAUUUCACUCGAUAUGACAAUAACUGUUAGAUUAUCCAUCUAUGACUACAAUUCUAAGUGCAUCAAUGAGUCAAUCAAGACGAGAUAUUAUUUAAAGUUGUCCAAAUUUUCCGAAAGAUGAAGAAUUAUAUCAUUGAUGUUUAUAAUAGACAGUGCAUCUAAUAGAUCAAUUUGACAACCAUCCACAAUAUAGCGGAGCUAAUUCACAUAAAAUGCCAGUUCAAGAAAGUAACAAGAAAGACAUAUACAUGGAUUCCACUCAAAUCUAGUAUUAAAUUUUACGAGGAAGAACUCAUCAACCAAAAGAUAACAAUCGAUACACAGUAAUAGUCAUAACUGAAGACCGAUCAUCAAUAGUAACAGCAAAAUGGGAAUAAAUCCCAAAACCGAGAUGAAUUAAAAAUGAAAACAUCUAUGUUGUGUUUUUACCCAAUGUAAAUAAGCAUUAGGGUCUGUUUUGCAAUUAUUGAAAAAUAAAAUAGAGUUUUAUUUUACACUGUAUUUUGACAUUUUGAAAACUCCAUAAAAAAAAAAUUUACUUAGUAUUUUAUUAUUUGGAUUGUUUCUUAAAAAAAAUACUCGGAUUUUAUUCUUAUAUAAAGUAAAUUAAGAAAAAUUGUAUUAAUUAAAACAAAACUUCUUCGUUUAUGAAUCAAAGCAUGAAAAAAAUAUAUAAUUCAUUUGUAGAUUGUAUUUGUUGAGCCAAUAAGGUGCGGACAUAUGGUAUACCGGUACUCCAUUCAAUUAUAUAGAUUCACAGUGCACCGGGAGUAUCGGAAGGAUCUAAAACCGCAUGAUUUAAAAGAAGUUACAGUAACCGCAAGCAGUUGCAAGCAGUUCCGAUCGACUAGAUGUGACGCCCCGACUUCCCAGGGGGUCACCCAUCCUAGGACUACUCCCGUCCUAGCACGCUUAACUCUCUUAACCUCUUGGGUCUAGCCACCACCCAAAAUGCUUAAGCCGGGUUAAGAGUUUAGCCCUAUUAUAUCUUAUAUAUAGGACUAUCUGGGGUCUCACAAUCUCCCCUCCUUUAAGCCCUGACGUCCUCGUCAGGCUCAGACUCACAAGUACCAGGCGAUGUGAGACUCGUCUCGCUAGCCCGUCAUCCAGACCCUGGCUCAGCCGAGACUCAUCUCACACUUCCGGCUGGUAAUUGGCUCUGAUACCAUCUGUGACGCCCCGACUUCCCAGGGGGUCACCCAUCCUAGGACUACUCCCGUCCUAGCACGCUUAACUCUCUUAACCUCUUGGGUCUAGCCACCACCCAAAAUGCUUAAGCCGGGUUAAGAGUUUAGCCCUAUUAUAUCUUAUAUAUAGGACUAUCUGGGGUCUCACACUAGAAGUGGUCCGGAAAAUUAGGAAAUAAUGGCCGAUCGUGUAAAAGCAAUAACUGAUCAAUAGGGCAAUCUAUAAAUAGAAAAAUAACGUCCUAAAAAGGGGUCUUUUUCCUGUGAACAAAUGACCGCCUUUAUUUCCUUAUAAUUUUCUGCAUUUUUUAGGAGUAGUCUACUUGUAACUUUUAUUUUUCCGCAUUUACUGUUCUUCCUAGGAGUAGUUCAUUAAAUAGAUCAACUGAGUCUGCAUGCCAUCCGGCACACUUAACCCCUGUACUUCUUACCAAUUAAUAUAAAGGCAUUCGGUUUUUCAAGCUGACCAAUUCCUGUGUUCGUUAGUCAUUCGGCUCUUCGGCCGACUUCAGUUCUUGCUUGGUUCGUGCAUUCGGCUCAUCCAGCCGAACCGAAUUUACUGUAGAGGUUUCGAACCCGGCUGAUCCGAUCCCUCGUCAGCUGAAUCGCUUGAUCAAUCGAAGGGCGCAAACUUCGAGGAUCACCAUUCGAAGCUGUUUUCAUCCUGACACGCUCCCCGAAGAGGAUCUUUGACCGGGUCAAGAGUCAGGGAAUUCGGCUCGCAACAGUAUCAAAUUGAGAACUUUUAAAAAAAUAAUUAAAAACAAAAUAAUUAAACAAGUAUCAUAGUAAGCGUAAUUCUUCUUCAUCACAAAUUUCAAAACAUAACAAAUUUCAUCACAAAUGUCGAAAAAUCACAAAUUUUGUCGUCUUCUUUAUGGUCGCCAGGCACUCCCUCAUUGCUCGAGUUUUUUACCGGCUGUGAUCAUGUUCUUGCCUUAAUGAUUAAAUAAAAAAAAAAAAAUCAGUUGGGAUCCAAAUCGCACGUCAUCCCUUUCCCGCAGAGAGACUCCCCCUUCCCACCCCUUUCUCUGCGAUUCCUAAGGCAGCGGCGGUAGCAGUGAUCAUCUCCGUCUCCUUUUCCAGCCCCAUCUCCACAACCCCAUCUCCACUGCUAGUCCGCUACUGCUGCUUGCAUCCAUCUCUUCCUACGAUUAUUCCUCCUGCAGUCGUGGCCGUUAGCAUCCAUCUCUUCCUACGAUUAUUCCUCCUGCAUCAUGGCUGUUAGCAGGAGCGCAUUGUCAUUGUAGUCUGCAGAGUCAUUGGCAGUGGCACCAGGGAAGGCGAUGACAUCAUUGUUAUCAUCGUCGUCGGAGCGAGUAGAGGAGGGAGGAGGAGAGAGAGGAUGGGGAGGAAGGAUGAGAGGGAGUGAAGGGAGCGGUGAGGGAGACGACUUCUAACCAAACUUUUUUUAUCCCUAAAUUACUCUGUAAAAUAUAUAUUAUAAAGUAAUUUUUUUACUUUAUUAAACCUUCCAAAAUUACUCUGUAAAAUAUAUAUUAUAAUAUCUUAAGAAGCAUCUAUAUUAUAAAGAUAUUAUAUAGAUGCGUAAUAGGAUUACAUUUCAAGUGAACAGGCAAGCUGUAACACACAUUUGAAUAUAUUGACUACAAUUUUUGCACCAAUUACAAACUAUGAGGAACAGAUUAUUAUUUGUAAUGAAUUAACAUAUCUGGUAAGUGGGCCAAGCCGCCAAAGUAUUGUGCCCAGGAUUUUGUCAAUCGAUAACUGUUUAAUAAAUGUUGUCUAAAAGAAAGGAUUUGUCUUUUCACCCACCUAUGACAAGAAACGAUGGACAAACGGCCAGACAAAUGAAAAAGUUCAAAAGGGAGAAGGGAGGAGGGAGAAAAGUUUUGUUCAACCCUCAAACAACAUCUUUUCCUGAACAACGACCUCCAUAUAUACCCACCUAGAAAAGAAUGAGAUCAGAUCGAAAAGCAAGUAGCACAAACAAGUAAGCAACUAAGUUUGCUUGGGAAAACAAAUGCUUCCGAGCAAGUUAUACCCUCAAUACGGCAGAUGAUGGAUUUCUCUAAAGUGAUGAUAUUAAGGAACCAAAGAUUCCUCUUUUGUAAUGGAGAAAAGAUGACACUCAAAUGCUCUAAGGGACUAGUUAGCAGGCAACAUCUCCAACUACAUAGGAACCCAAAACUUUUCUUUGGUGUAUAGCAGUUAAAUCCAGUUCCAGGAACUUGAGUCGUAAAUCAACGUGCAGAAGUUGCAUCUCAACCUACACCCAUUGAGAAUACAAGAGGAAAAGUAGUAGUUAUGAUUUCGUUUCACUGAUUUAAAACAUUUCAGAAAUGUUCUGCAUUUUCUUUUCAAUUGAUUAGAUUGCUGACAAGCAACUCGUAACAGUAGGCAUAUUGACAAGGGAUGAAAUCAUACAAGCUUCUCUAGCAGGAGGAAUUCUAUACUGUCACACUUGCACUACGUCAUCAAUAACAAGCCAAUUACAUUUCUUUUUUCAAACAAAAGUACAAUAAAAAUAUUUUUUUAUAAUCAUGAUGGGGCAUAUACUCCUAAAAGGAGACAUUUGAUUAGUUUGUUACGCCACGUCACCAAUAUAUCCGUUGCAUUCUAGAAUUUUUCCUCUAGUAGGUAUCUUAAAUCAACAUGAGGGGGGAACUUUUUCUUAUCGGCAUACCCAGUUGGAUGAGAUUUAUUCCUCGCUAACAAGAAUUCACAAUUGCCUUGUGUUCUUCCAGCCCAAGUUGCGAGCUAACAAUAUUACCAAUUGCAAUAGAAAAUGUGAAGCAUUCCCAAAGUGAUCCAAAUUAGUGAAACAAAUUGGUGAAACAAGCACCCCGUAGGGAAUAAAUGUCACCCCUCUGCCCAAUGCUCAAAGAAAAAAGAGUAAUAACUAAGGAAUAGACUCACUACCCAAUAAAUAAAGGGAGAAAAUUGACAAAUCCAACAUCAACUGCACACAACCAAACCAAAAGGCAAAAAAGAAAGUUACAGUUACAGCGAGAAAGAGAAGACGCAGCUGCAAACGUGCCUAUCCAACUAGAAGCAUCUCUAGCGACACAGCAUUUUAUAACUCCAUCAAGCUAAUCAAACUCUCAAUCUAGUGACAAUUCGCACCAGAAAUUAACAUGUAAAAACAACUCUAUUGUGACAAUCAAUCAAACAUGUGCGGUAAGAAGAUACCAUAAUACAGACUAUGCCAUUCUUAAAUCAGUUAGAGAUAGCAAGCAGACAGCAAUCAUGAAGUUCUAUUGACUCGGGACCGUAGAGAGAGCGAUCUAGGCAUGAGAAUAUUUAAACUACCGCGACAAAAUAACAAAGGAGCAAAACUGAAAGGCAUUAGAUAAUGAUUGUUCUUAAGCAGUAAGUUGCAAUAAUUAAAUCAACUAUCUUAGAGUAUAAAUAGAAAUAAAUUUAGCAUGAUAUAUCAAUCAUUUGCUACUUAAACACUCAGACUAUCAAUUAUGAUAUGCAUGAUAUUGAAAAUUUAUUUUGAUUAUCGUUCAUCGGUUCAUGUGGUACUUCGUUUAUUUUUCUCUCAGUAUUUUUCUUAAAUAAACUAGAAAUUUCAAUGAAUAUAACAUUGCAAUGCCAAAAAAAUAUUUUUCUUAAAUAAACAGCAUGUGGACUGCUCAAUUCAUAAUUGUCCACAUCCUACAUUUUCAUUAUGCGAUGGAUCGACCGCUUGUACGCUAAAUUCAGCUCUUUCAGAACAAAAGUUCUUACAUUCUACUAGAAGAUGCUCAACAGGAACUUCUAUGGAAAAAAAAAAAGAAAAAAAAAAAACAUAAUAUUAAGGGAAUGAAUUCAAAAGAUCCAAAGUUAAGGGCUCUUUUCGAAAUUAUCUUGAAAGCCAGCAGCUUGGAAACAGAUUUUCCUUCUAUAAUUUCGAUGUGAUAGUCAACACUUCAAUGCCCAACUUAGCCAAACUUAUUAAUUUAACUUCUAUUACAUGUCUCUAAUGUAAUCAUAGUCACAUAUUUACAAGUUUAAUAAAGAAAAUAAAGCACUAAAAUAAACAAGCAAAACUAGAAUUUCCAGCAAAACCAGUGUUCCAAUAGUGUUCACGUAUUCACAAAUUCAAUGAAUCACUAAACUGUAGCAUUUGAAUAGUUUAAAGAUCCUAUGGAUUUGAUUAUGAUGUACACAAAAAAAAUAGCCACUGACUCCAAUAUUCUAAAUUCAGUCUGCAAGAAAAAUAUUUAUAAUUUGAUUAUCAAAGGUCUUCAAAAGAUGAAGACUUGCACCAUGCCACCAUUAAUGCUUAGUAGUGUAGGGCCCACAUUUCGCGGCGAGAGGUAGUAUUUCAGCCAAUUAAUUGGGAUUGAAAAAAAAUUAUAACAAAAAAGAAAUACAAAAAGAAAAAAAAAAAAUAAAGUACCCUUUUAUGUACAUUAUAAAAAGGGAUAAUAUCUGAUACGCCCUUCAAAAUAUCAAAAAUAUCUUAAAUAUCCCUGGAGGACCAAAAUAUUCUUGUUGAUUUUAAAAAAUUCCUUCAAAUAUCGCCAUUUCCCAUAGGGUUUUCUAAUGGGAUUUGGUUUUAAAAGGAUAUUUUUGUAAUUUAAGGGUAAAUUUGAACAAUUUGAAUAGUAAUGGGCAAAUACUAAUAAAAAUUAACCAUAACUUUCAGUAUUUCUAGAGUUAAAUACUUAAAGUAUUCUAAUAACUACUAGUUAACUUCUUGGAGAUUAUCUAACUACUGAUUUACCUGUCGAACAACUUCUUCGAUGUGAUGCCAUAGUUGAAUAAUAAUAAUUUUGAGAUGUUAUAACAGAUGAAAUGCUAGCAAUCAGUUUUUGAUAGCUAAACCAGCCGUCACAUCAUAAUUUCAUUAAAAAAAAUAAUUUAAAUUUGCGAAAUAAUCUAAGGCAAAAUAUUUAAAGUUCAAUAUCUCUACUGAAAUAAAGUAAAGUUCACCGACCUAAAUGAAAUUUCACUAAAAGUUUGGCGACCAACAGUGAAAUUUACUUAAAUAAAUAUUAACAAUGCUACGUACACGUAAAACAAAAAAAAUUCCACGACAAUUAUAUAUAUGAAAAUCGAGAAAGCAAUCAUCAAAUGAUCGAAGUCACAAUUACUGACCUCUAAACUUGAUAACUGUGUACAACUCGCUCAUGGUCCAUCAAGGGACGAGGAACUUGAGAACUCAAAUAUUUUCCAAACUACUUCCAAACUUGCACCGCAUAAAUCCAUAAACAAUACUCUCCUAAGUCCUAACAAUGGCAAAUCGCACUUUUCGCGAGGAGAAGGCAUUCUGUUAGACGCCAACUUCAAACAACUAGAUUUUGCCCCAAAAGCCUAGAUGUUCAUGAGGGUGAGGAAAAGGUCUAUAAAAUUGUAAGGCGCAUGCUAAGAUAGUAGUUCUACUACACAGACAUACAAAGCGUUAUCGAACAAUUUAGUUAAAGAAGUGCUGCCCAGGGCAACAUAUUAUAAUUUUUAAGAAACUGUAAAAUACGCAGAUCCCGUAUGCGAGUUAGAGCUAGCAAUAACACGGGAAACUAAACUCUCUCAUGAGUCAUGAUAACACAAAAUUUAAAGGAGGAUAAGGUUGAUCGGGUUUCACCAAGGGACAUUUCGCUAGUCCUCGUUCUUCUUCUUCUUCUUCUUGUCCUUCUUGCUCAGCAGCUCAUCGGGGACCACUUUCAGGAGCUUCCUGUCCUUGGACUUGGCAAUCUUCUUGAGGGUCUUGGGGUUGGUGAUUUUCUGCAACUUGGUGCCGGAUCUGAGGAUGUUCUCCUGCUUCCUCUUCUCCCUCUCCUCCCUCGCCUUCCUCUUACUCUCCUUGCUCUGGCGGAUUUUCUCCUUGAGCUCGGCCAUGCGCUCCCGAUACGCCCGCUUCGUCUCCUUCUCGAUGGUGCGCAGCUCCAGCGACUUGCCGCGGCGGGAGGCGGCGACGGCGGAAGCGCGGUGGGCGCGCGCCUGCUUCCACUUGCGGCCGGAGACCCUGCCGGCGAUGACGCCGUCGUACGUGGGGCGGCCGAAGGAGGCAGGCUUGUCCGGGUCCUCCAGAGAGGGCAGAGCGGCCCGCUUCCACGGCGGCGGCCCGCCAGCGUCGAGGUCCAUGGACGAGGAGGCUCGGCCGUCGUCGUCGCGGUCCUGGCCGACCUCGGAUUCCACCCGCUUCCGCUUGUUCUUCGCACCGCCGACGCCUUCGUCCAAGAAGCGGAAGUCCAGGCCGGACGCCAUGCUGAUUAGUUAUUAGCGUUUCUUUCUUUUUUUCCUUUUGGAGGGCGCCGCGCGGCGGAGAUGAUCGCGCGGGGGUCCAAAAAGAAAGGAAGCAGUAGCCGCGAGCGACGGUCUUGUUAUUAGGGUUUUGAGUCACACGAUUGCUUUUGUAACAGAGGGUGGUGUGUUUACAAGUUUAGGGGGAAAAAAAUUAUAAGAGAGUAUUUGGCCAAGCUUUUUAAAAGUAAUUCUGUGCCUAAAAAUAAUUUUCGGCUCAGUAGAAUAUUUGAUAAUGGAGAUUUUAAAAUCUAAUUCUGCUUCUGAGAAUCAGAAAACUGAUUUUUCAUCCUCUAUAAGCAGAGGCAGAAAAAAACUGCUUCUCAAAACUAAUUCCCGCAAAAAUAGUUUUCUCACUUAAAAAAUUUUAUGAAAAUACCGAAAUUACCCCUAAACAAACAAUAUAAUUAUACUCUAACCUUUUAUCACUUAAUACUUUCAACUACCCUCCUCUCUCUCCCAUUUUACCACAGCCAACCUCUCUCUCCAAAAAAAUUCCCCUUUCCUUUCUUCUCUCCUCCAUCUCUUUCCUUUCUUCCUCUCCGGUGACACCUCUCUCCGGUGAAUCUUUUCUUUCCGGCGAACCUCCUCUCCGGCGAACCUCCAAAGAAGGUACUCUGUCACGCCCUGGACUUUAGUGGAAGCUCAUCAGUCACGUGUACAGACCCGCCGUAUACACCUCAACCCUCAAGUGUACACCAGGCGUCUACAAAUCAAUAUAGCAGAAAGGAUAAUAUCUUGACCAGGUAAUCAGAGCGAAACUAAAAGUUCAUAAACUUAUACAAAAUAAAACUUUAUUACAACUUAAAAAAAGUACAAAGUACAUUCUACAUAGUUCUAGUAUACAACACUGAAAUAAACUAGAAAAGCUGAUAUGGUUUCAUCUAUUUAACAUCGAGGAGGCUCUAACUAUCCGUUGACCCCUUGCUAGGAACUCUAGCCUUCCCCGCUAUGGAAGGCUCUGUAUAAAAACAAUCAACAAAAGGGCGUGAGAACUAUUAAACAAUAGUUCCCAGUAGGUAAGCCACCGAGAGUGGCGAAGUACACCACUAGGUUAACUGAGGCAUAAAUAACUGUAACAAGUAUGAAAAGUAAAUGCAACAAGCAAAGUAAUUCAAUCAUAACAUGCCUCAAUAAGAUCUAUUUUCUAACAUGUCUUAUAUGCUACUCGUCAUAAAUACAAGUUCAGUAAGUUAGGCUAAUUAUCAAUUUAAUCACCUAUAUGUCAUGCUGAAUAUCAACAUUAUCAUUGAACUGACUAAUGGCAUCAUAUAGUUAUUUCCUACACUAGCAAGAGUGUAAACAUUUCGGAACUGUUACUAAACUAUUGACUGAUAGGGAUGUCAACCUUCUAGUAUACUCAUUACUAGGUAUAUUCAACUAAUGACAUAAAGUAUCUUUAUUACUAUGUCCAUCUAAGGUUAAAGUCUUUAACAUUAAACCAAUUAAUAAGAGACUUACAUAUGGUAAAGUCCCAGCCCGUGCCGUGCCCAAUGGUCCCGUGGAAGUCAAUACUACCCACGGCAAUCCACCUCGGCGUUCAGUCUCGUACAAAAGCGAGUAAUCUGUCGCUAGGCUAACUCCAGAGUGCCGGCUUGUGGGGCGCGACUCUCACAAGCAUGUGCGAAUGAGCACAUUGGCAAGCAAGCAUAAUCCAUAACAUAGGUAUCACAAGUUCAUCAUGUCUCUAAUAUGGAAUCUCAACUCGAUACAAGGUCGACACUGUAAUAGUAAGUCAUAAUCCACUAUCAAUUACUUGGUGACAUAAUUUUACCAAUAGAUAGUAUGACUUAAACAAGUACAUGCUUUACAUCAUAUUGAUGAUUCUAACGGGCUAUACCUACAUACUCACAUAUAGCUCUCUCACUACUUCCUAUACAUAAGGAAAGUGGUUUACUAAGAUCAUACUUAAUAACUCAUUCUAGUGUUCAUAUAACUCAUGGCACAUAUUCUAUAGUUCUACAUAAACCUCCACUACCUGGAGUAAAGGAGUAUUAGGCAAGUACUUCUACUUGACUACACAGGUAUAUCCUCAUAUCCAAUUCUAGUUAUUUAACUAGAUCAUAUUCAUAGUAUAACAUUCAGGUUAUGUUACAAUGCCCAGUUCUAGUUACUUGACUAGAUCAUAUAUAUAUAUAAGAACAUGAAAUUCAUGCUAUUUGUAUUCUGUGAAAGCAAUAACCAACUUGUCAAUACAAGUAUGCGAAGCAUCCUCAACUGUACUCUUAACAUGAUUUUCGUAUAAUUAUAUAAGCAUGUAACUUCACUAUACAUGAUAUGCUAAGAGUUCUAUUAACAUGUCUACAACAUGGAAUUGCAUGAAUUUAACGCAAAGAUACAUCAUCACAAUACAUCAUUCACUUAGUUGUCCAACUGAACUAAAUAUCAUGUUCUUGGCUUAACAGCUAUUUCAUAUUGAAUGAUGUUGUACUUAACUUGUCCACACAGGUGUACUAAUAACAUGAAUACAUGCUAACCAAGCAAGCAGUCUAUGUAGACCAGGCAAUUUCACAACCCUUCCUCUACUGCAUAGAGGUUCCAUUUUAUGCGAUAUAAUAUGCAUAUUGAUGCAUGUCCCAAUUCAUUCAAAUAUCCAUAUAUUCAUGUGAAUAUGCCACAAUUCCAAUUUCAUAAUGUCAAAGAAGACAUAGAGGGAAUUCACCCAUUUCGGUAAGGUCAAACCACCAAGUAGUCGACGCCUCGUUGAUUCCGCCAUUGAAGGUAAUCCGAAGCCUCCGAGGACCAUAACAAUGAUUCUAAAAUCAGCUAGGAGUUUAACCAAGCUUCCACAUAAUAAACCCCACAUAAUCACAUAGUCUAGGUUAGAAUCUCACCUAGAAUAAAAUCCAGCUUUAAUUCUACUUCAAUUCAGGUUGGAGCACCUCAAAUUUACCCCUUUAAAGCUCACAAAUUUGAGCUAACGGGGUUCAACAACUUACUGCGAAUCUGCUUUGAACAUACCCCAAGAAUUCCAUCAAUACUCUACCAAUACAUCUCAAUUUAGUAAGAAGUUAAAUUGCUCACCUUGCACGGCUCUAACUCGGGUUAAAGCACAUCAAAAUCAGUCCAUAAGAGACACUAAACUCAUCUCAAAGGAGUCCAAUUCCCUGCUGUGGACUGCAUUAAAACUGUUUCAAAGCUACAACCAAUACAACUAUUAUAGCAUCAGGAUAAGGAAAGGUAGUUAGCUAAUCACCUUGUACAGCUUCAACUCAGGUUCGACUGAGUUGGGAGUGAAGAAUCACAACAAAAACACCCUUUCUUCAGCUGCUACAAGCAUCCCCAACUCUGCUGGCAGCAAAAACAAAGAACAAGCUCAACUUCCCUACUACAACUAUCAAUACCUCAAACUAGAGAGGAAAGUUAGAUUACUAACCUCACUAAGCUUUAACUCAGUUCCCAACUAAGUUAGAACAGAGAAACACCUCUUCUAUAGCUGUUUAGUUCAUCCCAAAACCAGCUGAUAACAAAAAACCAACAACCAACUCAACUUCACUAGUAUAGCACUAAUCUAGAGAGAAGUUGAAUUAUUUACCUUACCCAGUCUCAACUCAGCUUCUCAACUCAGCUUCUUGCUGAGUUAGGGCCACGAAAUACCUCCCAAAAUCUCCUUCUCCAACAACAAAACACAGCUCCAAGCCUUCCAACCAGCUAACAAUCAAAGAGGAGGAAGAACUAAACUCAAAUCCACUAGUUUUCCACUUCAAAAUGGAAAACCUAGAGAGAGAAAGGGAAAGAGAGAAGCUCCUACCUUAUCCUCAGCUCCAGAGGGAUAAGGAUAAGCUGAGGGGUCGACCAGAGCUGAUAAGAACAUGUUUUGGAAGUGAAAAGAGCAAAACAACCUUGCUGCCACGCAGCUACAAUGCUGGUACCGGUACCCCAUCAUUUUGUCACCAGUACACAGUGCCAAAAUACAGAUUUUUGCAUUUUGUAAUGCACUUUUGCUCUUCCGGCCACUUGUUCGCUCCAGUAACUUGUCGAAAAUCUCUCGACAACUAUUCAAAAAAUGUAGACUAGCUCCAAUUACCAUUCUAACACUCGAACUUCGCAACAUGCCAAAGUUCAGUGUACUACAUACUCUCUUCUCUCUUUUUUUUUUUUCUUUUUUUUUUUUUUACAGCUUUCUCUCUCUCCCUCUCUGUCUUUGUCGGAUCUGGGGUCGAAUCCCCUUAUGGAAGCCAUGAGCAUUGGCCACGCCGAAUUCGUUGCCGGCCCGGCGUGAGUCCAGCCGCGCCGGGGCUGGAUUCGGCAAAGACGGAUCCCGCAGGAUCCAAGCCGACGGGAUCCGUUCUUGCCGAAUUCGGGAUCCGCAUCUGGUGAAAAUUGAAUUUCUCACUUAUCCAUCAACUCAACUCCUAUUUAACUAUGCUUUUUUGACAUUAAAGUUGAAGCCAUUGAUGAGAUUUUUAUGGCACUUCUCUUUGCAUUUCUCACUUAUCCAUCAACUCAACGGAAGCGGUUUUUUCUUCAUGUAUUUCUGAGGCAAUUGUUCUACUGAUUUCAAAACUCUGGUAACCUUCUUAUGUUUACUUUGAUGUGCUAGAUUUGUCAUUACAGUAGAAAGCUAUCAAAGUCGCUUUUUUUUUUAUAUGAAGAGAAGAUAUAGAGGCUAAUGACUUCUGUCAUUUAUGAAAGAGAUUGUCAUUAACCUUUUCUUUUCCCCACGAAAAACUAUACUGGAGCAUGAUACUUGUGGUCUGUUGUAGCCAAACUGGUUGAUUAAUCACUUCAAGUUGCUUAUUAUUCCAAGCCUUUCAUAUUUCAAGUAGUGACACUUGAAUUUUCACCGGAUGCACAUAAACUGAAUUUUCAAUUACUUUCAUAAAAAUUAAGUUGCAAGAAGACCAAGCAUUGUUGCAACCUUUUUUGAUGUCUAAACUUAGCAUGUGUGUUUGAUUGUUUGAUUAGUUUGUAGUGUGUAAUGUUUUAAAAUUUUAUUUAAUUUGUACUAUUGUGUACUUUGUAUCCGAUAUUUCGAUUAUUUGUUGUGCAUUUGUGUUGCUUGUAUUUUUUAAUACAUAAUUUAUUUACUAGAAAGUUGAAAGAUGAAUCAAUCACAAGGAGAACCAUCUACCCAGAAAGAAAGAAAAAUUAAACCUACAUGGGAUGCAUCAUUGCUCAAAAUUUUUUGCAAAAUAUGUGUUGUAGAGGUCAAUGCCGAGAACCGACCUAAUACUCAUUUUAAUAGAAUUAGAUGGCAAAAUGUGGUUAAUAAGUUUAGAGAGAAAACAAAUAGAGCGUACGACAAAAUACAAUUGAAAAAUAAAUAGGAUUCUCUUAGAAGGGAUUAGGUUUUAUAGAUGCAAUUAGUUGGUAAUUAAAGAGACAGAAUUAGGAUGGAAUCAUGUAAGGGGUAUCAUUGAUGCAAGCCCUGAAUGGUAGGAGGAGAAAUUAAAGGUCAGUAUAUAAUUUAAUUUUUCACUUAUUCAUACUGUAUGUUUUCUUUACAAUAUAAUGUAACCAUAUGAUAUAUAUAGGUACUUCCUGAAGCUGCGAAGUUCCGUGACACGGGGUUGGAGAAUGCUACACUACUACAAGUUAUGUUUUCAAAAACCGUCGCUUUAGGUGACACGGCAUGGACACCGGCUUUAGGGACAAUGCCUCCCGAUCCAUAUCGUUCACAUGAUUUAGAGGAAGGUAGUGGAGACUCGGAUGAAGAUGUUAAUGUGGCAGGCAUAAAUCUUGAAUCCGGUGAUUCUGAGGUUACUUGUAACAUACCACAUCCCUCGUAAAUCGUGUCGAGUUCCGUCAACACGAGCGGAACGCGAAGUUGAACGGGUUAAAGUGGACCCAAAGUGCGUUGGAGUUCUUAAACGGAGUAAAAAGGGACCCGGAGAGCAAAUUUGGAAAUUUGGCUAAGUCCCAGAUUUUGAGCUCUCGGGGACCGGUCCCUGAAGGAGAGACCGGUCCCCGUGCGCGUAGCCUACCAGGAAAUCCUGAGGCAUCUGGUCCCUGGUGGUGAGACCGGUCCUCGGGAGACCGGUCCCUGACGGGCAGACCGGUCCCUCGCUGCGCAACAGCGGAAAAACUCGAAAAUUGGGCUAAGUCCUGGAAAACCCCCGUUCGGGAACCGGUCCCUGGUCGGGGAGACCGGUCCCAGAAGGCGAAAAAUGCCCAGUCUGGGCAGUUCAAGAGGAAACAUGUGGAGGGGCUUAAGUGCAAUUGUUACAACACUAUAUAUGGCCCAACCCCUCUCUCCCACAGCCAUUCUCCUCCUCCUCUCUUAUUUCCUCACUUUCUCUCUCUAGAAUCCCUCUAGGGCUUGGAGAAGAAGAAGAAGAAGAACUUGGGGAAGAAAGUGGAUUUGAUGCUUUGGAGGUUCUAGGAGCUCUCCAACAANGCCUGGAUGGACCUAGUGGGUAAGUCGGCGAGGUCGGAUGCCGAGCCCACUGGGAACUUCGUUGUAGUUCUCACACCACUAACCCUACAGGUCCUAGCACGAGCGGGGCGGCGGAGGACCGAGGCAAGGGUUUGGCGCCAUAGGUAGCGGCCACCGGGACCUUAUACAUUUUGUAGUCAUUCCCUUUUGUUACAUGUAUCAACUUUAUUUUGUUGAAUUAGAGAUGUAAAGUUGCAAACAAUCAUGUAUUUGGUGGAUGACUAAAUGUAAAAGAUAAGAUGAUUGAAUGGAAUGUAAUAGAUUUGUUUACUUGAAUUUGGUUUAAAUGAAAUCAAAUAUCAUGUGUGAUAUAUAUUUAGCUUAGAGCUUUCGCUUCCGUUGUUGCUUGCCCUCGUGCGAGCCCUCUAUUAUAUAUGCAAUUCUCUUAUUGAUUGCCUAUUUAUACAUGUUGUUAGAGCCUUGGGCGGACAGGGGAGGCUCUGUCCGUUCGGCGUCUGAUGACGUGACCUGAGCCCGACCAAAUUGGCGGGGAUUGGGGCGUGACAUUACUCCUUUAAGUGAUAAAGGAAAGAACAGAGCACGAGAUAGUCAAGGAAAAAAAAAUGCAAGAAAGAUAAAAUUGGGACGGCUACUUAUAUGCAACGACAAUUAUCAUGUAUAUGCGAUGCAAUUAAGAGCUUUAAUUCUCAAAGUAGCCGUUCAGUUACAUCUAGGAGCUCGACCUAUAGUUUUAAAGAUUGUAUAGAUUUGCUAAUGACGAUGAGUGAAAUUACAAGAAUGAGUGCACUUUAUAUGUUUGCCAUUCGCUUAUUUAAAAAAUCAAUUAAUCGAGAGUUAUUCAUAGACUUGAAGGAACCGGAAGUGUGACUUGUGUGGCUAAAGGAUGAAUUUGAGGAAUAUAUCGCGGCAAAAAAGUCGACAACUUAGGAUAUUUUCCAUUAGUAUUAUGUUCUUGUACUAGUAAUACUGAUUUAACUUUAAAUUUAAAUGUGUGUUGUUGUGUGUUUGUUGUGCUCUAAUGCUAUGUUGUCUUUCUUGGUACUUUUAUGUUAUGUUGUUUAUAUAAUGCUAUGUUGCUUUAAGUAUUAUGUUCCUUAAGGAUGAAUGUACUAGUAACAUUAAUGUGUGUAUUAUUUUCCUUCAGCAAAAUCAUUUUUAUAUCAGACUCACCAAACGCUCUACAGCUUUUAACAGAAAUCACUUUUCCAAACCAAAAUCACUUUUUCAAAAUUACUUUUUCAGAAGCUAGGCCAAACAGGCCCUAAGAACUGUUUACAAGUUUAGGGGCAAAGGUAUAAGUAACAAUUGAUCAAGGUUUAGUUUGGUAUUGAGACCCUAGUUAGUUAAUUUACGAAUUAUUCACGAAUUAUUUGCGAAUUAUUGAAAAUCCGAAUUAAAUGAUCCGUUUAUGAAUUUUUUCCAAAGAAAUAAAAUUAUUCGUGAAUUUUUGGGCCAGCCGAAUUAUUUGCGAAUUAUUCCCGAAUUAUUGAAAAUAUGAAUAAAAAACUUAUAAUUUUUAUUUUUAAAUAUAGAUUAUCUUAUAUUUUAUAUAUUAUACCGAAUUCGUUUUUUGAGCCGAAUUUUUCAACGAAUUUAAAAAUUAGAAAACAAAUUUUAUGCGUAUUAUAUCCGUACCAAUUUUUUGCCAAAUCCGAAUUAACUAACUAUGAUUGAGACCCAUUUUGUGCUAUUAGAUAAAAUAAAAUUAAAAUAAAAGUAUAUAUGAAUAUAUUUCAGCGUUCUCCAGUGGUGUCGCAAAAAAUAUAUCGCAACCGACUCAUCGUGAUAUGAAAACGUAAUAUUACGUAAAGAAACAAAGUAACAAAAAGAGUAUUUUACUUUCUCACCAUAAGGCAAUCUCCCCGCAAUCCGGAAGCUCAAUUUUGCAUUUGGAUGAAAAUUGGGUUGUUUUCGAAAAUAAGAAAAAUAACAUUUGGAUAGGUAAGGUUGAAUAAAAAGAAUAGUUUGUAGUUAUAAAUAGAAAAUAAUGAUAUUACUCCUCUAAUUACAUUUUAUUUUAAUUUUUAAAUAUUACAUUUAUAUUCUUAAAUUUAAAAUUUUAACUUUUAAAUUUAAAUUUUAACUUUUAAAUUUCAAAAUUUGAAAUUAAAAUUUAAAAUUUAAAAUUUAAAAUCUCAAAUUUUAAAUUUCAAAAUUUUAAAUUUUAAAUUUCAAAUUUUAAAUUUAAGAUAAAAUUUAAAUUUCAAAAUUUUAAAAUAUCAAAUUUAAAAUUAUAAAUUAUAAUUUUUAAUUUAGAAUUUAAAACUAUAAACUUUAAUUUAAAGAUUACAAAUUAUAAAUUUUAAAAAUUUAAAAUUUAAAAUUUAAAAUUUAAAAUUUAAAAAAUACAAAUAGGGGUGGGAACAAAUGUCCCCAACAGCUGUUUCCGCCCUUAGCGAGUUAUCCUGAUAAAUUAUUUAAUAUUAAUUAUAUUAAUUAAUAAUUUAAAUAUAUUAAAUAGAUUAAUUAAUAAUUUAAGUAUAUUAAAUAGAUUAAUUACCAAGUUAAAUAUAUUAAUUCGAUUAAUUAAUAAUUUAAUACUAUAAUUAAAGUUAAUUAGUGUUUAACUAACUUUGUUCUCACUUUUUACAGGGAUAAAGGUGGAAUAGUAAUUCCAGACUUAUACCAGGUUAUACCAGCUUGUUCCAGCUACUCGAGAACUACUGUCCUUGGGUACGAAAUUUCGGUUUGGGUAUAAAGGGUGGGAUAAUCCCUUAACCCACCCUCUAUACUUAAACCAAAUGGGGUGUUAAAGAGAUAGCGACCGAGAGCUAUUCCGCAUCCCGUCGCUUGUGGGGUCCGCUUGUAAUUGUGGGCCUUGCAAGUUGUCAUGUAAUGCGUAGCUACGAGAUCCGCUAUUUAUUAAAUGUCAUUUAAUGUGUACAGUUUUCCCACUCACUAAUGUGAGUUACGCAGUUUGGGGAUUCAUUAUUUUCGCUUUCUUCUAUUGUUCCGCAUUCGCCCUCUCUUGCUCCGUCUCCGCCAUUGCAGUUCGCCGUUACCUCCAUCCUUUCCAUGACAGGUGCGGGGUGGGGGUGUCAUUGUCUUUGUCGUGCCCAGACGAGUCGGUUGGUACGAUCCCCCCUCCUUUUUUCCUUCUAUUGGUUUCCUGUCUUUGUUACCUCGGAUGUUGGACCCGCUAUGCUCCUCUUCAAUGUAUCUUUCUGCAACUCAACGAAGCGCCAUGGAGCAUGACCACCAUUGUAGAUAACUCGAAGGGUGUGCCGGUCCCUGACAAGUUGUAUGGUCCCCCUACCUCGACCAUAUACCCACUCUUUGUUGGGAACCGGAUGGAUCGUCCGUCAUGUGCUACCAACAAAGAUGCACGAAAAAUAGAGAAAAUCGACCGAACGGUAAAAAAAAUAAAUGCAGAAAGAAGAAACCAAGAUUUACGUGGUUCGGCAAUCGCCUACGUCCACGGGGAGAGCGAGAGAGAUGUAUUCCACUAUAUGAAGAAAUAGAAGUACAAGCUUACACCUUAUGUCUUCUCCGGAUAAAAAAUCAAGAACCUUAUGGUGAAUCCCACUUANAGAGCGAGAGAGAUGUAUUCCACUAUAUGAAGAAAUAGAAGUACAAGCUUACACCUUAUGUCUUCUUCGGAUAAAAAACCAAAAACCUUAUGGUGAAUCCCACCUAUCUUGUUCCAACGAAAACUCCAAGAAAAUACCGAAAAAGCUUUUCAUAAAACCGAGAAAACCAAAUUAGAGAAGUAUAGAAACUCUAACCAAAUUCCUUUAUGCCGUUGCUUCGAAGAAUCCGAACCGCUCAGGCAAUUGGUUGAGAACCGCCGCUCCGCCGCCAACGUCAAUCCGUCGCAUGCGUGCUACCGCGCAUCUCCUUCUCUUGCUACCGUCGUACGGCUCCCGGAACCAUGAAUUAAUUAGCCAACAAAGCUAAUUAAUUUUUUCCAUGACUUACCGUACAGUUCGAAGAGGGCCCGAAUAGGGCACGCAUAUAUAUAUAUAUAUAUAUAUAUAUAUAUAUAUAUAUAUAUAUAUAUAUAUAUAUAUAUAUAUAUAUAUAUAUGCGUGGUUGGCCGGUCAACAAGUCAAAUUAGGAAUUGAAAAUCCUAAUUCAAUUCCUAGUCCAUCCAGAUUACUACAGAGCCAAAUCAAAGUCUAUUCAAUUUUAAAAAAUUAAUAUAUUCCGUAGACCCGGUGCAUGGACCAAACCAAUAAAAGAAGGCAUAUCUUUAACACUCUUCUCCAUUCCUUCAUUCUUAAACCGCUUACUCUCUUCCUCAGUGUGGCGGUUGUUUUGUCAAAAAUAAUGGGUUGUGUUCGGUUUGUUUCUUUGUUUCUACUGCUUUACUUCUCUCUUUGGUUCCCUCUUGAUAUUUGUCUGGUCUUCGCCCCUCCUAUGGGUGACCGUUUGGCCCGAUUUGCUUUCUACUCGUAGUUGAUAAUUUUGGUUGUGCUAGGUCUACUUUAUUAUUAUGUCAUCUUUUCAUGUGCGCGCGUAGGGACUGUGGUUUGCAAAUAUGCUACUGUCUGCUUAUUGUGAUCUAUUCUUGGUUAAAAUACAGGUUAGUAUUUUGUGGUUUGCUUUUUUGUUGCAAUAAAGUGUGCGUCUUGAACUAACUGGCUAUUUCAUACUGAUACAUGCUUCCUUAUUUAUUGCUUGGUUCUGACAAUAUGGUUAAAGUUGUUUUGCUUCAUUCUGUGACUAGCUGAGGACUAAUUAUGCUGUAUGGUAAAAAAGCAAUGUCUGUUUGGUAUUGUCUUUCUCUCUGGUUGUUUUUGUGUCUACUUCAUGUUGGAUUGGAUUUUGUAUUAGUUACAUGCUUUUGAUGUUUAGCAUUCAGUUUUGAAUGCAGUUAUGGCAGCAAUUUUUGUUAUCUUCUGCUUCUAUGAAUUGCUCCAUGAUGUAUGCCAGCAUUUUUCUCUGGCGAUCCGAGAUACGGUGUCUAGAUCGAAAAUGAAUAAGGGUUGGUUAGUGUUUAUAUUGAUUUGCAUGUUGGUGGAGAAGAUACUAUUAUGGAGUAUAAGGUGUUGGAGUGCGUUGUUUGCGCAUAUUGAUUAGUAUGAGGAAGAUGCUGUGCACCGGUUUGUUGGAAGCUGCAUGAUGACUUGCUUUUUGAAAUUAAAGAUUUCGAUGCUGUUACUUGCUUGCCGUGAUCUAUUUCUAAUUAAAAUACAGGUUAGUAUUUUGUGGUUUGCUUUUUGGUUGUGAUGAAGUAGAGGCUUACAAUGUGUACUUGUGCAUUAAAUGACACUUCAUGAUAAAUUUCUCUUGUGUAAGCGUAGGAAGCAUGUUAGAGAUGAAGGAAUCAAAGAUGAGAAGGAAUCAAAAAUGGAGAAGGAAUCAAAGAUGAGAAAGCUUAUCUUGAUCUCCACAGGUUAGGGCUCAAAAGAGCUCUCUAAGGGGGCUGGGGUGUUAUAUAUAGAGUUGCAACAAUUGCAAAUACAACCCCCAACUAAAACAGCCCUCUCUGCAAAGUGUAUCGGUACACGGGAAAGUGUAUCGGUACAAACCCAGUGUACGCGCGAACUCGAGGCUCGGGUUGGCAGAAAAUUUCAUUUGUACCGGUACAACCAUCAAGGUGUAACCGGUACACUUUCUGUACCGGUACAACCAUCAAGGUGUACCGGUACACAGCCCAGCAAAAUGCAACCUGAGAGCAGCCUAAGUCCAUGUAAUAUACCGAAACUUCGGUAAAUAAAUGUCGAACUUUAGUCAAAUUGACCAAAGUGCGAGGUUGGUACGCUUUGGAAAGGCCGAAGGCGUCAAAAUGGGUAAAAGUGCAUUGUUGGGGGUUUUCGAGAGCUAAAGAAUCAAAAAUCUGCUUACUGCAGUUUUUGAGCUCUCGGGGACCGGUCCCUGGAGGGAUAGACCGGUCCCCGAAUGUGAAAAAUCUCAUAGAUGGAAAAUCGGCUAAGUCUCAGAAAACCAGCUUUCGGGAAUCGGUCCCUACGGGGAGAGACCAGUCGCCGAGAGACCGGUCCCUCAGGAGAGACCGGUUGCAUUGUGCGAGAGCCUUGCUGAGCUGCGGGAGUGCUCUCUGGGACCGGUCCCAUGCUUGAGAGACCGGUCCCCGGGCGCGAAAACUGCCCAGUCAGGGCUAUUCAAUGAGAUCAAAGUUGAGGGGCUUAUUUGCAUUUAUGCACUAAGUGGGCUAUGUAUGAGGGGGUAUGAGAUAUUUCUCUCAUUUCUCUCUCUCACACUCUCUCAUAUCUCUCUUUCUCUCUCUAGAAGGCAAGGAGAAGAAGAAAGAAAGGAGAAAAAGGAGAAAGUAGAAGAAAUAAAGGAAAAGAAAGAGAAGGAAGGGUGAAGAAGAAGGCAAGGGAGUGGAGCUACUUCCUCUUCUUCCUCCUUGGUGCAAGAAAGUGAAGCUUUUAGAGGUAACCUUCAACCUCUUUCAUGGUAGAACCUAAGUAGGGUUUUGAUAGAGCUAAGAAUGGUUUUGAUGGAAUCUCUUGAGUAGAUUAAGCUUUCUUUUGUUUAUCUUUAAGAUCAAAACCUAGGGUUUUGGUAUAUGUUGGAGCUAGGGCACCCCAAAUUGGAGCUUUUGCUUGUGAGGGUUCCAAAGUUAAAUCGACCCUCUAGAAACCUAAUUGGGGGUAUUUCCGACGCGUUGGUGCGCUCGGUUUAACGUUACAAAAAGCCUAUGUAGAGAUAUAAGCAAAAAGGGCCUAAUUUGGCUUCGUUUUGCCGCAGAUAGCGAUCUAGGCGACUAAAAAUUCUAAGAAAAUCACCGUAGCACCCUAGCAAACCUAUGUGGUGGGUGGUGCUUUCCAAACUUAUUAAAAUUCCUUUUAUGUCUAAUGUAUCACUUUCUUGAGCAUAUGAGCAAAUGUUUGUGCAUGCAUUGUAGGGUAAUUGAGAUAAUGUUAUUGGAUUGUUUGCAUGUUGUGAGUACAAAUGCAUUAUGAGACGGUUGAGAACCAAUAAGAAUGUAAUAACCCUAUAUGUUCAUGUAAAGAGACAAGAAUUGAGAAUAAUUAAAGAACAAGUGACAUGUGACAUGAGGACAAUGUAAUGUUAAGAACAAAAGCUAGAGUUAGCAUCAAAAGUGUGGUAUUAAAGAAUGAAAGCUAGAGUUAGCAACAAAUGUGGCAUAAAGAACACUAGAGUUAGUGUAAUGACAUGGUUGAAAACAAAAAAUGCAAAGAACUUGAGAUUGAGACACAAUGACAGAUAACCUUAGAGCUAAGGGUCAUUUGUGCAUGAUUUCCUUAGAGUUAAGGAACGGAUUGAAUUGAAUAUCCUUUGAGUUAAGGAUUUGAUCAUACUCGCUAUAAGUCCUUACUCGAGGGUGGUCGCUCCCCCUCGGGCGAUGCGCUCCGGAGUUUGUCAUCACUGGGUUGGUGCUGUUCCCUAGAGGACGGUUCCAACGGGAGGAAGCUGAGGGCCCGUUUAAAUGGGAUUUUGAGUGGGCGAGUUAUUAACGUGAAUGUAGUGUACCGAAUUUUUAAUAUAGAAAUAAGUGUAAAUAAAAAAUAGUGUUAUGAGAUGGGCUAAGGUGUAAUUGUGCAAAUGAGAGGGGCUAAGGUGUAAUGGUGCAAGUAAUUGAGUUUACUUGUUGGGCAAGUUUCCUAUGUACCUAUGUAAUUGAGUUAACUUGUGGGGCAAGUUUCCUAUGUAAUUGAGUGAAUUCUUGACCUUUUACCCCAAACCGUAGGAGAAAGAGAGGGUGGGUUUUCUCUCUUUUUCUCUUUGACUUUAUGACCUCUCUUUCUCUUUGCUUCUCUUUACCAAAGAGAGGAUUAGAGAAGAAAGAAAAAUUAGAAUUUGCUUGGUGGUGAAGCAAGCUUGGUGGAGAAGAAGGCUUGGAAUUGAGUUACUUUCUUCAUCUUCUUCAUCACUUGGAUUAGAGAAGAAAGCUUGUUUAAGGUAAGCUUCAUGGGCUCUAAUGGCAUAUAGCUAGAGAUGGGUUUAAAUCNCGGCCAGUGAAUUGUAAUACGACUCACUAUAGGGCGAAUUCGAGCUCGGUACCCGGGGAUCCUCUAGAGUCGACCUGCAGGCAUGCAAGCUUGGUGGAGAAGAAGGCUUGGAAUUGAGUUACUUUCUUCAUCUUCUUCAUCACUUGGAUUAGAGAAGAAAGCUUGUUUAAGGUAAGCUUCAUGGGCUCUAAUGGCAUAUAGCUAGAGAUGGGUUUAAAUCUCUUAGAAUCUAGCUAGAUGGAAAUCCUAGUUGAUGUUAGGUUGCUAUUUGCUUGAAUCAUGAAUUUAUAUAGUGUAUUAUUGCAAUAGUGACCUCUAGGAUUUUGGAAGAGAGCUCUUGAUCAUGAGAGGUUUUAAUCUCAAUUGAUCAUAUGUUUCCGCAAUUGAAGGUGAAACCGACGCGGAGGAUCAUUCGGAUUGAGAUUCCGUUGAGCCGGUGGUGGUCAAAGUGAAGAAAAUUCUAUUUUUGCUUCAUUUGUCGCAGUUGGAAGAAAACAACGGCCGUAAAUCGCGCUGCUAGGCUACUCGCUUCGUGUCGACAUCACGAGGUGGGGGGUGCUAUCCGAAAUAGCCGGGUUUCAUUCUAUGUCUGAGUUCUACUAUUAUUGAUCAUAUAUCAUCAUGCAUAGAAUAGUGCGAAUCCUAUGAGUUGUGGUAAUUUCAUGCUUAGUGUAAGGGAUAAUGAUCCAUGAUUGCAUGAUACUUGUAGGAAUAUCUAUUUGCAUGAUGUUGAGAUAGAUGUGGACAUGUAUGUUGUAUGAGAACUUUUAUAUGAUGCCAAUAUAAAUAUUGUACAUGUUGUAUGAAUUGCUAGUGGACAUAUGCAUGUGAAUAUGAUGUAAGAAUAGACUAGAUUCAUGAGGAACUAGUAUGUAAACCAAUGACAUUGUGAGAAUUGGAAACUAAUGCAUAUGUGGCCGACCUGAGCAAAGCAUGCCUUGUGAGGAUAGGGAUAUGGUACCCCUGUGGCCCUCGAAUGAGAGGACUUGAUCAUAUUCGCAUUGUUUGUUAUAGCUUGUGGAUGGUCGCUCCUCCCAAGCAGUGAGCUCCGGAGUUGAAUCACAUUGAGAUUGGAACGGGGGAGAGAGUCACUACGGUGCGCCCUCGGCAGACGGUCACGGUCGCGUGACAGUAUGUGUGGCGAGUGAUUCGACCUUCGGGCGAAUCGUUUGGAUUUGACACAGGCAUGAUCAUGGCAUUUCGUAUAUAGUUUGCAUACAUGACAGAACUUAAACAUGUACUUGUUGACAUGAUUUGUAAAGGCAUAGCUACACAUUUGAAGCAUGAUAUAGAUGUAUAUGAGCAGGUUAGGCUUAUUGUUUAUCUAUUAUCUCCUUGACAUAUUAUCAUUCUAUUGUUUCUAUGCCUUUCUUGGACCUAGUGGGAAAAUCGGCGGGGUCGGCGGCCGAACCCACUGGGAACUAUGGAUAAUAGUUCUCUCACCCUGUUUUGCAGAGCCUAGUUCGAGCGCGUGUGUCGAGGAUCGCGGCAAGGGCGUCGCGCAGUAGAUAGCGUGGACCACCGGCGUUAGCUCACUACCCUCGAGUAUAAAAAGGAAAGAAUGAUAUGUAAAACCCUUUUGUGAAGAAAUGUAAUGUAUUUGAGAGAUGGUAUUUUGGUUGUAUGUAUGAGAAGUAAAGUGAAAUAUGUGAUGGUUCAUGUGUGUGAACAAGUGAUGUAAUAGAUAGUUUAAAUUCUCUUGUAUCUGUGAUUGCCUCUCUCAAUGUUGAAUGCUAAUAUCACUUGUUGGAUAUGUAUGCAUAGACUUUGUUACAAUUCGAUCCAUGUUCAAAGAAUAAUGUUCAAUGACAUUGUUCACUAUUCUUUUACCCAAUCUGUAGCGAAGCCCUAGAGUUCGCCAAUAACUCACCUUUCAAUCCCAAAGUGGGGAGGGAGCUCCAAGUGCACCCAAGCCCGGGACCGUCUGCGGACCUCCAUGUGGUCCGGACCUCCAAGUGGUCCUAGUCGCACGACACUCCGGAGUACUUGACGACAAUCCCCUCCAUGUGGGGAUAUGGAUGGCUAUACCAUCCCAAAAGCAGACUGUGAGCUAGAUCUAUCCUCUCCAAGUGAGGAUACCCUACAACUUGGGUCAACAACCCAAUCCAAUCCUCUCCAAGUGAGGAUGCUCUAUAACUAGAGUCAACAACCCAAUCCAAUCCUCUCCAAGUGAGGAUGCUCUUCAACUAGAGUCAACAACCCAAUCCAAUCCUCUUCAAGUGAGGAUGCCCUACAACUAGGGUCAAUAUCUCAAUAACUCAUCGACAACCUCUCCAUGUGAGGGUACUUAGGUUUACUAAGUUCUUUAUCCACAAGGCAUUUUCUAAGGGAUUCACCUAUCCCUAGGUUCUCAAACCUCUAGUGUCAAAUACACUACAUUAAUGCCACUCGAUGUGUUCUUGUUUUCCAAUGUCAAUUUCUCUAAUCGACCAAGUUCAACAUGCAUAAUUCAUCCACUAUGUUCCACAAUAUGGCAACAUGUAUAAUUCUUCUAUCAUAUGCAAUAUAUGUCAUCAUGUAUAUGUUUCUAUUUAACAUAAUCCACAAUAUGUUAAUUCACAACAUGUCAUCAUGCACAUAUAUUACUAGCAUCACAUGAUAUGUCAACAUACAUAUAAUCAUCAUCCAAAGUAGUCUAUACUUAGCAUCUCAUGCAUUCUUUUAGCAUUUAAUUCAUUAUACAUUUCAUCUCAUUGGUAGGUAAUAUCAACUACAUAAUAUGUUUCAAGCAUUCAUAUUAUCAUGUAAGCCUACCAAUACAACUAUAUGCAUCAAUGUGAAUUCAUAUGUUUCUUAAACAUAAAGGGCGACCUAGUCGCUUCGGUAAGCACAACCCACCUCAAAUCGCUUUCCGAUUGCUUGUCGACAUUUGCAAUCGGCCUCCCGCGGCACCCGUGACCCGGUUCGGCCCGAACUCUCACGCGACCACCCGAACGGCCACCAAUCCGCGAUACGUCUGUUCUGGAGUUUAUUCCUCGAUACAACGAUGCUCCAGAUCCGUUUUCGUGAUUUUUGGGCGUCUAUUCCGUGUGCUGCUGCUAUCUGUACCAAAACAGACUAUUUCGUCAAUAUCUUUGCGUACACUCGUCGGAUUGUCGAACCGAGCGCACCAACGCGUUCGUUAUACCCCCAAUUAGGUUUGUAUAGGGUCAAUUGAUAUCAAAACCCCUCAUGAGCAAAAGCCCUCUUUUUGGAGUCCUAAAACCUCACUAUUGCAAUUAGCUUCAUACAAGCAUUAACCCGAGCAAUAAAUGAGAUUAAUUACUUCUAGAGCAUCAUUAAGUUCCAUUUCUAGAGUAUAAAACCCUAAUCCAAGCAUUCUUCUAUGAGAAGGCAAAGAGCUUACCUCUACUAAGCUCUUUCUCUAAGCUAAGGAAGAAGACAACAAUGGUGAUCCUCCUUCAAGCUCCAAAUCUCCACCAAUCCUCCUCUUGAUUCCACUUCUAGAGAGAGGGAGAGCUUCUAGAGAGAGAGAGGGAGAGUGUUCGGUGGUUGCAAAUGAGAGAAAUGAGAGGGGAUGAGUUCUACACCCCUCUAUAAUAGCUUAACUCAUGCAACAAUUACAAAACAGCCCCUCAACUUUGUGUUUUAUGCACUGCCCGCGCGGGGUCAUUUUUUGUAUAAGGGACCGGCCCUCUAUACAAAUGGGGGACCGGUCCCCGUAAGUCCAGAAUUUCAGCAUUUUUAGGACUUAGCCAAAUUUCAGCCUUUUUCGUUUUUUUUCUGUUUUCGCUCGUUUGACCUCCGAUUCUUUUCAAAUCGAACCGAGACUCUCCAAACAUGUUUUUGAGCGUGUUUUCAUCAUCUUUUCAUCCACGCUAAUGCCGGAUUCAGUUCAUGGUCAAACAUAGCCUUUCGGGUUCCGUUUUCGCGCCUACGCGCACCAAAACGCCCGUAUGCUCCCGAACUUCACCGAACUUCACCGGAACCAUUCAAAUGGUUUUUCAAACCAAUGUACACCGUAACUUCAUAAUUUUAGAAGUCCGGUACCUUACAAUUGCACAAAUCGGAAGAUAGACGGUCGCAAUCCUCACUCGAAGAUGCCGGCCUUGUCCUCGUCGUCCCGCACGAUGAAGGGCACGCAGUGUAGAAGCCGAGAAAACUCCCUCUCAAACUCGGCUACGGUCCGGUCUCCCUGGCGCAAGUUGCGCAAGUCCUGCUCCAUCUUUCUUUUGACACCGUCAAGGAAGUAGUGCGCCAAAAGAAGCUCCUUGAACGUCUUCCAAGAGAUAGCCACGACGUCCGUGCUGGUGUUCUCCUGAAUGUCCAACCACCAGAGGUAGGCCUCGCCGUCCAAGUGGUGUGUGGCGAGCCAAACUCAAUCCCUCUCCUCCAUGAAGGUGUCGCGGAAGAGCUUCUCCAUGUGCAUCAACCACUUCUCCACGAUCCAGUGGUCGACCUUCUCUCCGUCGAAGAUCCGGGGACUGCACCUCCUGAACUCAUUAAGGCGAUCCAUGAGCCGAUCCCGCUUUGCUCCCUCAACUAAUGCGGGAAAAACUGCCCCCGCCGGAGGCACCUGAGCUGGUGGUGCCACACAAUCUCUUCCCGAGGUGCGACUGCAGGUGUCGUCCGAGAUGUGUCGAGGACGGGGGACGACCCCCUGGGUGCGACCACAUCCACAGGCGCCGGUGGUGUAGGAAUCUUAUAGGUUGCUUCAUACAAUGCCAACCGGAGUUGGCAACUCGAAGUUGAGUUGAUCACCGCCCCCCGGGUUUGUUCUCGGUGAUCAACAUACGAUAAAAUUAGGCUUCGCCGCUUGAGAACAUCUGUGGCAUAGCAACCGGGGGGAGAGACCGAAUGUGUAACACACUGGACCUUUGCAAAUUGCGAGGCUCGAGUGAUUGGAUGUGUUUCGAGCUUCUCCACACUUGGUGGAGGGUCGUAGAAUAUUUUCCGACCUAAGAAGUUCGAAAACUUGAGUUCCGGACGAGUCCUGAGAGUUUUCACUCUCGGGGACCGGUCCCUGAAAGGAAAGACCGGUCCCCCAGUGAGCAGUGUUGUGCUGUCGGCGAGGCAACCGGUCCCUGGCGGGCGAAACCGGUCCUCGAGCGCGCCUUCGCAGUGAGAGACCGGUCCCGCGUAGGGAGAGACCAGUUCCCGAACGUUGGUUUUUCGGAUUCACAGCGAGAGACCGGUCCCUGCUGGGGAGAGACCGGUCCCUCUGGGCGAAAACUGCCCAAACCGGGCUGAUGUAAUAUUGGUUUUUUUGAGGGGCCUCUUGGGAUUUUGUUGCAAUAGAUGGUCUAUAUGACCCAUCCACCCUCUCUUCUCCUCAUUUCCCUCCUCACACUCUCCCCACACCCUUGCUAGAGAGAGAAGAAGGAGAAGAAGAGGAAGGAGAAGAAGAGGAGAAGGAUCUAGCUUGGGCUUGAAGCAUUCCUUUGCCUUUCUUCCUCUUCCCACCUUGUUGGUGCUUGAAGGCUUGGACUUGGAGCUUGCAAAGGAGAAGAUCUUCACCCUUGGAGCUUGGAUUGGAGUUCUCUUGAGGUUGGUUGUUUGUUUCUUCCCUCUAGACCUAGCUUUGAUGGAUUUUAGGGGAUGAAACCCUAAAAUGGGAAAUCUAGGGUUUAUUUGGGGCUUUUUGAUUGAAGGCUUUUUGGGCUAAUCUAAUGAGAUUAGAACCUUGGUUUAGGUUGCUUUGGAAGGAUCCUAGCCUUCUUUUGGAGCUUGAGAGAGAGAUUCUACUCCUUAGGUGAGUUUUUGCUCUAUUCUUGUGAUUGUUAAUGUUUGAGCUAGAGUUGCUCGUAAUGCUUGUAUAUCUCUUCACUGAUCACUUUUAGGGUAUUUUGAGACUCGUGAACAACUUCGUUCGGCGAAACGAAGCCUUACGCGACGGUUUGGUGGGUUUGACCUAGCCUUUAAUAUGAGAAAUUCUCAUAUAUGGUGAUAAAUGCUUCGUAAAUUGGAAAAGCAUGCAUAUUCACACUAAAUGUAUUUAUUAUGAUUUUUGGAAGGCUUAAGAUGCCUAUGUUACAUGUGAUGAAAUUUUGAGUCUCCUUGUAGUAGAGGAUAGCAUAUAAGGCUUAUGCGGGAUUUUUGGCAUUCUUAUAUGGAAUCAUGUUCCUUGUAGUAUAAAUGAGCUUGGAUUCAUGUAUCUAAACCUAAUUUUAAUUGAGACAUGAAAGAUAACAAAAUUUGCCAUAAAGAGGCACCGAACUUGAAUGUCAUAUGAUUUAGAGAGCUAAUGUCAUCAAGCGGCGUUGAGCUCGGGACAUGGUUGAACCUAGUGAAUAGGGCCAUUGAGGGAUUGGAAACAUGUUGAACAUUAAAUUGUCUAAGUGUCAUCAAGGGGCACUAGGCGUAAUAAAUGUUGGAACUUCACUUUGUGACUUAGAACUAGAUCUUCGGGAUGCUAGUGACUAUACCAUGUUAGAGACAUGAUGAUUGGAUACUUGAGACGUUGACUACGCUUGCUUGCCAUUUGUGCUCAUUCGCACAUGCUUGUGAGGGUCGCUCCCUACAAGCCGGCACUCCGGAGUUAGCCUACGCGACUUAUGUUCGCUCGUGCGGUAUUGAGAAGCCUACGGGGUCGAGUGGGACAGACACAUUCCAAGAGUAGGGAUGUUGGGCUACCAUAGGCACUUAGGCGACACAAGCUGGACUACCUUUCGUAGGUCCUUAAUUGGAAAUGAAAAUCGACACAGGGUUGAGAAUGAAUAAUCACUACUAGAUAGGAUUAGUAGUUGGAUUACUAUGACAUGCUUGUAGCAUAGUGUUGAGACAGGUAGUAUACUUGAUAGUCUUAUUUAUUGCAUCAUAGUAUACUCACUACCAUGAUAGAGCAUAUUCUUCGUACAUUGUCAUAGUAGAUCAUGUUACCUACUUGCUCGUUAUGUUGGGAUAUAUUAUUCAUGCUUUGAUAUACUUCAUUUGGAUAUAGUAAAUGUACAACCAUUUGACAUCUUGCUUAUGUGCAACAUAGUAGUUUAGCAUUUUAUUUUGCUUUCUUAAAUGCAAACCGUUUAUUAUCAUUAUAAUUAUCAUAGCUUUUGGACUUACCCUUUUCUUUUGGGGCCUAGUGGUGCAUUGUGCUGAGGUCAGUAAUUGCCCACUGGGAACUAUAAAUUAUAGUUCUCACGCCCUCGUUUUCUUGAUGUUUUUCAGAGCCUUCCACGCCGGGAGAGGCUAGGAACCGCGGGAAGAGAGUUGCUUCGAUCUAGCUUCCUUCGGGGACGAUUUGAUAGGUGGUCUACCUCUCGUUAUUUUAUUUUGUGAGAGGUUGAGAGUUGUACCCGUAUAUGUAUAGAGACCACCCUUCUUUUGGAUUUAUGUAUUUUUUUUGAGGAGUUUGCUUUGUAUCACCCUUGUGCUUUACUAUUAUGGAUUAGUAUGUUUCCUUUCUUUUUGUUUUAGAUGAUAGAACUUUACUCGCUCUGAUAUCAUUAGAUGUUAUUCAUUCCUAAUCGUUGUGAUUCUUGCUUUUACUUUCGCUUUUAUUUUAGACGCCUUAUGUCACGCCCCGCGACCUGCCAAUUUGGCCAGAUCCGGGCACGUCGAUCAGACGCCGAACGGACAGCACCUCUCCUGUCCGCCCAAGGCUCAACGACAAUAUCAUGUACAAGAAUUUCCAGGAGAAAUUCAUUCAACAUACAUGAUACGACAAAGCACCACUAGUGCUAUACAAUUAAGAGCAAGGAUCACAAGUAACAUACAAGUGAAAUAAAGAGAGAUACAUCUAGCUAUUACAUUCAUUCAACCUCAUUUUUCAUAUUGAUUUACAUUUUCAUCUUCCCAAAUGAAUACAUAUUCUUCUCAUAAUACAAAAUGGCUCUCCAAAUGCAUAAGUAACUUCCAAAUACAUUUACAUCUCUAUGUACACGAGGGUACUCUAAUGCAUAAGGAAAGCUACUAGCUACUAGGGCGCUGUGCCCUUACCACGGUCCUCUGCCGGUACGCUCUCGUGUGUACCUAUACCCCAAAACCACACGGGGUGAGAACUAUAAUGCGUUGAUAUGCAAGUUUAUCCUACGACGAUAAGAAGAGAAAGACGAAGAUCAUAAAAGGAAUGAAUACAAUAUUGUUGAUUAUGAUAAGACAAAAUUGGUGCUGAAAAAUGAUUUUUUCCUCGUUAAACUCUGAUUGUAUUUAUUUUGUUUCCUGCUGCACUUCUUUGUAUUGAGGCAUAGAAUAUUAGUAGCAAUGUAUUUCUAAUGUUACGGUCCCCUAUCUAUCUACUGUGCCAGCUUUGGAACCGUGAAAGUGAUCGGCCGGGUCGCGGCGCGACCACUGGAACGUAUAUUUGANNNNNNNNNNNNNNNNNNNNNNNNNNNNNNNNNNNNNNNNNNNNNNNNNNNNNNNNNNNNNNNNNNNNNNNNNNNNNNNNNNNNNNNNNNNNNNNNNNNNCAUAUCAAUUUGCUAAAGUUUUUUGAAUCACAAAUCGAUUGUUCUUAUGUUCAAAAUAUAUAAAUCGUUGUGUUUGACAGGGGUUUUCUUCGAAAAUGUACUCAUGGCUACUUGUUCUUGUGGUUCUUAUGGCUGGUGGUGGUCGUGGAAGUAAGCGACAGCGCUCGAAAGCUAAAAAGCCGAUUGAGUAUCAACCGGAGGAUGAAGAGAGCGAAUAUGCUCCUGGCGACGAUUCUGAGGAGGACGAGCAGGAUUGGGAGACUUUUGUUCCUGAAGUUUUAGCUAAGGAUAAGGACGCUGGGAAAGGCAAGGGAAAAGGAAAAGCCGUGGAUAAAGGCAAAGGAAAGGCAAUUGAGCGUCCCAGUCGUCGUAAGUCCGGGGGUGUUGAAAUUCGUGAACCGGGCUCUGAACCACCACGUCACAGUCUACAGGAUGUUCCAUCUAAUCGACGGUCGAUGUACUCGUCGAAACACUGUAUUGGUGAGCGAGAUGUUGGGGUGGCCAGUAUCAUUAGUUGUGUGCCGGGUUUUCAGGAGUUAUUUGAACAGGGAAAUCUUCAUCAGAUUUGUGAUUUUCCGGAGCAAACCGGUUAUUGCUUGGAGUUGAUCAGAGAAUUUUACAUGAGAGCAGGUCACCUCCGUGACUCCGACGGCGGUCCGUACGUGUUUAAGACUUCCGUACGUGGUGUUGAGUUAUCCAUCACUCCUGAGACAAUAGCUUCGGUGCUAGAGAUGGAAGCUAAGACUGACGGAGUGGAGUAUCUGCAGGCCGGGUUCGACUCACUUCGAGAUUGGAACCGUGUCGUGAACACUAUCUGCAUGCCGGGUACUGAAUCAAACGGAAUUAUGGUUAUGUCCAAAGAUUUCAAAAUGGAGUACAGAUUUUUGCACUUCGUGGUUUGCUAUAACAUCAUGCCUCUCGCAAACACGAAAAUUUUGAGAUGGGAUCGUAUUUUGUAUAUGUAUCUUUUGGGACGGCCUGAUAUUGUGAGUGCGAAAAACAUUAACAUGAAUAUUCCGUUUCUGAUCUGGCGGCGGAUGGCGAAAGACAUCAAAACCUCUGGACAAAAUGAGAGGUUACCAUUUCCUUUAAUCAUUAUGCGGAUUUUGCGACUUCGUGAGGUGGAUGUUCGGUGUACAUCAUAUGAGCACAGUUUGGGUCGGAUCAAUGUGUUAAGGAUUUUAUAGGUUGGCGAAUUUCGUAUAGUUGUUUGGAGUCUUGAAGAGUUGGUCGCAGAAGUUUUUGAGAAGAGAUUCAAAUUGGAGGACAAAGACUCAUUCGGAAAGAUCGACACCUAAGGUAUGAAUAAAAGAUCAUUUGUGGUGAAGAUACAUAAUUAGAAUAAGUUCAGAAGGCUUAGAUCGAUUUAAAACAACUUUUCUGAACUUUCAUGUGUUCUGGGACCGGUCUCUGAGAUGGAGAGACCGGUUCCCCCAAGGUCCUCACUGCGUAAACCAUGAUGGAACCGGUCCCCUGUGAUGAGAGACCGGUUCCCGAACCUUGGUGGUUCUGUCGCACAGCGAGGGACCGGUCUCAAGUUUGAGAGACCGGUUCCCGAACGUUGGGUUUCUGGUCACGCAGAGAGGGACCGGUUCCUCACUUGAGAGACCGGUCUCUCACAGACCGGUCUCCUCAAAAGGACCGGUCUCUGAGGACGACACAGGUUUUUGAAAACGACUUUUUGCAAUCCUAGUCUACUUCUAAGUCUUCUAAACAUAUAAAUAAGCUAUGUGGGUCAUCUAAAAUUAAGGCUUUGAAUAUUUUACCAAUUCUAAACUCUAGAAACUUGUUUCUUCCCGUUUCAAUGCUUAGAUUUACAUGAUGAGUUUCUAGUAAUCAACAUCGGCUUGAUUCUUCGUUUUUACUCGAUACUUCUUACGAGAAUCAAGUAGAUGGUUGAUUAAAGGUGAACCCUCAUAGCUUAUGGUUUUCAAAAGUUAAAUCACCACAAAUCUUCAAUUCUACAAGCUCCGGAAGGAGGUUCGGCGCGUGGAUCUCGCGUGAAGCCGAGGAUUCGGUGGACGCUUCGAGGAGUUGAGGCGUUGACGCUGCGAGGAGUUGCAGCAAGGUCGAUUGGUGGAUUCCUAUCGAUCGAGGACCGGCAAAGAUCACCGUCAACGAGAAAUCGGUAAAUUGAGUCGUGUGUUUUUGUCGAAAUCACUUGUACUCAAGUUUUCUUAGUGGAUUUUCUUUGCGUGAUCGGUCCCGUGGGUUUUUCACUCCGAAUUGGAGUUUUCCCACGUUAAAUUCUCGGUGUGCUAUUUUAAUUUCCGCUAUUGUGUUUUGUUUGCAUCGAGAUUUUUCGAGUUUGCCGGAUUUACACCUAUUCACCCCCCUCUAGGUGUUACUUACCUUUUAGAUCCUCGGGAUCCAUAUCUUACAAGUGGUAUCAGAGCGGGUAUAGGUUGUAAUUCAUGGCUGAGGGCGGUAACAUCAAUCGACCCCCGCUCUUCGAUGGCACUAACUAUGCUUAUUGGAAAGUCCGUAUGAGGGCGUUUCUUAUUGCUAUCGACGAGCGGGUUUGGCAAGCCAUUGAAUUCGGAUGGAAAAAUCCUACCGAAGUUGUCGAGAAUGUUACCGUGCCGAAACCUAGGAAUAAAUGGACGAAAGAGGAAAAUGAACUAUCUUCGUUCAACGGGAAAGGUAUCAAUGCUUUAUUCAAUGCUUUAAACCAAACUGAAUUUUCUCGCGUCUCGGCGUGCGAAACCGCCAAAGAGAUUUGGGACACUUUGCGAGUUACACACGAGGGUACAAGUUUGGUUAAGAUUCAAAAAUUGCAAAUGCUUACUAGCAGAUUUGAUUCCAUUCGUAUGGAAGAACAUGAAUCUUUUACCGAGUACUAUACUCGUUUGCAAGACAUUGUAAACACGUGUGCUAACUUGGGCGAGAAAAUUCCCGAUUCCAAAAUUGUUCGAAAAAUUUUGAGAACCCUUCCCGAACGAUUCCGUCCUAAGGUUGCGGCUAUCGAAACGGUUAAACAUCCUGAUGAACUCAAGGUAGAAGAACUAGUAGGUGCUCUUCAAACUUAUGAAAUGACUUUUCCAUCUAAUUCAUCUUCUUCCAAGUCUUUCUCUAAAGCCUCAGGGAUGGCUCUAAAAUCAACAAAAGGAGAUGCUUCUUCAACCUCAUCAGAUUCAGAGUCGGAGCAAAGCUUGGAGGACUUUGAGAAACAACUCGCACUUCUAACAAAGAAGUUCCGUCGGAACUUUAGAAAGAAGUUUCCUCCCAAGUCUACUUCAUCAAAGACAAACAAAUCAAAUGGGGGUCCGUCUUCUUCUUCCUCGUCAAAAUACAGAAAAUCUGAUAACUCUCAAAAGGACUCCACAAAAGAGAGGAAAAGCGGUGAAGGUCAAAUCCAAUGCUACAAGUGUAGGGGCUUUGGCCAUAUAGCGUCUGACUGUCCUAAUAAAAAGUCAUUGAAGAAGAAAGCUAUGCAAGCUAUGACUUGGGACGACUCCUCAUCUGAAGAUUCUACUUCGAGUGAAGAGGAUGUGAAUGCCACAGCACUGUUUGCACAGGAUUCAACUUUCAUGUGUCUAGCAUCUGCUGACUCGAUUUCUACGACAUCUAUACAAGAGAGGUCAUCUUCGGAGAACUCAUCGGAUGAAGAAUCGGACGAAGACGAUAUGGUCGCAGCAUAUCAACAAUUGGUUGUUGAAUCAAAGAAGAUGGCUAAACAUAACAAGAAACUGCGGCGUAGCCUACAUGAGUUGGAACAAGAAAAUUCAAAGUUGGCCUCUCUAACAAAGGAUUUAGAACAAGAGAGAGAUGGGUUGACCAAGGCUUACAAUUCUUUGCUUGAGAAGUGUUCGUUACUUGAAAAAGAAAAGGAGACUCAGGCGGAGAACAUCAAGUAUCUUACCAAGCAAAACUCAGAAGCUAGAGAAGCAAAUAUGGAAUUCACCAAGACGAUCAUUCAACUGAAGUCGGAUUUGAACCAAUUUUCAUCUGGCUCGAGCAAACUAGACAAGAUGCUUGGACUUGGUCAAACAAGUAAACUUGGACUUGGUUAUGAACGGACUUAUCUUGAUCAAGCUAUGAAGAAAGACGAUGGAAAUUCGUCAACGGCCGUUCCUAAACAUUAUGGUAAGUUUGUCUCUCCUAAAAACAAUGUGGCUAACAAAACUUGUCAUAUUUGUGGUCUUUUAGGACAUAUAAAGAAAUUCUGCUACCAAAUGGGAAAGAGCUCAAUAGCUUCUUUGAAGAGUGAUCCUAAAACGACAACGAAGUCAACUGUGAUUCCAAGGAAGAUAGAACAUAAGAAGAGACAAACUUGGACGCCAAAUACUCCAAAGCCAAAGGCAAAACAAGCGUGGAAACCAAAGAAGGAGGAUAUGAAGAAGAAGUCAAUUCAAAUCGUCGACAAGCCACGAUCAACAAAAGCAAGCGAACUGUCACAACCCAAAACACGUAAGGUUUGGGUGCGCAAAGGUGAACUCUUCCCAUGCCUAGUCAUUCACACUUCACUUCAUGCUUACGAUAACUCAUCUUGGUAUCUAGAUAGUGGCUGUUCCCGUCACAUGACCGGAGAUAAAAAUUGGUUUGCUUCUUUGACCAAAAUCUCCGGAGGACUUGUUGUCUUUGGGGACGGUCGAUCGUCAAAAAUCGUUGGAAAAGGAACAGUGGCUAUCUCAGAUGGCCCUACUUUGAACGAUGUUUUUUAUGUUGAGGGGCUUAAAUCUAAUCUCGUAAGCAUAAGCCAACUGUGUGAUGAUGGGUACUCUGUGAACUUUUCUGAUAAAGAAUGCCAUGUUACUCGUGAUGACAAUCUAUUCUUAAAGGGCAUUAGAUCUCAGAAUAAUUGUUAUGUAGUUCCUAGUUCGGCCACUGAACAUUGUAACCUAGCGUCAUUAGAAACUGAAACUUUAUGGCAUGAACGACUAGGUCACAUCAAUUUUAAAGAGCUAUCAAAGAUAACCAAGAAGGAAGUAGUUAGAGUUGUACCUAAGAUUGAUUUUAAAGAGAACACUGUGUGUGGGGGUUGCCAAUUAGGGAAACAAACUAGAUCCACACAUAAGAACUUGAACCACUUAGGGACAACUAAACCUCUAGAGUUACUUCACAUGGAUUUGAUGGGACCAUCUAGGAUUCAAAGUUUGGGUGGUAAACGUUAUAUUCUGCUUAUUGUUGAUGAUUUUACUCGAUAUGUAUGGAGUGCUUUCUUACGAGAAAAAGCUGAUACUUUUAAUUCUUUUUCUGAAAUCUGUCUUCGUCUUAUGACUGAACGAAAUGAGAAAAUCGUACGCAUUCGAAGCGAUCAAGGGGGAGAAUUCAUAAAUUCCAAAUUUGUUGAUUUCUGUGUUUCAAACGAUAUAAAACAUGAAUUCUCGGCCCCCUAUACACCCCAACAAAAUGGAGUGGUUGAACGUAAGAAUCGGGUUGUACAGGAGAUGGCUCAUGUUAUGCUUCAUAGUAAGAAAAUUGCUUUACAUUUUUGGGCCGAAGCAGUUAACACAGUUGUCUAUGUUAUCAAUCGGAUUUAUGUACGUCCGGGCACUUUGAAUACGCCUUAUGAACUUUGGCUUGGUAGAAAACCUAACAUUAAAUACUUUCGUGUCUUCGGGAGUAAAUGUUUUAUCCUUCGGGAUCGCAAAAAUCUUGGAAAAUUUGACUCUCGCAGUGACGAAGGCAUAUUUCUUGGUUAUUCUACUACAAGUCGUGCUUAUCGUGCGUACAAUUUACGAUCUAAGACGGUGAUAGAGUCUAUCAAUAUAAAAGUAGAUGAAGCUUCUUCUGUAAGUUCUUCUGUGAAUGGUUCUUCUAAUUCUUUGAUGAAUGACAAUGAUAAUGAUUCUCCGUUUGUAAUGCAUGUGAAUGAUGAUGUUUCUAUACCUGAUAAUUCCAUUGCAUCUUCUGAAAACAUUGCAUCAAAUGAUUCAUUUGAGCCACAAAACACUACGCCUGAAAUCCCUAGCGGAUCUCCUGAAACUAUCCCCCUGACUGAGUCAAGAGAUCAUCCUUUGUCGAAUGUGAUUGGGGAUCCUAAUGUUGGUGUGCGAACAAGAAGUCAGUUACAAUGUGAAUUUGCGUGUUAUGUUUCUUUGAUCGAGCCAAAGAAUGUUGACGAAGCUCUUGCUGAUGAAUAUUGGAUAAAUGCUAUGCAAGAAGAACUUGGUCAAUUUGUUCGCAAUGAUGUAUGGGAAUUGGUGCCUCGUCCUGAGCAACAACACAUUAUUGGUACCAAAUGGAUCUUUAAGAAUAAGAAAAAUGAGGAUGGUACUAUCGUGCGGAACAAAGCCAGACUUGUGGCUCAGGGGUACUGUCAAAUUGAGGGAAUAGACUUUGAAGAAACCUUUGCUCCGGUUGCCCGCCUUGAAUCUAUUCGUAUCUUGUUUGCGAUUGCUUGUCAUUUUAAAAUUACGCUUUUUCAAAUGGAUGUCAAAAGUGCGUUUUUAAAUGGAUUUUUAAAAGAGGAAGUUUAUGUUGAACAACCGAAAGGUUUUAUAGACUCAAAAUUUCCAAAUCAUAUUUUUCGACUGAAAAAGGCACUUUAUGGACUAAAACAAGCUCCGCGAGCAUGGUACGAACGUUUGACAAAAUAUCUUUUGGAAAAGGGCUAUAACCGAGGGGGAGCAGACAGAACUCUUUUUGUGAAGCAUCUGAAGAAUAAUUUCAAUGUAGCACAAAUAUAUGUGGAUGACAUAGUUUUUGGGGCUACUAAAGAUAAGGAUGCCGCUGAUUUUGCAAAGUUAAUGACCAGUGAGUUUGAGAUGUCAAUGAUGGGGGAGCUUAAUUAUUUUCUCGGGCUGCAAGUAAAACAAUCAAAAGAUGGAAUUCAUUUGUCACAGACAAAGUAUGCGAAGGAACUAGUUAAGAAAUUCGGACUAGAAAGUGCAAAGGAUUUUGUCACUCCGAUGGGUACAAGCAACAAAGGAUUGGGUUUGAAUUCAGAAGGUCAGAGUGUGGAUGAGAAACAGUACAGAAGCAUGAUUGGUAGCCUUUUGUAUCUGACUACGAGCAGACCUGACAUUGCGUUUAGUGUUGGAAUAUGUGCUCGUUAUCAGGCUAAUCCUAAGGAAGUACAUCUGAAAGCAGUUAAAAGGAUUAUUCGAUAUGUUAAAGGAACAACCGAGUAUGGACUAUGGUAUCCUAUGGGAACGUCUCUUGACCUAAUCGGCUACUCGGAUGCUGACUGGGCAGGCUCCGCAGAUGAUCGAAAAAGUACUAGUGGGGCAUGUUUUUACAUCGGACAUUGUUUGGUCGCUUGGCACAGUAAGAAGCAAAAUUGCAUCGCUCUUUCCACUGCAGAAGCUGAAUACAUUGCAGCUGGAAGUUGCUCUACUCAAUUGAUUUGGAUGAAAAGCUUACUAAGCGACUAUCGGAUUCCUUCUACCACUCUGACUAUUCUGUGUGACAACACAAGUGCAAUUAAUAUUUCAAAAAACCCUGUUUUACAUUCUCGAACAAAACAUAUUGAACUACGAUAUUAUUUUUUAAGAGAACUGGUAGAAUCAAACGUUUUACAACUUGAAUACAUUUCAACUGAAAAUCAACUUGCAGAUAUUUUAACCAAACCUUUGGAUCAAAAACGUUUUCUGCAUUUGAGAAAGGCAAUUGGUAUGAACCCAUCAAUCUAGAUGUAGUCUAUUGAGCCACAGAUCAUGUGCAUGGUGCAUAUUUUGUUUCUUUUCUUGCAUGAUUUUCUGUGUUUGACAGUAGAUUGAAUUUCGAGAAUAAUCUUGCUGUUUUGGGACGUGAAUUGGUCUAUGACUUGUAUUAUUUCAUAUUUGUUUUUUGGUUGAUCACUGUCAGGGUUAUUCUCUAUUGGCAUAUUUUUACACGAUCAAAUCAUUAAGAUUCUUGUUAACAUGUUGAAUCAUAUUCAGCACCUCAUGCGUCGAACUUUGAAUGUUGCAAUCAUUUGUUUGAUUAUUAGUUUUGAGAUGAAUAAAUCUUUCUCUGUUUUGAAAUAACUAUAAUAUUUUAACUUGAGGGUUGCACUAAUUUAGGGGGAGUCUUUCUAAUUCUAGCUAUGAAUAUUUCUGAAAUUCAAGAUGUGGAAAGAGUUACAUCCCUGCUGGGAGUGUGAAAACUACCACCACAUGGAGGAAAGAGCUACCACCCCGGUCGUCCGGUUAGUGUGUGCAGCUACCACAUGUUGAUUAAAGUAUUUAUGUGAGACAAAAGAAAAGUACUUCUCAGAAAGAAAAAAAAAAAGAAUAAUAUGCUCAAAGAGCUUUACAUCUUGUAGGUGAUAUAAGGUGGAAUGUCAAUAAAAGAUGCUCAAAGAGCCACUCCUGUCUCAGACGAUGUGCAUAACUCAAUUUAAUCAUAUUAUGUUAAUUUCACAAUUUUGAGAAAUAUUUAUUUCAUUUUCUUUAACAAAAUAUGAUGAUAAAAUGAUACAAUUUAUUUCUAAGAUCUUGCAUGAUGUGUGGGAUUUUAUUUUAUAUGUAUCAAGAAUUCUCAUUGAUUUUCGGUUAAAAAGUUUGAAAUUUUGAAUAUCCCUGAACUUGAUUUUUCAAAAUUCAUUUAUGAAAUUCUAUUUAAAGUUUUUUUUUUGGAUGAAAAUAAGUUAUUUGUGAUGAUUAGAUAUUAUGAGAUACCCUUCAUUUUUUUUGGAUUUUUUGGGGAGUAUUUAAAAUUUUUGAAAAUUUUCUGGCUCGGAGACCGGUCUCAGGGAAGAGAGACCGGUCCCUCCGCCCGAACCGAUAUAAAGGUUUUUGCGGGUUCUUCUUUUUCCUUACCAAUCUCGCUCAAGUUUUUUCUCCAGAGCUUCUAAUAUCCCCAGGUUGCUUUUGCUUCCAUUCUUCAUCAAUCUUCACUUGAUUUUGGUAUGAUUCUCGGAUUUUAUUUCAUUGUUAACCUAGAAUCCGAAUUUAUGCUUUAUUUUCAAUUUUUGGAGGAUUUGUUCCUAUUAUGUUGUUAGAUCUUUCCGUCUUUGCCCUGAUCUUACCCCUAGACAUGUUAGUCAACAUUUUCAUGCAUUAUUUCGUUUUUUAUAUACAAUUGUUUGGUUGUUUUUGCUACUUUUUCAUCAAAACCUAGGUUUUCGAAGUUUUCGUAUUUUUCUUUACUGAUUUUUUUUAUGCUUGAUUUGUUUAUGAUUUAUAUGAUCAUGUGGCUCAGAGGAUUAUCUAAUAUUUAUAUACGAAUUUGCUGAAAUUUUUGGUUUUAAGGAAAUUUUAUAUGUAAAUUUCAUUAUGUUUAACAGGUAAUUUUUUCACAAAAUGUACUCGUGGGUUCUCGUGCUUGUUGUCCUUAUGGCUGGGGGUGGUCGCGGUAGCAAGCGACAGCGCUCCUCGACUAAGAGGCCGGUUGAGCAACAACCGGAAGAUGAAGGGAGUGAAUAUGCCCCGGGUGAUGAAUCUGAGGAGGACGAGCAGGAUUGGGAGACUUUUGUUCCUGAAGUUUUAGCUAAGGUUAAGGACGCUGGGAAAGGCAAGGGCAAAGGAAAAGCCGUGGAUAAAGGCAAAGGAAAGGCGACUGAGCGUUCCGGUCGUCGUAAGUCCGGGGGUGUUGAGAUUCGAGAACCGGGCUCUGAACCACCACGUCGCAGUCUACAGGAUGUUCCAUCUAAUCGACGGUCAAUGUACUCGUCGAAACACUGCAUUGGUGAGCGAGAUGUUGGGGUGGCCAGUAUUAUUAGUUGUGUGCCGGGUUUUCAGGAUUUGUUUGAACAGGGGAAUCUUCAUCAGAUUUGUGAUUUCCCGGAGCAAACCGGUUAUUGUUUGGAGUUGAUCAGAGAGUUUUACAUGAGAGCAGGUCACCUCAGUGACUCCGAUGGGGGUCCGUACGUGUUUAAGACUUCUGUCCGUGGUGUUGAGUUAUCCAUCACUCCGGAGACAAUAGCUUCUGUGCUAGAGAUAGAAGCUAAGACUGACGGAGUGGAGUAUCUGCAGGCCGGGUUUGACUCACUUCGAGAUUGGAACCGUGUCGUGAACACUAUCUGCAUGCCGGGUACUGAAUCAAACGAAAUUAUGGUUAUGUCAAAAGAUUUCAAAAUGGAGUACAGGUUUCUGAACUUUGUGGUUUGCUACAACAUCAUGCCUCUCGCGAACACGAAAAUCUUGAGAUGGGAUCGGAUUCUGUACAUGUAUCUCUUGGGUAGGCCAGAUAUUGUGAGUGCAAAAAAAUAUUAACAUGAAUAUUCCAUUUCUGAUCUGGCGGCGGAUGGCGAAAGACAUCAAAACCUCUGGGCAAAAUGAGAGGUUACCAUUUCCUAUGAUAAUUAUGCGGAUUUUGCGACUUCGUGAGGUGGAUGUUCGGUGUACAUCAUAUGAGCACAGUUUAGGUCGGAUCAAUGAAAGGACGUUUGUAAAGUCCUCGGUGCAGCUUCGUACGCCGUCUCAACGUGCUUCUACCCCUCCUGCAGCUCCACCUCCUGCUACUGCUACUUCUUCCCGUCCUUCUAUCGACAUUUCUGAGGAAGAUGUUUCUGUUUCAUCGGUGUAUCGCGAGCAGCAACGUUUAUCUGAGGAGCUACAAAAGUUGUCUGCAGAACAAGCUGUGAUUCGUAAGGAUGUGAGCAAGAUGAAGCGCUUGUUGAAUAUGAUUUUUGACAUAUUGGGAUGUUGUCGGGCAGAUUUACCUCCAGGAGAUGAUUCUGACUAGGGGUUAUCGAGCUUCUUCUUUUGUCGUUUUGGCGCUUUCUGACAAAAAGGGGGAGAUGGAUGGGAUGGUCUUAAUGAUGAUGAUGAUGCAUUGGUGCAUUCCUGAUGUUUAGUUAGUUAAGAUGUUUAAUGCAUUCCUGAUGUUUAGUUAGUUAAGAUGUUUAAUUAUGAACUAUGAUGCUUUAGGUGUCUGACUUAGUGCUUUCGGUUAGUUUGACUAUGAACUAUGAAGUGUGAACUUUAGUUGAUUGUUUGAUCUUCUUGAUACUUGAAUCUUGAUUAUGUUUUGAGAAUGUUUUUGCAGGAAUAAUUCAAGACUUCAAGACUCCAUGUCUAAGUCAUAGAGUUUGUAUUAAGGUUGUAAAAGUGUAAAUUUUGUUUAUUGGAUUGAUCAUGCAGGAGAUUAUCGUUUGGUGAUUGCGAUGAUCUUCUUUUUAUGACUUAUUGGUUGUAUACAAACUUUGUGUUAUAUUUUGUCACGAAAUCGCCAAAGGGGGAGAUUGUUAAGGAUUUUAUAGGUUGGCGAAUUUCGUAAAGUUGUUUGGAGUCUUGAAGAGUUGAUCGCAGAAGUUUUUGAGAAAAGAUUCAAAUUGGAGGACAAAGACUCAUUCGGAAAGAUCGACACCUAAGGUAUGAAGAAAAGAUCAUUUGUGGUGAAGAUACAUAAUUAGAAUAAGUUCAGAAGGCUUAGAUUGUUUUUAAACAACUUUUCUGAACUUUCUUGUGUUCUGGGACCGGUCUCUGAAAUGGAGAGACCGGUUCCCCCAAGGUCCUCACUGCGUAAACCUUGAUGCAACCGGUCCCCUGUGAUGAGAGACCGGUUCCCGAACCUUGGUGGUUCUGUCGCGCAGCGAGGGACCGGUCUCAAGUUUGAGAGACCGGUUCCCGAACGUGGGGUUUUUGGUCACGCAGGGAGGGACCGGUUCCUCACUUGAGAGACCGGUCUCUCACAGACCGGUCUCCUCGACAGGACCGGUCUCUGAGGACGACACAGGUUUUUGAAAUCGACUUUUUGCAAUCCUAGUCUACUUCUAAGUCUUCUAAACAUAUAAAUAAGCUAUGUGGGUCAUCUAAAAUUAAGGCUUUGAAUAUUUUACCAAUUCCAAACCCUAGAAACUUGUUUUCUUCCCGUUUCAAUGCUUCGAUUUACAUGAUGAGUUUCUAGCAAUCAACAUCGGCUUGAUUCUUCGUUUUUACUCGAUACUUCUUACGAGAAUCAAGUAGAUGAUUGAUUAAAGGUGAACCCUCAUAGCUUAUGGUUUUCAAAAGUUAAAUCACCACAAAUCUUCAAUUCUACAAGCUCCGGAAGGAGGUUCGGCGCGUGGAUCUCGCGUGAAGCCGAGGAUUCGGUGGACGCUUCGAGGAGUUGAGGCGUUGACGCUGCGAGGAGUUGCAGCAAGGUCGAUUGGUGGAUUCCUAUCGAUCGAGGACCGGCAAAGAUCACCGUCAACAAGAAAUCGGUAAAUUGAGUCGUGGGUUUUUGUCGAAAUCACUUGUACUCAAGUUUUCUUAGUGGAUUUUCUUUGCGUAAUCGGUCACGUGGGUUUUUCACUCCGAAUUGGAGUUUUCCCACGUUAAAUUCUCGGUGUGCUGUUUUAAUUUUCGCUAUUUUGUUUGUUUGCAUCGAGAUUUUUCGAGUUUGCCGGAUUUACACCUAUUCACCCCCCUCUAGGUGUUACUUACCUUUUAGAUCCUCGGGAUCCAUAUCUUACACAAUGAAAGGACGUUUGUAAAGUCCUCGGUGCAGCUUCGUACGCCGUCUCAACGUGCUUCUUCCCCUCCUGCAGCUCCACCUCCUGCUACUGCUACUUCUUCCCGUCCUUCUAUGGACAUUUCUGAGGAAGAUAUUUCCGUUUCAUCGGUGUAUCGCGAGCAGCAACGUCUAUCUGAGGAGUUUCAGAAGUUGUCUGCAGAACAAGCUGCGAUUCGUAAGGAUGUGAGCAAGAUGAAGCGCCUGUUGAAUAUAAUUUUUGACAAAUUGGGAUGUUGUCGGGCAGAUUUACCUCCAGGAGAUGAUUCUGACUAGGAGUUACCGAGCUUCUCCUUUUGUCGUUUUGGCGCUUUCUGACAAAAAGGGGGAGAGAUGGAUGGAUGGUCUCUAUGAUGAUGAUGAUGCAUUUAGCUUAGGGCUUUGCUUAGUUAAGAUGAAGAUGAACUUUGUUUUAAUGCUUUAGGUGUUUGACUUAGUACUUUCGUUUAGUUUGACUAUGAACUAUGAAGUGUGAACUUUAGUUGAUUGUUUGAUCUUCUUGAUAAUUGAAUCUUGAUUAUGUUUUGAGAAUGUUUUUGCAGGAAUAAUUCAAGACUUCAAGACUCCAUGUCUAAGUCAUAGAGUUUGUAUUAAGGAUGUAAAAGUGUAAAUUUUGUUUAUUGGAUUGAUCAUGCAGGAGAUUAUCGUUUGGUGAUUGCGAUGAUCUUCUUUUUAUGACUUAUUGGUUGUAUAUGAGCUUUAUAGUAUAUUUUGUCACGAAAUCGCCAAAGGGGGAGAUUGUUAAGGAUUUUAUAAAUUGGCGAAUUUCGUAAAGUUGUUUGGUGUCUUGAAGAGUUGAUCGCAGAAGUUUUUGAGAAAAGAUUCAAAUUGGAGGACGAAGACUCAUUCGGAAAGAUCGACACCUAAGGUAUGAAGAAAAGAUCAUUUGUGGUGAAGAUACAUAAUUAGAAUAAGUUCAGAAGGCUUAGAUUGCUUUAAAACAACUUUUCUGAACUUUCAUGUGUUCUGGGACCGGUCUCUGAGAUGGAGAGACCAGUUCCCCUAAGGUCCUCACUGCGUAAACCAUGAUGCAACCGGUCCCCUGUGAUGAGAGACCGGUUCCCGAACCUUGGUGAUUCUGUCGCGCAGCGAGGGACCGGUCUCAAGUUUGAGAGACCGGUUCCCGAACGUUGGGUUUUUGGUCACGCAGAGAGGGACCGGUUCCUCACUUGAGAGACCGGUCUCUCACAGACCGGUCUCCUCGAGAGGACCGGUCUCUGAGGACGACACAGGUUUUUGAAAACGACUUUUUGCAAUCCUAGUCUACUUCUAAGUCUUCUAAACAUAUAAAUAAGCUAUGGGGGUCAUCUAAAAUUAAGGCUUUGAAUAUUUUACCAAUUCUAAACCCUAGAAACUUGUUUCUCCCCGUUUCAAUGCUUAGAUUUACAUGAUGAGUUUCUAGCAAUCAACAUCGGCUUGAUUCUUCGUUUUUACUCGAUACUUCUUACGAGAAUCAAGUAGAUGGUUGAUUAAAGGUGAACCCUCAUAGCUUAUGGUUUUCAAAAGUUAAAUCACCACAAAUCUUCAAUUCUACAAGCUCCGGAAGGAGGUUCGGCGCGUGGAUCUCGCAUGAAGCCGAGGAUUCGGUGGAUGCUUCGAGGAGUUGAGGCGUUGACGCUGCGAGGAGUUGCAGCAAGGUCGAUGGGUGGAUUCCUAUCGAUCGAGGACUAGCAAAGAUCACCGUCAACGAGAAAUCGGUAAAUUGAGUCGUGUGUUUUUGUCGAAAUCACUUGUACUCAAGUUUUCUUAGUGGAUUUUCUUUGCGUGAUCGGUCCCGUGGAUUUUUCACUCCGAAUUGGAGUUUUCCCACGUUAAAUUCUCGGUGUGCUGUUUUUAAUUUCCGCUACUUUGUUUUAAUUGCAUCGAGACUUUCGAGUUUGCCGGAUUUACACCUAUUCAUCCCCCUCUAGGUGUUACUUACCUUUUAGAUCCUCGGGAUCCAUAUCUUACAUCGGGUAGUUCUUCUCAUAUUCCUUUAGUUGGCGAGAAGCAUACGCGAUCACCUUGCCAUCCUGUAUCAAUACACAGCCCAAUCCAUUAAGUGAAGCAUCACUAUAAACCACAUACCCUGCUCCAGCUACUGGUAGGGUCAAGAUCGGGGCGGUCGUCAAUCUCUGCUUCAACUCUUGGAAGCUUCGCUCGCACGCGUCAUUCCAAAUGAACUUGACUCCUUUGUGCGUGAGCCUCGUAAGGGGAGUAGACAGUUUAGCAAACCCCUCUACAAAUCUCCGGUAGUAACCGGCCAAUCCAAGGAAGCUACGUAUCUCCGUGACACUCGUCGGUAUCGGCCAAUCCUUGAUUGCUUCAAUCUUCUUGGGAUCCACGGCUAUACCCGAUCCCGAAAUCAAGUGUCCAAGGAAAGCUACCUCUCGAAGCCAAAAUUCACAUUUCUUCAACUUGGCAUAAAGCUCCUUUUCCCGAAGUACUUGGAGUACAAUCCUCAAAUGCUCCUCGUGAUCUGCAUCACUUCGAGAGUAGACCAAAAUAUCGUCGAUGAACACCACGACGAACCUAUCCAGGUAAGGCUUAAAGACACGGUUCAUCAGAUCCAUAAAAGCUGCCGAGACAUUAGUAAGCCGAAACGGCAUAACUGUGAACUCGUAAUGUCCAUACCGUGUUCUAAAAGCCGUCUUCGAUACAUUCUCGGGCUUGAUCUUCAACUGGUGGUAUCCCGACUGCAAGUCAAUCUUGGAAUACACACAUGAUCCCUGAAGCUGAUCAAACAAGUCGUCGAUCCUCGGCAAUGGAUACUUGUUCUUGAUCGUGACUUUAUUAAGUUCACGAUAAUCCACGCAAAGGCGAAGUGAUCCGUCCUUCUUCUUGACGAACAAAACUGGUGCUCCCCAAGGUGAAACACUCGGUCGAAUGAAGUCUUUGUCCAACAAAUCCUGCAGCUGUGCCCUCAGCUCCCUCAGCUCUGCCGGUGCCAUCCUAUAGGGUGCCUUUGAGAUUGGGGUAGUCCCAGGGACGAGAUCUACUACAAACUCAAUCUCCCUAUCAGGAGGCAUACCCGGUAGCUCAGCUGGAAACACAUCCCGAAACUCUCGCACCACAGGAAUAUCCUCGAUCCUAGGGGUGUCAUCCUCGCCCCUCAACACGACACUAGCCAAAUAGGCUACACAGCCUCUGCUGAUCAGCUCCCUAGCUCGAGACGAGCUGAUCGUCAUCGCAAACAGCGAACUCCGGCAUCCACUAAAUACCACCUCAGUCUGCCCAGGUUCUCUAAAAGUAACCGUGCGAUUCUUGCAAUCAAUCGUGGCAUAAUACUUGGUCAACCAAUCCAUGCCCAAGACCACAUCAAAAUCCCCCAGCUUGCGCAAAGCUAGCAAAUCUAUAGGCAUGACCUAAUCUCCUACCCGAAUAGGGCAACUGGGGCUAUACUCUCUAAUGUCCAAGAUGUGGUCGGGUACAACAACAUGUCCCGUAUGCAACAAAGAAACCAAAGGGAUGCCAUGCAACUCGGCAAACAGCCGAUCUAUAAAUGAAUGCGAUGCACCGGUAUCGAAUAAAGCACGAACUCUAAUGCCAUCGAGUAAAAUAAUACUUGCAACCACAUCCUCGGCUGCUGCCGCCUCCUCGGUCUGAGCGGCGUACAUGCGCCCACUCGGGGCCUGUCGAGAUCCCUCGCUCUGGCGCUGGGCGGGUGGCCGCCCAGGCUGGUACUGUGUCGACGGAGUCCCGUGGCUGACGGCUGGUAGAGCCGGUGCCGAUGCAUUCGACGGUGCCGGUGAAGAACCUCUCGGGCACUCGGUACGGACGUGGCCCUCCUGGCCACACUAGAAGCACCUGCCCGCUCGCUGUAGACACUGCGGUGGGUAAUAGGGACCAACGCAGAUCACGCACGGGGAAGGCCGGCGCCGAUCGGAUCCUCCUCGCUGUGCUGUUGAGCCGCGUCCACGGUGCUGGCUCCUCGGAUGCUUCGGCGGCCUCCUAGAGUGCGCCUGGCUCGCACCCUCAGCCGUAGGCCUCUUGGCCUUACCCUUGUCCCUAGCCUCUCGCUACUCCUGGACCUCUGUCGCGCCGCUCUCCACGAUGAGCGCGCGAUCCACCACCUCCCGGUAGGUUUGGAGGUUAGAGGAUUGCAUAAACCGGAAAAUCGACGGUCGCAACCCUCACUCGAAGAUGCGGGCUUUGUCCUCGUCGUACCGCACGACGAAGGGCAUGCAAUGCAGAAGCCGAGAAAACUCCCUCUCAUACUCGGCUACGGUCCUGUCACCCUGGCGCAAGCUGCGCAAAUCCUGCUCCAUCUUCCUCUUGACGCUAGUCGGGAAGUAGUGCGCCAGAAGAAGCUCCUUGAACCUCGUCCAAGUAAUAGCUGACAAGUCUGUGCGGGGGUUCUCCUAGAGAUCCAACCACCAGCGGUAGGCCACGCCGUCCAAAUGGUGAGUGGCGAGCCAAACUCUGUCCCUCUCCUCUACGAAGGUGUCGCGGAAGAGCUUCUCCAUAUGCAUCAACCACUUCUCCACGAUCCAGUGAUCGACCUUCUCGCCAUCGAAGACUCGGGGAUUGCACCUCCUGAACUCAUUGAGGCGCUCCAUCAGUCUGUCCCGCUCCGCCCCCUCAACCAAUGCAGGAAACGCUGCUCCAACCGGGGGCCUCUGCACAGAUGGGGCUACCAAAACCUCCUCUGGGGGUGCGGCCGCAGGCGCCGCACGCGAAGAACUGGGCGCGGGGGACGGCGCUCUUGGUGCAACGUCCACAACUGGUGCUGGCGGUGUAGGGGCCUGAGUCUCCCUGGAAGCUGCCGCCUGCUGCAAUAGUAGGUCCUCUAGACGCUUCAUCCGCGCCUCCUGUCGGCGCGCCGCCUUGGUCUGCUGUCGGGCCGCCUCUGCCUGCUGAGUGACCAAAUCAGUGAGGGCCGCAGGCUGGCCCCUGAACUCACGGACCUCGCUGGAUCCGGAGGUAGCGGAGGUCUCGACCUCCUCGAAGUUUGCCGCAUUGUCCGCCCCGGCAGAUUGGGAGCGAGUAAUCAGCAUCGUCACUACAACAUUAUAAGGCGUAAGUUAGUAAAACCCACGCUAUCGCAUCCCCGCUCAAAAUAGACAAACCCCAAAUCAUGCGAAAGUAAAGAAGUGUUCUUCACUACUAACUCCCGAUGUUACGUUGUCGGCCGCCAACGUAAUCCUCCGCGAAGUUAGAAGCCAAACACUCCAAUCAACUCUAACUUUUUAGAGUUAUCAUAAUACCCAAUCAUGAUACUUUCGCUCACAAGUCGAAUAGACCUCGUCUCUCUCGAGCCUAUUUCCUAUAGUCCAACCGGCCUAAGGUUUGCUAGAUCCCCUAAGACUCAACCCUAGGCUCUGAUACCAAAUUAAUCUGUCACGCCCCGGGACCCAGCGGAAGCCCGCCCGGCACGUGUCCAGACCCGCCAUAUGUCUAAAACAUAUAAGGCGUCUAAAAACAACAAUAAUAAAAGCGAUAGUAAAAGACAUCUAGGAGUAUCAGAGCAUAAUGAAAGUCUAAAUGCUACAAUAAAGGAUAAGGAUAAAACUGUAAAUCCACUAAAUAAGACAUAAAGUAAUACAAGGAAAUUCCAGGUAUAAGUGCUAUAGGUAGAUACAUAGGUGGUCUCUAUACAUGGAUUCAAAAACCUCUCACUCUCUCAACUACAAAAAGAAAGAGUAAACCACCUAGGCAAAGUACCGCUCCUCGCUAGCUAGCUAAGCAAUCCCCUUGCUGCGAUCCUGUGCCUCCGCCGGUGCCGAAGGCUCUGAAAAGUAAACCAUAAAACAGGGGCGUGAGAACUAUUAAAAAUAGUUCCCAGUGGGCAAUUACUGACUUCAGUGAAUGCACCAUGAGGCCGAAAGCUACAAAGAUGUCAGUGAACUAUGCAUGAAGUAAAAGUCUCCAACUAUCAUAAUGUCCACAAUGCGAAAUAGUAAAGUUCCGUUGUUUACUAUUCUAGUCAAUGUCCAAGUAAUACUCUAAGUCAUUAUCUGUCCACGUGUCGUAAUGAAUACUCAAAGUCAAAUCUGAAGAGACCCACCCGAAGGCUGUCUAUGGCCCUGAGACCCACCCGUAGGCUGUCUGGCCGGUGCCGAGCCUAAUGGCCCCAUGGUAGUCAUCAUCCCCACCCUAGGAAUGAGCCUGUCCCAUGGCAAUCCACUUCGGCGCCCAAUCCCGCACGGCGAAUAUAAAUCGCGAUGGCCAUCUCCGGAGUGCCGGCUUGUAGGGAGCGACCCUUACAAGCAUGUGCGAAUGAGCACAAUGGCAAGUAGUCACACAAUCUGUCACAAGUACCAAGUCCUCAUGUCUAAUAACAUGAAAUGUGUCAAGUAUCUCAAUGGCCUAUCCCUAUGUCAUCAUGUCUCUAACAUGGAAUAUAGCAGAUAUGUAGUGGCCUAUCAACAUGUCUCUACGUUGCAGUUUCAUAGUUUACUAGUUUCAAGUGCCCCUUUAUGACACUCUUGUUCUCUAUGACAAACCAUGGUAACUAUAUUCCGAAGUACAUAUUCCAAGUCAUAAUCCUCAUAAGGGAUGUAUUUUUCACUUGCAAAAUAAACACUUUUCCCGUAUGCAUGCAUUCUACUCAUAUAGCUUUACUAUAUAGUGAAAUUUUCAUAAUACACAAGGCAUGCAUUUUAAGUGCUCUAAAAUUUAUAUAAAUUUCAUUUAGCAUAGAAAUGAACUUAAAAAUAUUUUACAACAAAUAGAAAGAGCAUAGGGGCCAUUUCGCCCCAUUUCCACGAAGCCAAACCCACCAAAAUCGACUUCUUCGUUUCGCCGAACGAAGGUAUCCACAAGCUUCCUAGUACCCUAGAAACAUCAAAAAUAGGGUCACCCAAACUAAACGAAGAGCAAAUAGCUCAAUCAUUAACCAACUCAAGCUAGGGUUGGGAGGAACUCACCUCAAGUGAAAAACCUUCUCUAAAUCCUCAAAUAGAAGGUAGGGGUCUUCCAAUCUAACUUAUAUAAAGGUUCCAAACCCAUCAAAAGAGAUCAGGAAGCCUCAAAUCUAAAAACCCCCAAAAUAAAUCCUAAAUCCCAAAAUCUAGGGUUUCAUCUAGCAAAACCUAGGAAACAAGUAUCAAAUGGGGAUUAUAAGCUACCAACCUCAAGAGAAGCUCCAAUCCAAGCUCAAAACCAAGUAGGGUUGAAGUUUGAUCCUCCACAAAGCUCCAGCCGCAAGUUCAAAGCCACCAAAGGUGAGAAAUGAUGAAGAAGAUGGUGCUCCAAGGCCUCCAAGCAAGCUCCUUCUCCUCUUCUUCUCCUUCUUCUCCUUCCCUUUCUCUCUCUAGAAGUGUAGGAAGAGUGUGAGGGAGAGAAAAUAAGAGUGAGAGGGGAGGAGAGGCUGCCUAUGGCCUCUAAGGUAACAAAAUCCACUUAGGCCCCUCAAAAACUCAAAUUUACAUCAGCCCGGUCUGAGCAGUUUUCGCCCAGAGGGACCGGUCUCCCCGACCUGGGACCGGUCUCUCAGCCUGCCCCCGACAAUCCAACGUUUGGGAACCGGUCUCUCCCUGCGCGGGACCGGUCUCUCCCCGCGCAGACGCGCUCGGGGACCGGUCUCGACUGCCAGGAACCGGUUGCCUCGCCGGCUGCGCAGCACUGUUCACUGGGGGACCGGUCUCUCCCAUCAGGGACCGGUCCCCGAGAGUAAAAACUCUCAGGACUCUGCCAAAACUUUCGAGAUCGAACUUUUAGGCCGGUAUACCAUCGACGGCCCUCCACCAAGUGUGGAAAUGUUUGGAAUACACAUCGAACACUCGAACGUCGCAAUUUGUAAAGGUCCAGUGUGCUACAAGUUUGUAGCACUGAACUUCAGAACAGUUGGCAAUGCAAAUUUUGGAUUCUUAAUUUCUGAUUUUAAGGGCUCUAUCUUACGAUUUUGACAGUGCGAUGUAUGAGAUGUACUUAUACACCAGGAUUAAUCUCUUUUGUUCUUUUGAACCAUAAAAUGUAGGAUAUUGAAAUGAUUAUCUAAUACUAAAAAAUUUAUUUGUUUAAGUUUCAGACGCAUCUAGCGCUCGUAAUAUUCAUCCACAACCUCAUUACCCUGCAGGUAAAAAUUAAACUUAUAUUAAUUGGUUUUCAUAUUAAAAAAUUAUUUGACUAAUCUUUUAUUAACUUUAGUAUUGUUUAAUUUGUAGGUUCAACAUCUUAAUUGCCGAGCUCACUACGACUGGAUCUGAUAUGAUAUUAUUAGCUUUUGUUUUCAUUUCUCCUUCUCUUGGGUUGAAAAGCUAGAAAUUAUUGGUAUUGUGAUUUAGUGACUAAAUACUCGUUUAAAGAUAUAUGGAUAAUACCUUGAGACAUUUUGGUAUUAAUUAGUGUAACUACAAAACUUCUUUUAUAUGCUUUCUUUGUUAAUGCAAAUCAAGGCGAAUAAAAUUAAAGGUAUGCUUAAUGAUAAUGUAAUGCACUGGAUCUUGCAAAUCGCAAGAUUCGAGUGUUUGAUCUGUGUCUUGAGCUUUUUCACAGUUUUUGUAGGGUCGUUGAUAGUGUUCCGACCCCUGGCACGCACCCCGAGGACGUUGGUUUGAAACUUGGCACCAAAAUUCCAAAAUUGGAAUUCUUGGUCAGUUCUCGGGUAGCCUGCAGCAGGGCUUGUACCGGAACAAGGAUGGUCUUGUACCGGUACAAGGUUGAUGGUUGUACCGGUACAGAGCCGCAGACCCAGCCACCCGAGCCUCGGGUUUGCAUUUUCGUGGGCCUUGUACCGGUACAAGGGCCCGUGUACCGGUACAAGGGGGCAGUUUUUGGGCAGAUUGUUCUGCAGGGGUGUUUUUGCUAUUGUAGCAAUACUAUAACAGCACCCACGCCCCUAGGGCUCUUCUUUGAGCUUGCCACUGUAGGGAGUAAGGUAAGGGGAGCUUCUCUUUGCUUCUCUUUGGUUUUAAUCUCCCUCUAGCCUAGAUUUUGGUGGAUUAAUCCCUCUCUUUCUCCUCUUUUGUGCUUUUCCUCCAUGGAUGAAGUUGGAGCUUGGUUUUGGGAGCUUGAGUGAGGGAAAAUCCUUGAAGUUUGGAGACUUUGAGCUUGGAUUGAGGCUACUUGGGGGUAAGUAGUAUGUUACUCUCCUCUAGAUUUGGUUUUGAUAGUUUCUUUGAAGUUGCAACCCUAGAUUUUGCAUUUUAGGGUUGUUUUUGGGGAUUUUCGUUUGAGGGCUUUUGUACCAAAUUGAUGGUUUAGAACCUUUGUUUAGGUUAGAUUGGAAGGACUCUAGCUCCCAUUUGGAGAUUGAGAGAGCUUCCUUCGCAAUCGGUGAGUUUUCUCCAACCCUAGCCCAAGAUGCUUAAAGAUUGAACUUAGCGUCGUUCGUUUCGACUAGAUGACACUUGUUCUCAUACCUUUAGGGUACUAGGAGUGUGGUGGACGCCUUCGUCGUGGCAAACGAAAGCUUUCGUUGACGACGGUGGGUUUGGCUUCUUUGAAAUGGGAGGAAAUUCCUCCUAUGCGGUUAAAUGCUUUCAUUUACCAUAAGUUCAUGUAUAUUCAUGUUUAGUAGCAUUUAUGAGAGUUUUUGAAUGCUUAGAACUCAUAUGUUAUGCAUCAAGAAAAUUUACUCUAUAUAGUAGAGAGAGACAAUGUGCUUUGUUAAUAUGCAUGCGGCGAACAUUCUAUGAGAUGGUAAGAAAUCAAGUUUCUUGCUUCGAUUUUGACUAAAAUUAUAAGUGCUUGAACUUAGUAUCCAUGUUGGGACAAAAUAAGCCAUAGUGUCAUAAAGAGGCACUUGGCCGAGAGAAUUAUUAAACUGCAAUAUAGAGGCUUGAUAAUAGGUCACGUUGACAUCAACUAUAUUCCAUAUUUAAGAUAUGAUGAAAUAGUGACUUGGCCACGAUGACAUUUAUUAUAUUCCAUGUUUGAGACAUGACGACCUAGAGAUAGGCCUAUGAGAUUAGUGACAUAUUCCAUGUUAUUAGACAUGAGGACUUGGUACUUUUGACAGAUCGUUUGACUACUUGCCAUUGUGCUCAUUCGCACAUGCUUGUGAGGGUCGCUCCCUAUAAGCCGGCACUCCGGAGAUGGCCAUCGCGAUUUAUAUUCGCCGUGCGGGAUUGGGCGCCGAAGUGGAUUGCCGUGGGCCAGGCUCAUUCCUAGGGUGGGGAUGAUGACUACCACGGGGCCAUUAGGCUCGGCACCGGCCAGACAGCCUACGGGUGGGUCUCAGGGCCAUAGACAGCCUUCGGGUGGGUCUCUUCAGAUUUGACUUUGAGUAUUCAUUAUGACUUGUGAACAGAUGAUGACUUAGGGUACUACUUGGACAUUGACUAGAAUAGUAAACUACGGAACUUUACUAUUUCGCGCUGUGAACAUUGUGAUAGUUGGAGACUUUCACUUCAUGCAUAGUUGUUUUCAUACUUAUGCUAUUUAUGCUAAGUAGAGACUGUAUGUUGUAGUAAGUUACAAUUUUACUUACCUUUCACUUUUCUACUUUUAUAAUCACUGACAUCUUUUGUAGCUUUGGGCCUCGUGGUGCAUUCACUGAAGUCAGUAAUUGCCCACUGGGAACUAUUUUUAAUAGUUCUCACGCCCCUAUUUUAUGGUUUACUUUUCAGAGCCUUCAGCACCGGCGGAGGCACGGGAUCGCGGCAAGGGGAUCGCUUAGCUAGCUAGCGAGGAGCGGUACUUUGCCUAGGUGGUUUACUCUUUCUUUUUGUAGUUGAGAGAGUGUGAGGUUUUUGUAUCCAUGUAUAGAGACCACCUAUGUAUCUACCUAUAGCACUUGUAUCUGGGAUUUCCUUGUAUCACUUUAUGUUUUAUUUAGUGGAUUUACAGUUUUAUCCUUAUCUUUUGUGGUAGCAUUUAGACAUUUAUUAUGCUCUGAUAUUCCUAGAUGUUUUUUAUUAUCGCUUUUAUUAUUAUUGUUUUUAGACGCCUUAUAUGUUUUAGACGUAUGGCGGGUCUGGACACGCGCCGGGUAGGCUUCCGCUGAGCCCCGGGGCGUGACAGAUAAUCAUCGUGGAGUGGUCACUACAACAGAAUUAGGUUAUAGGGACACAUGUUUGGGACACUUUUGAGUAAGUGUCCCAUUUAUGGUAAAACUUAAAACCACAUCUACUAAUGCUUAAAUAUAAAGCCCAAUCCAACCAAAAAUAAAAGAUUACUCUACUCAACCCACCACACCCAGUCCAUUUGGCCUGAUUACAAACAGAAAAGAAAAAAAAAAGAAAAUUCAAUUUUCAUCUUUUCUUCUCUCUUCACUCAAUCCACUGAAAUUCUAGACGAAGAGCCUUUACUGUCGUCCUCCUCCGCCACCGCAGUCAACGAGAUAGAGUUUCGGAGGUUGCUAAAUGCUUAAAUAAGUGUUGAUAAAUUAGUAGCACUUUUUUAGGUUAUAGCGACACUCUUUAACUGUCACUAUAUACCUAGCGACCCCACAUAUAGCAGCACUUUUUAAAAGUGUCGGUAAUUUUAGCUAGCAGCACUUUUUUGACAUUUACCUAUAUUUAAAAGUGUCGCUAUAGACCGUUUUUGUUGUAGUGGGUAUUAUAUUUUAAAAAGUGUGAUGCAUCAAAAAAAAUUUGGAUAUUUAAAGAAAAUGGGAUAGUUAUAAAGUGUCGCUGAAAUUAAAAAAGGUGUUGCUAGAAUAUUAUUUUGCAUUACUUUUAUGUGCUGCUAAAAGCUUAAAUAAGUGUCGGUAUAUUAGUGGCACUCUUUUUAGGUUAUACCGACACUCUUAAAAAGUGUCACUAUAUACCUAGCGACACCACAUAUAGCAACACUUUUUAAAAGUGUCGGUAAUUUAGCCAUUAGCACUUUUUUUGACCCAUACCGACAUUUAAAAGUGUCGCUAUAUCCCGUUUUUGUUGUAGUGCUAAAAAAUAAUAUUCGAAGUUUUUCCUUAAAAUAACUUAUGAGUACAAAGAAAAUUAUACUCGUGAUAGUAUAAAAAUAGUCAAUCUCUCUCUAUAAAUAUAUUAUAAAAUAACUUAACUUUACAUUUAGAAUGUUCUGAAAUAUUCAAAAAGGGACACAAUAUUUUAGAUUUUAAAUGCUAAUUAGUUACAAUUUCUGACUCAAAUUAUGAGACAUAUGAUAUUUUUAAUUCUCAACUCUUAUUACUGCUAUAAAUAUAAUUCUUCUUAUAGUUUUUUUUUAUUUAAAUGCUUCUUAAAUUUUUACUGUAGUAGCUGUUGUUUCAACUUAAAUUUUUUUAUCUGUAUUUUUUUAUUCUUCGACUUUUUUUUCUUAUUUUUUAUUUUAAGAUCUAUAUCAUGAAAUAGAAUUUAAAUUAUUAACUUUGUAAGUCAUGUAUGUUUAAUUAAGUUUUGAUUUAAAAAAUAUUUAUCAUCUAAUAUAAGUUGUGGUGCAUAAAAUGUUAAUAUAUAUCAUGUGAAUGUAAGAAUUUUUUCUUUUCCAAUCAAUUUUAAUAAAGUAAAGACAUCUUCGCCUUUUCGGCAAUUUAAAAUACGUUCCCCACUUUUAACUUUUUAGUUAACAAAGUUAUUUAUAGAACAGUUUCCAAAACUAUUAAAAUUAAUUAAUUUUUAAAUAAAAUUGUUAAAAAUAAUAUAACUAUUCAAAAAUUAAGGAAAUAUUAAUAUAAAAGUUAUUUUUGUAAUGUACAUAACAUUAUUUUAUAAUAUUUUUAUUUAGUUAUAAUUUUUUAAUCUUAAAAUUUUAAUAAUUAUAUAUUUUUAUUGACUACCCGCUGCGGAGUACGGACCUGCACUAGUAUAGAAUUAUUCUUUAGUUAAAAAAAAAACAAAAUUACCAAAUAAGUUCUUAACUUAGUAAAUUACUAGAUUAAUAUAAUAUAAUAGCAUAAUCUAGUUUAAUUGUAUUGGUGGGCCAAUAGAAAAGCAUUAUUUUCCAUUGGGUUAAUUGCAAUAAAACGAGAAACUAUUUGUUAAACUUUGAUAAAAAUGUACAGAAAUUUUCAAAAGUUAUGGCUACAAAAUUUUCAAUUUGUUUGAUUUGAACAAAUCAUCAAAACUUUGACUUCCAAAUUGAAGUUAAUUACUAGUUUUAAUGAAUUAUAGUUGCGAGAAUUAUAUAAAAUAUACUAAACAAACCUAUAAUUAAGAAUAAAUGGCGGAUUCAAAUUUUGAAAUCAAAGACUCAAAUAAAAUAAAUUGAAAAAUUAUAAAGCAAAGUAAAAUUUUUAAAAGAUUGAAUAAGUAAUGCAAAACGUAUGGUUAACAGUUGGGAUUAUUUCUGGACGUUUUUACUUUAGAAACUACUAACUUGUAAUACUAGUGAGGGAGGAAGCUAAUGCUUAAUCUGCGCCAACAUGUGCCGGGCGUCUCUGCUGCUGGGCCUCUCAUUCGGAUCAUCGUACGUGCAGAAGCAAGCAAUCUUCAGAACCAACAGCAUCUGCUCCUCAAACCCCUUCCCCACCAGCUUCCGGUCGAUCGCAGCCGUCGGAUUCUCCGACUGCAGCGCAGCCCGGACCCAUCCGAUGACCCACAUCUCGUCAGUCUGCUGAAAGAACUCGUCCGACGGGAACCUCCCGGUGACCAGGGCCGCCAGGAUGACCCCGAACGAGUAGACAUCGCUCUUUUCUGUGUACGACAGCGUCUGGUAGUACUCCGGCGCGAUGUACCCCAGAGUCCCGGCCACGUUGUUUGAAUUCAUCGGCCCGCUGAUCGCGUCGCCGGGGACGAGCUUCGCGAGCCCGAAGUCGGCGAUCCGGGGUUUGAGAUCUCCGUCGAGGAGAAUAUUCCCUGGCUUCAGGUCGCGGUGGAUCACCUUCGGACGGUGCACGGUGUGCAGGUACUCGAGCCCCGCGGCGACGCCGAGGGCGAUCUUGAGCCGGCAGGGCCAGUCCAGCAGCGGAGAGCCGCGUUUCAUCACGUCGUGCAACGAGCCGUGCGGCAUGUACUCGUAGACGAGGUAGUGGCAGCGCGGCUGCGGGAGGUGGGCCAGAAGGCGGAGGAGGUUAGGGUGGCGCAUGCGGCCGACCGUCAUGAUCUCCGACCGAAUCUGGCGCGUGCGGUGGUGGAGCAUUUUGCUGUCAUCCCGGCACAGCUGCGCGGCGUUGGCGGGCGGCUGGACGAUCUUCUUGAUGGCGACGGGAACGGCGCGGUCGCGAUAGAGGAGCACGGCCUUGUAGACCUCGCCGCAGCCGCCGCGGCCGAUCACCUCGAGAGGGCACGGGAGGUGGCUGCGCGAAAGGAGGUCGAUGAGGGAGAUGUUCUCGGGGUCGAGGAGCAUCGGGGUGAAGAUCGUGGCCGUGUUGUUGCCCGGCUCCUCAGGGCGGCAGAUCGCGCUCCUGAUUCUGGUGCAGCAGGAGACGGACAGCAGCCGGAGGACGAAGGCGACGAUUCCGAGCGCAAAGCCGACGGCGAAGGAGACGGAGGCACCGACCCAGAGAGGGUGGGCAAGGAAGCGGCCUAGUGACGAGGGUGGGAUGUGGGCGAGUAAGAGGCGUCUGGGCGUGAGGAUAGGUGUCGCGGAGGAAGAGAUGGUGGUGGUGAAUUUGGAUUUUGUACCGUCAGCAGAACUUAUUAUUAGAGAGACGAGGAGGACGAGGACGAUAUACUCCAUGGAUGGGGCCUGGGGAAUUAUUAAGGGAAUGAAUAUUAGUAGUUCAAGGGCACCAGGCCUUCGGUAUACACUAGAGCGAAAUGAAGUUCACAAUUAAUUAAGCAAAACUGUUUGCAUUAAUUUCCAGGGUCCGGUGGACUCUUGACCUAAUGUAAACAUUACUUAUUUGGAUAUCGAAAUAAGUUAUUCAAUAAUAAUUUAUUUGAAAUAAAUUUUUUUAUAUAAAAUUAAAAAUUAGGAGUUUAAGUUUUACUCCUUGAUAAACUUUAACUUCGAUAAUUCAAGAGAAUAAUAUAGUUCAUGAACAUGACGACUUAUUUUAAGAAUUUAGAAAAAAAAAAUAUAACAUGAAGACUUAAUAUAAUAUUUUAUUCUGGACAUUUCACCGUACUUAUUCCUAACUAGCUUUUAGUCAUGUAUAAAUUAUUCCAAUAGCUAGCCAAAAUAAAAAAACCUGAAACUUCCCUUACCUUUACUAUACAGGUGAGUAAAGAAAAAUUAAUAGAUGAAAGUACAAAAUAAAAACAUGGCAAAUUCGUGGUUCAUUAAUUAGCUAGAGGAAAUAAAAAAUUAUUUAAAGAGAUGAGGGGCAUGUAAAAUAAUCAACAUUAAUAAGUUUAAUUAUGUUACAUCAUAUAAAAACCCUACUUUUUUGUGUUGAAAAGUAACUUUUAUGUUUUGUAUUAUUUUUGGUAGAUGGUUUACAAAGGGAACAUUAUUCUAAUUAGUGAUCAACCAAAAUAUUAACUGCAUGCAUGUUGUUUCAAGCGAAGCCGGUAGCCUAUUACCUUUCUCUCAAAAAAAAAAAAAAAAAGUUGGACCACUAUUCUUCAACCUUUCUGCCUAGGAGUGUUGUUUCCUACCCUAAGAAGCGUUGUUUGGAUGGACUAAUUGCAUUCCUAGUUCCAAUCUUUAUCUGAUUUAUUAAUUUAAUUUUUACUAUUUAAACAUUUUUAAUUUGAUUCUAGUAAGUUAUUUCAAUUGUUUUUGUCUUCAAAUAUUUUGUUACCCUAACAUAGACAACCCGCAUAGCAAAGUUUGGUAUGACUGUGGCAAAUACUAAUUAAUUGUUUGGGUCUAACGUUUUGGUUUUAAUACAUAAAAGUUAGUGAACUUCUUAACCACAUAAAAUUAGUCAAAACAAAAUAUAAGAAAUGUGCGAAACUUAAUUGCAAAAAUAAAAAGAAUAGAGACUAAACUGAAAAAUUACGUAAAGAUUGGAAUCAAUGACGCGAUGAACCAAUAUUAAUUGUUUGGAGCUAUUUAACAGAACUGUGAUAAAAUUUUUGCCUUUUUCUUUUUGAGGAAAUUUCGCUUGUCACACUUCUUUUCAGACUUACGUUAACUUAUUCAAAGUCUCCGUAACAAAUGAUUCUUAGUGGAAAAUCAGUAUCCUACUUUGGCAAGCUACAAGAUGCCUUUACAUCUUGUUGAGCCAAAAACUAGAUGCGAGAUGAUGCUGACCGGAUCAUGCCUUUUGUCACGCACCGAGACCUGCUACCAAUUUGGUCCGGUUCGGGCGCGUCGAACAAACGCCGGACGGACAGCACCUCCCCUGUCCGCCCAAGGCUUUGCAUCAACAAAUCAUGUACAAGAGUUGCCCAAGAAAACUCUGAAACAUACAUAAUACAACGAGGAGCGCCACUAGUGCUAACGACAAGAGCAAGCCACAAGUAAUUCAUACAAGUGAUAACAAAAGAGAGGUACUAACUAUUACAACCAUUCAACUUUAAUACAUUUGAUUAACUUUACAUAUUUUCAAAACACAAACAUAAAGUUUACAACUCAUCUCACCCUAUACAUCAUCUACUCUCAAGUACAUAGGGUAGCUCUAAUACAAAAGAGAAGUAAGCUAUCAAUACGAGCGCUAAGCCCUAAUCAUGAUCCUCAGCUGGCGCACUCGCACUCGGCCCUGCAAUAAAGUGGGGUGAGAACUACGAAUAGUUCCCAGUGGGUUUGGCCGCCGACUUCGCCGAUCUCCCCACUAGGUCUAAGCAGGCAUAGAAAGACAACCAGAUAGAUAGAUAGAUAGCUAUAAACGAAAUAGCAACUACAACAAGUAAGUAGAAAUGCAAAUAUCCUACUAUGCCUCAAUCGAAUGCUAUGAAUGCAUGCACUACAUAGUAUAAGGCUAGCUACUAUGUCUACGGGGAGGAUCCACUCACUCCCCCGACUCACAAUCUACUCUCUACGAGGAGGAUCCGCUCACUCACCCGACUCACAAUCUACUCUCUACGGGGAGGAUCCGCUCACUCACCCGACUCACACUCUAACUGUAGGUGAGGAACCGCUCACUCAAGGUGAGAAUCUACUCACUCACCCAACUCACAAUCCAAUCAUAGGUGAGGAACCGCUUUCUCAAGGUGAGAAUCUACUCACUCACCCGACACUGUCUGCGGGGCCCAAAAAGGCUCACCCCUCGGGACCCAAAAAGGCUAUCUCUAUCGUGUGACAACUCCAGAGUGCACUGCUUGUGUGGAGCGACCACCCCAAGCUUGAACAGACAUGUGAAUAUGAUCAAAUCCUCGACACUGAGGAUACCCUGCCACUAUAGACAACAUCACUUGGGAACUAGUUCAACAUGCAAUAGUAUUUCACCUACACUCUAGUUCAUCAUGCCACUCGUCAAGUUAUCUACUUAUCUAGAUGCAACUCAUUCUUUUGUGUUCAACACUAACUAGAUGACACUCGUUCUUAUUUAAGUGUUCCCAAUCCACUACUUGAACAUUAUCACUAGGUUAUCAUUUACCUAGGUUUUAAUCCAUCAUGUAUCAUCUCAUGUAGGGUUUUACCUCAUGCAUACUAGAUUCAAGUACGAAACCAAUGAAGCUACUACUAGCAUGCAAGAAUAAACACAAACAUCUAAACCCUAUAUGUAUCAUGCUCAAUAUGUAAUAUAAUCGACAACAAUAACUUAGACAUAGGGAGCAAUUCAACUGCUUCGGGAUGGUCACCACCCACCUUCUAUAGCAUUCCGAUUGCUCGUCGUCACUUGCAAUCGGCAUCCCGCGGCGCACGCCGCUCGGCUCGACCUAAUCCACGCGCGACCACCGAACGACCUCCGAUCCGCGAUCCGAAAAUUAAAGGUCUUCGGUUUCUUGCUACGACACUUGGAAUCCAAUCCUGCGAUUUACGAACGCCGCCUCGGCCUUUCGGGUGGAAAUGAUGCCGAAAUGCCCUUGGCUCGUCGAUAUCUCCGCACCAAAUCGACGAAUAGUCGAACCGUCACCGCCAACGUGUUUAGAUACCUAGCAAUUAGGUUUACAACCAUCUAAAUGAGAUCAAAACCCUAUAUUUUCCAAAACCCCAUUUUGGAGCCCUAGGUUUCAACAGCGCGAAAAUCCGCGAUUCUAGCUUGAGAUUCAAGCAUGGAACAUCUACUAGGGACUCUAGAGUUCCAACUAAACAAUUUCUAGAGUAUAAAAUCCAUACCCUAAAGAUAUACCAUUAAAGGGUUUUGGAGCUUACCUCCAAAGCUUCCUCCAAGCUUGAAGAAGAAGGAGAAGGUGAUGCCUAGCCUUCUCCUAGCUUCAAUCCUCACCAACUCAUCCUCCUUUCCCACCUUGAAGAGAGAGAGAAAGAGUAUUCUAGAGAGAGAGAGGGAGAGAGAUCAAGGGUUGAGAGAAUGAGAAAGAGAGGGCUUUCUCAUCUCUUAUCCCCUAACUCAUGUAACAAGUGCACUAAGCCCCCUCAACUUUGCCAUCAUAUGACAGCCCAUUCUGGGGGGUACGGGGUCCGGACCCUGAAACUAGGGUCCGGACCCCGAGAGUUGGCAAACUCUGCAAAGUUGCAAACUGCAACUUCUCAGGUUUCUCGCAACUACGGGGUCCGGACCCUGCAGCUAGGGUCCGGACCCCGAGAGUGGAAAAUAUGCAAAUUGCAGAUUUUUGCAACACCAACUCUCCAAGGUCCUCCCCAAUGCACUUUAUGCGUUUUUAAUGCAUUCGGCCUUUCCGAAGCAUACCAAAUCGACGAUAAGUCGAUUCCAAACAAAGUUCAACUCUCGGAUUUCGAGAAUUCACUUCCUUACACCUUUGACCGGGUUAAAAUCUCCCUCGAGAUCAGGAUCGACUUCUGAGUUGGCCUUCGAAUGCGCCAGGAUCAAAUCAAGCGAUUCGAUUGAGGAGGGAUUGGCUCAACUGGAUUCUAUCUCACUUCACUGAUUAAAGCUGAAGACUCAAGAAAAGGGUAUUCGACUGAUUGAAAACUCAGUUGAAUGAACCGAGUUGUUGUAUUAUGGGAAACUUGAGUUACAAGUAAAGUUAAGGUUACUCCUAAAAAAGGCCGUAAAUGCUGGAAGAGUAGAGAUUACAAGUAAACUACUCCUAGAAAAGCUAUAAAUGUUGAAAUCAGAAGUAUUGAAAAUGCCUUGGUAUUCUCGUUCGUAAGGAAAAAGACCCCUAUUACAGACUUCGAAGUUACUAUUUAUAGUAAUAUCUUAUCAGCCCACAUUAUUGGUCGGUUUUCCUAGUGGGGGUAGUGCUGUAGCCAUGAUCCCGUAAGUCACGCCACACUUCUCAACCACUCCCGCUUAAGGUCUCUCCACCUUCAGGCGCCUUGUUGUCGGCUCCUGGUGUACCAGGUGUCCCUAUUUCUUUGGCUCGUACAUAGGCCAGUCCGUCUAUCUUGUGGUGCGCUAAUUUUUGGCAUCAACACUGCCCCUCUGAUAGUCUUUCGAAUGAACAUUUGGAUGACUAUUGGUACCAAAUCAACGGCCCAAUGACAGCUGAGACCUGAGCAUUAGUCUUGCUAGUCUUGGUCGACUUAAAGAAAACAUAUUUAUAUGGUUGUCGGCUCUUUACCAUCUCAGCUACAUACACUUCGGCUUUAUCAGCCAAUUCUUCACCUUCACUUGAUUUGCUCGACUCUUCUUGAAUCAACCGUUCUUCUAUCAAGGAUUUCUCCUUGCCUUUGCUCUAAUUUUAUUUUGGCUCCAUUGUAGCCGAUCAUCCUCAUUUUUCUUUUGAAAUUGCUCAUAUUGGGCAACCGAACACCCAGAUCAAAUAGGUUAGGAAAAUAUUUAUCUUCAUCAUAGUCCUUUAUUUUAAAAUGCAAACCAUUAAACGCCAUUUUGGCGAACUCAAAUUCCGGCAUCCUCACGAAACUCCGAUUUCUGGUCGUUUUGAAACAGUUCAAGUACUUUGACAGUUUCACCCGACUUUUGUCUAUAUAAAGCUAAAUUGGCCAUUGAUAAUUUAGGUUCCGAUCCAUAAAACUGCUUAUGAAACUUUCACUCUAACUCAUCCCACUCUUGGAUGGAGUUGGCGGGUAAGUUUGUGUACCAUAUAAAUGUUGUCUUAGUUAAUGACAUAUUAAACAAGAAAAAUUUUAAGAAUGGGUUAGCGGUCGUUUCUCUACACUGCGCCGUGAAUCAAGCAACAUGUUCUAUAGUAUUCUUAGUCUCUUUGCCUGAGAACUUGUCGAACUUCAACAUCUUCCGGUUUGCCAGAGAGAGGUGCUCAACAUCCAUAUUUGAGGGGUAUGGAGAUCUAAAUACUGGCCACAUAGCUGUCCUGGCUCUAACACCAAAGGUGUUUCUUAUAGCCUCCUCAAUUUGAGUAUAAAGCUCAUUGUUUACUACCGUCAGAAUAGGUGCUUGAGCUUGAUUCCCAACUUGUCCAGCUAUAGUUUGAACAUUUGAUGCAACAGGAGUUUGAGGUUGUCCUCCAUUAGGACCCUGCCUCCCAGCCCUCAAGCCUACAUUUUGAGGAAGGUAGCUUGUCCUCCAUUAGGGCCCUGCUCGCUAGCCCUUAAGCCUGUACUUUAAGGCAGAAAUGCUGCCAUAGGAGGUGGAUGAGGAGGUAGCCCCAAGCUACCUCUGUUUGAGGUCCAGGGUGAACAUUCAUCGGCCGAUAGGCCGCUUGAAAUGAUCGUUGCUGCGGCAACAACACUUGAGUCACCACCAUUUGUAAUGGCAAGUUUGCCUGAAAAGCAUUUUGCCCCCUAGGCUGAUUUAAAGCUGGGGGCCUUGAGUCCUCCAACUAUUUGAUCGCUUUGGGCUAAAUUUGCCCAAUCCAAGCUACACUCUCAUUCGAGGCCGUGAUUGCAACCAAUAUCGCAUCUAAGCUAAUUGUACUCUGCUGACUGUUUUGGUUAAAGUUUUGUAAUAUUCGUGCUAUUUAAGCGAGAGUCUGAGCUAGGUUCGGCUCUUGAGGAACCGAACGACUGGAACUUUUGGCUAGUCGCGAUUGAAUUUCACUCAAAUCCUUGACACCUGUAACUAGUUCAUUCUCAGAAGAUCUAGGAACAACUUUAUUUCGAAAGUUAAGAGGGUUCUUAUCAGUCAUCAUAUCUGUAAAAAGACUAUACCUGAAAGUCCCAUUAGGCGUGCUAAAAAUGUUGAGCCGAAAACUGGACGCGAGGCGAUGCUAACCGGAUCACGCCUUUGACCAGAGCAGAAGCUCCAUCAAGAUCUGGAUCAGCUCCUAAAUUGACCCUCAAAUGCCCCACGAUCAAAUCAAACGACUCGGUUGAAGAAGGAUUGGCUCAAUCGCACUCUAUCUCACUUCACUAUUUAAAGUCGAAGGCUCGAGAAGAGGGUAUUCGACUGAUCGAAGAUCAGUUGAAUGAACCGAGUCGUUGUAUUUUGGGAAAGCUUGGGUUACAAGUAGAGUUAAGGCUACUUAUAAAAAAGCUGUAAAUGCUAGAAGAGUAAAAAUUACAAGUAAACUACUCCUAAAAAAGCUGUGAAUGCUGAAAUUAGAAGUAUUGAAAAUGCAGUGGUCUUCUCGUUCGUAGGGGAGAAAUACCUCUAUUUCAGGCUUCGAAGUUACUAUUUAUAGUAAUAUAGGGCUGCUCCAGGGCUGCUCUGCCUGAAGAUGCAACUGUUGCUGCUACGCUGCCAGCCUGCUAGCAGCAAUGUUGUAGCAAAUUCUUGCUGAUCGUAGUGCUAUUGCUACCUCUCCCUUUCCUGCAGCAAUCAAGGAUAUAGGAGAAGAAGAGGAUGACGAGAGGAUAGUUGCUACUUCCCUUGUCACUGCAACAAUGCUAGCUACCAGCAACAAUGAGGGCGUGAAGAGGGAAAAGAAGAAGGAGAAGAAGAAAAAGAAGGAAGGAAAGUCAGUUGGUUUCUAUAAUCUCCAAAAUUCUCAGUUAAGUGAGUUGGUGAGGGUUAAGUGUUGCCCUUGGCCUUAAACAACUAAACAUGUUUAGGAUUUAGUUGUAAUGUACCGAAACUUCGGUAAAUAAAUAUCGAACUUUAGUCAAAUUUACCAAAGUGCGAGGUUGGUACGCUUUGGAAACGCCGAAGGCGUCAAAAAGGAAAAAAGUGCAUUGUUGGAGAUUUUCGAGAGCUAAAGAAUCAAAAAUCUGCUUACUGCAACUUUUGAGCUCUCGGGGACCGGUCCCUGGUGGGAGAGACCGGUCCCCAAACGCGAAGAAUCUCAGAGAUGGAAAAUCGGCUAAGUCCCAGAAAACCACCUCUCGGGAACCGGUCCUUGCGGGGAGAGACCGGUCCCUCAGGAGAGACCGGUUGUAUCGUGCGAGAGCCCUACUGAGUUGCGGGAGAGCUCUCUGGGACCGAUCCCAUGCUCGAGAGAUCGGUCCCCGUGCCCGAAAAAUGCCCAGUCUGGGCUGUGCAAUGGAAUGAAAGUUGAGGGGCAUAUUUGCAUUUAUGCACUAAGUGGGCUAUGUAUGAGGGGAGUAUGAGAUAUUUUCCUUCAUUUAUCUUCCUCACACUCUCUCAUAUCUCUCUCUUCCUCUCUCUAGAAGGCAAGGAGAAGAAGAGAAGAAAGAAAAGUAGAAAGAGAAGAAGAAGAAGAAAAAGGUGGAGAGGAGGAAGAAGGAGUGAAGCAACUCCCUCUCCUUCACCUCCAACUCAAGAAAGGAAAGCUUGAGAGGUAAGCUUUGAUCCUCUCUCAUCGUAGAACCCAAAGUAGGAUUUUGAUUGACCUAAAGAUGAUGUUAAUGGAACCUCUAGAUGAUUUGAAGCUUUCUUUUGCUUCCCUAAGAGAUCAAAACUAGGGUUUUGUAUAUGUGUUGGAGCUAGCGCACCCUAAUUGGGGCUUUUGCUUGGGAGGGUUUUAAAGUUAAAUUGACCCUCUAGUAACCUAAUUGGGGGUAUUUCCGACGCGUUGGUGCGCUCGGUUUGACGUUACGAAAAGACUAUACGAAGUUAUGAGCGGAAAAGCCUAAUUUGGCUUCGUUUUGCCGCAGGUAAGGAAAUAGGCGGCCAAAAAUCAUGAAAUUCGAAUCCGAGCAUCCUAGCAAGCCUACGAGGUGGGUGGUGCUUUCCAAACUCCUUGAAAUUCUUUCUAUAUCUAAUGUGUCACUCAUUGAGCAUACAUAUAUGUAUUGUUGCAUGCAUUUUAGGGUGAAUGAGAUGAUACUUAUGUGAAUGUUGCAUGUUGUGAAUACAAUUGCAUUAUGAGAUGGUUGAGAACCUAAGAACCCUAUUUAUGCAUGAGAUGUAACAUGAAAACCUAGUUGAGGUAAAAGAACAAAGGUGACACUAUGACAUGUAGAUCGAGUGGCAUUAGUAAAUGUAAAGAUGACACUAGAGUUAGUGUGUGUGGCAUUAAAGAGGAUAUGAAUGCUAGAGUAUUUGAACACUAGAGCUAGUGUGUGGCACCAAAGAGAACAAAUGUGGCAUAAAGAACGAUAAAAGCUUGAGUUAGCGUCAAAAGUAUGGCAUCAAAGAAUAAAAGCUAGAGUUUGCACUAAGUGUGACAUAAAGAAUACUAGAGUUAGUGUAAUGAUAUGAUUGAAAACAAAGAAUGCAAAGAACUUGAGAUUGAGACAUAAUGACAUACAAUCUUAGAGCUAAGGGUCAUUUGUGCAUAAUUUUCUUAUAGUUAAGGAACAGAUUGAACUUGACAUUCUUAGAGUUAAGGAUUGGAUUAUACUCGCUAUAAGUCCUUGCUCGAGGGCGGUAGCUUCCCCUCGAGCGAUGCGCUCCGGAGUUUGUCAUCACUGGGUUGGUGCUGUUCCCCAGAGGACGGUCCCCGUCGGGUCGUAGGAGUCUCCUCAACGAUUUGGGAUUUUGAGUUGGUGAGCUAAUGCGGCGAAACCCCCGGGUUAGCCAUGAGAUUGAACAAAAGAUCAAAGAACUUGCAUUCUUCAUGAGUUGUAUAUUGAGCAUCUUUAUUGAUAGCUUUGUUCAGGUAUAUUAGUUGCAUUUGUAUAGUUAGUUACUUAUCUGCUUACCUUUUUCUAUUAUGCCUGAGUUAGACCUAGUAGAAAAGUCGGUGAGAUUGGGGCCGAACCCACUAGGAACUUCAUUGUAGUUCUCACCCCACUAUUUCCACAGAGUUGGGACCGAGUGAGCUGGCGAGCGACCGCGGUAAAGGUAUCCCAUUGUAGACAGUGACUACCAAAGUCGGGCUUUACAUUUUGUUAGUAGCUUACCUUAUAUCAUCUUUUGUAUUCGAUGAUUUGAGAUGUUAAAGAAAAGAAUGUAAUGUGUUAUUAUGAGCAAAUGUGAUGUAAAAAGAAAUGAUGAAAAGCAAUGUAAAGAAUCAUGAAUGUAAAUGGUUUAAAGUAAAUCAUUCUACGUGUAUGUUGUUAGUUUCCUUUCUUUCACUCAUGGCUAUUGCUUACCCUUGUGUAAGCCAUUGUGUAUGUUUCCGCUGGUGCUUUUCUUAACUUGAAAUUGUACAGGUGAUGAGCCUUGGGCGGACAGGGAAAACUCUGUCCGUUGGGCGUCUGUUCGACAUGCCCGGACCGGCCCAAAUUGGUAUCGGUCCCGGGCGUGACAGAUAUAGUGGUAUCAGAGCCUAAAGUGAAAGAAUAGGAGUGGACCUAGAGACCCUUAGGAUUGAAAAACCUUAAGGAUCUAGGAAACGUGAGCGACGUUGGAUUAAAGUUAGCGAAAGCAUGCGAUUCGGUCAAGUUGGGAUGUCUCUAAUGUGAUUAGGGACUGAGUCGAGUUGAUGUUUGUUCUCUACUCCUUGUAUUGUGCCGGGCGGCCGAUGACAUAAUGCUUUGGAGUGAGGAUGGAAACAUAAGUUGCUUUCGCCGAAUUAGGUAUGGUUUAGUAAUGUUGGUUGUGUAGCUAAUGUGAGUUGCUUCUUUUUAGGAAACAAUGGCACCUCGUGGUGGACCUCGAACAAGGUCAAUGCCAGAGGAGCCAAAUGCGGCGCCCGAGCAAUAAGGAGCAAGUGGCGACAGUGAGCUUCGGGAGCAAAUGGCCGCGCUUAUUGGCGUAGUGCGGCAACAAGUGGAGUCUGUUCAACGCCGAGGGGAACAGAUUCGAUGGGUCCAGGAGACCUUGGAGCGUCAACAAGCAGCGGCGACCUAGGUGGGUGCUGAGCAUGUCGCGCCCCCUGCGGUGGUGCCGAGUGUAGUUGAGGGAGCGGCGGCAGCGGCAGCUGUGCCCGUCACGAUGGUGCCGGCUGGAUCAGGAACCUCAAAUCCCGAUAGUGCUGCAGUAGAGGCGGAGCGGGAGCGCGUGCUGGCGGCUCUCAUUCAGUUCUAGAAGUUCAGCCCACCUGUCUUUGAAGGUGGUAUGGUGGAGCCAGCAGUAGUGGAGUCUUGGAUCGACUCAAUGGAAACGCUCUUCGAGGACCUGAAUACAUCGGAGAAGGACAAAGUGUACCUCGCCACCCAUUGUCUCGAGAAGGCAGCGAAGGUGUGGUGGAAGCGAGUUAGGCAGGAUCGAUCAACCGAUCUUCCGCCUAUGCUUUGGGAGGAGUUCAAGAGAGCAGUGUUCGCGAACUACUUCCCCGACACGGUAAAGCGGAGACUACAAGAGAAGUUCCGCAAGUUAAGACAAGGAGACCGCUCGGUAGCGGACUACGAGCAAGAGUUCUCCGACAUUAUUGAUUGCGUGCCGGAUGUUGUUCGUGAUGACCGGGAUCAGGCUGAUUGGUUCUUGUGAGGACACCAGUCGAGAAUCUAUGAGAAGGUGCAAAUUCUCAAGUUGACGACCUUUGCGGAAGUCUUUGACCGGGCGUUGUGGGUGGAGCACGGCAACGCCUACGCACGAGAGGAGCAUGAAGCUAUGGCCGAGCCAAGGGAUAAAGGCAAGAUGCGAGCGGCGGGCAGUGCCGGGGGCCAGCCGAAUGCAAAGAAACCCCCUCGGUAUCCCCGGCAGUAGUCGAGGAGCUGGAGACCACCUCGGUGCGUCAUCUGUGGCGGAGAGCACCGAGUGUCGACCUGCUCGCUGCGCGAAGGAAAGUGUUACAAGUGUGGCCAACCGGAACAUCUUAUCCGGGAGUGCCCGAGCUGGAUGUCGUCUGCGCCGACGGUGGCAUCAGCACCGUCUACCCCAAUGCAACUUGCGGGGCUGCCACCAGUGAUGUCGGCUGGACGCACAUCAUCACCACGUCAGCCGGAGGGAUCACGAGCACCUAGUGGCCGGGUUCUUGCCACUCAGGUGGAGGAGUAGCCUGCAGCACCAGAUGACGUUGUGGCUGGUAUUAUUCUGACUAAUGGCACUAGAGCUAGAGCUUUAUUUGAUACGGGCGCAUCUCAUUCAUUCAUUGGUACUGACCCUCGAAGUUCGCGUGUAAGGUGCCGAACUUCUGUAAUUAUGAUGUUGCGGUGGAAUGUAAUAUACCGGAUUUUAAUAUAAAAGUGAAAAUAAAUAAAAAUAGUAUGAGAUAUUAUUUUUAUUGGAUUUAGAGAAGUGAAAUAUAGGUUGGAAAUGACCUGUGCUGAAAUCGGAGCGAAAACAGAAGAUUUAGAAUUUUCUGCGAGAAAUGGGACAGAUAAAUUAGCAGAAAAUGCACAGUGUCGAAAAAUUAUGAAAACUGGAGAAUAUGUCAGAAUCAUUUUUAUGACGCUAGACUUAAAGUUUCAUGCCAUUCUGAUACCCGGAAAGUGGAAAAUAAAAUCCGACAGCUAUCUGAUAGAGAUUACAGUUCGGUACAGCUUUCGGUGAUCAAACGGGGUCGAAAGUGAAAGAUUAAAAUUUUUUUGUACUUAUUAAGUAAAAUCAAGCCUGUCUGUCAAAUUUGAGCUCAAACGGACAUUCGGGAAGGCUCCGGGAAAAAAUGUCAGUUUUAAACUGCCCGAUGUGAAUAGUGUAUAGUUGAGGGGCUAAAUUAUAAAAAGGGAUUUAAUCCUUCUCCUCCCUCAACCGUGCACCACAACGCCACACACUCACACAUGCACGCAUGCAUGGAGGGAGAGAGAAACCUCUCUUUCUCUCUCUAAAUCUCUCCCAAAAUUGGUGGCUUUGGGGGAGAUUGAAGCUUGGAAGUGAAUCGUCUUCAUCUUCUUCAUCUUCUCCAUGGUUUGGAGCAAGCUUUGAGGUGAGCUUCUUGAGCCCUCUGAUGGUAGAUCUCUAGAAUUAGCUUUGUAUGUUCUAGAGAUGGAUUUAGUAGAAUGCUUAGAUACUAAUUAGAGGUUUAUUGCUUGAUUCAUGAAGUUAAAUAAUGGAUUUAGUUGUAAUGGCAUAUAGGGCUUCAAAAUUGGGGUUUUGUAAAAUAUAAGGAUUUGAUCUAAUUUGACCCUCCGUAAACCUAAUUGUUAGGUAAACGAACGCGUUGGCGAAGUGGGUUCGGCGAUUCGUCGAGCCAUUGUGAAGAUAUUAAAGAAAUGGACGUUUAGGCUUCGUUUCCGCCUGGAGGGCCGAGGCGACAUCGUAAAAUCAUGAAAACGGAUUUGGAGUACCGUAGCACAUAACCGAAGACCUUUAAUUUCUGAAUCGUGGAUCGGAGGCCAUUCGGGUGGUCGCGCGGGAGUUCGGGCCAAACCGGGUUACGGGCGCCGCGGGAGGUCGAUUGCAAGUGGCUAUGAGCAAUCGGAACGCGAUAACAGGUGGGUUGUGUUUACCGAAGCGACUAGGUCGCCUACAUGUCAAAGAGAAAUGUGCUUCUCGUUGAUGCACAUACAGGUGUGAUGGUAGUUGAUUGCAUAGGUGAAUGCUUAGGGAUAAUGCAUGAGAUACUAUGUGAUAGCUGCCUAAGAUGAAUAAAAUUGCAUGUUAGCAUGAUUAGAAUAUGUGCAUAAUGGCAUCAUGAAUGAGUUAAAGCAUAUAAAUAGAAUAUGCAUGAUGAUGUUGUAGAUGUGGUAGAGCAUAUGAAUAGAUUGCAUGCUAGUUGAUAAUGGCAUAACGAAGCAUUGGAGUAUGUAUGCUAGUGGAUAAUCGCAUAUAGAUGCCUUGAGAAAUACAUGCUAGAUGAUAAUGGCAUAUUAGCAUUAUGAAGGUGUAUACUAGAUGUAAGAUGCAUGUUGGCUUUAUUGAACAUAUAUGCUAGAUGAAAAUGAAUGUUAACAUAUUGUUAAUUAUGGAGAUUUUGAGGUAUGUGGACAUAUUGCUAGAUUAUACAAAUAGGCAUGUGGCAUGUAAACCUAGUAUUGUGAACCUAUGAUAGAUCGAGUGGCAUUAACCUAGUGUUAUGAAUAUAGGUUGAACAAGUGAACCUAGAAUCAAGAUCUAGGUAGAGUGGCAUCGAACCUAGUGUUAGUAAACAUAGGUCGAAUAUGAACAUAGUGUCGUCAAACAUAAGUUGACAUCAAACCUAGUGUUGUGAAACCUAGAGUUAACUAAACCUAGGUGAGUGGCAUUCGAACAUAGUGUAAAGAAACACAUUGAGACACUUAACGUGGAACUAGGGAUAGGUGGAUUUCCGAGUGUUUAUUAACCAUAGUGGACAGGGUAUCCUCGGUUGGUGAGGAUUGGAUCAUACUCACAUAGUCUGUUUUGGGCUUGUGGCGGUCACUCCACACAAGCAGUGCACUUCGGAGUUGUCACACGAGCUGGGUAGCUCACGAGAGGGGUAGCUCACUGGGUGGGAUACGAGCGGGGUAGCUCCUCACCCAUUGGACUGGGAAGUGAGUCAGGCGAAGGGCGGGGUAGCUCUUCACUUGUGAGAUUUGUGCGGGGUAGCUCUUUACCUAUGAGUGGGGUAGCUCUUGACUGAUGAGAUUGAGGUUAGAGUCGAGGCGAAGAGCGGGGUAGCUCUUGCCCUUAGGCAUUUGAGUUAUGAGUUGGGCGAGGAGCGGGGUAGCUCUUCACCUAUAGGACUUUAGAUAUGAGUCGGGGCAAAGAGCGGGGUAGCUCUUCACCUACUAGAGAUGUGAGUGAAUAUCUAUGGCAUUCGAGAUAUGUGUUGGGUGAGGCAAGAGCGGGGUAGCUCUUCACCUAUGUGAUAAGAGAUCUUAGGCAGGUUAGCCUAGUGGAUUGGGUAAUGACAUGAAUAACAUAGUGGAAUGGCAUUCAUACCAUGAUUGGGACAUAGUAUAUGUUUAGUGGAUUUAAGGCCGAGGAGUAUGUGAGGGUUCCUUCACCUCGAGCCGGAUAGAGUGCGGUACUCCGCAGUUGAUUGACUCGGGGCAGAGUUGGGUGGCUAGCUUGAAUAAGGUAGAUGGAACCUUAAGGCUAGUGAUAGAUGAAAUGGAUCUAGGGUAAUAGAAACCUUAGAGAGUAGUUGGAUGUGAUAGAAAGUAGUAUCGGGUGAUCUACUAGUUUUUGCAUUACUUGCAUGGUUGCAUAGCAUGACAUUAUUGCAUUCGCGAGGCAAAAGCAUGACAUAUGUUAGUCGCAUAUUUUUGAUAUCAUAUCUAUCUGUUUAUUAAUCUAACCUGCAGUUUGCCUCCUUUGAACCUGUUGGUUGAGCUUUUUCCUUGGGUGGCCGUACCCACUGGAAAUCAUGGAGUUGGUUCUCACCCCACGUUGCUUUGGGGUGUUAUAGGUUCGCACGUGAGCGACGCGACGGCGCGAGGAAAGGGCGUAGCUCUGUAGAUAGCGCCCUACCUCAGAGACCAGAGCUAGCAGUACCCCGUCGACAUAGCUUAGGGGUAUAGGAAAUGAAUAGAACACAAUGUAUCAAAAAUGUAUUAAAGAUAUAAAUGAUGUAAUAACAUAGAUUGCAUUUGGAUGGAAAACAAGUUGUAUUUGAGUUGUAAAAAUGUAAGCUGGUGAAUGCAUGUAAUAACUUAGGAUGUGUUUAUGUUGUUUGAUACCUUCCUUUGCAAUCAGUGUAUGAAUACUGUUCCUGUUUGGAACCCCUUAUAUUAUACUGUUUGUUGAGCCUUGAACGUUCAGGGGAGACUCUGUCCGAGGUACAGGGGAAUCCCCGGUUCGUUCGGCGCUGUCUGCGACCCGACCCGGCCAAAUAGGUAGAGGGUCACAGGGCGUGACAUCGCGCCCUUCGAUUGAUCAAGCGAUUCGGCUGAUGAGGGAUCGGAUCAGCCGGAUUCAAAGCCUCUACAGUAAAUUCGGUUUGGCUGGAAGAGCCAAAUGUACGGACCAAGCAAAAACUGAAGUCAGCCGAUGAGCCGAAUAGCUAAAGAACACAGGAAUUGACCGGCUUGAAAAGCCGAAUGCCUUUAUAUUCACUGAUAAGAAGUACAGGGGUCGAGUGUGCCGGAUGGCAUGCAGACUCGGUUGAUCUAUUUAAAACUACUCCUAGGAAGAACAGUAAAUACGGGAAAGAGAAAUUACAAGUAGACUACUCCUAGAAAAUGCAAGAAAUUGCGAGGAAAAUAAGGGCGGUCUUUUGUUCAUAGAAAAAAAGACCCAUUUUUAGGGCGUUAUUGACCUAUUUAUAGAUCGCCCCUUGUGAUCAGUUAUUAUCUGUGCAUGAUCAGCCACUACUCCUGAUUCUCCGGACCAUUUUCAGCCCACUUUCAGCCGAUCAGAACCGUUUGCAACUGCUUACGGUUACUGUAACCUCCCUUAAUUAGCGCAACAGUUUCUCUUCCGGUGCUCCUGGUGUACGGCAAGAUUGAUGCUUUUGAAAGGAAUACCGGCGUACCAUCUGUCCGCGCCUAAUUUCCUCAACAAUUGCCCCCUCGGCAACUUUCGAAGUAACGCUUCGGUAGCUGGCGUAAUCUGAGGCGCGAUUACUUUUCAAACUCUUGGUACGGUUUCGUCUCAACCGUCCACUUUUUUCUACUGCCGAAAUCCUGCCAUCGCUUCAAUAACAAGCGCGAUCCGAGGCGUGGUUCUCGGUCCAAUCAAAUUCAAAUUCUCUGUACGAGUAGCUGACGUAAUCCGAGGCGUGAUCCUCCGUACGGUUCAAUCUUGGCUGUCCAUUUUCUUUUUUACGGCUCUGAUCUCGCCCUCUAUUUUUGUCUUAUAUGUGGCAUUAAUUAGGUCAUCUUAAUUACCGCCAUCUAUUCAUCAUUAUAGCCAUCUUCGGAACUCGCUUUGAUGCGACGAUUCGAUGCGACGACAACCUUUUCUUCUUAGCCAAGCUUCUCAUUCCUUUUUGUACUCAAACCUCAUCUUCGUCGCUUCUUUUACUUCUCUUCGUCUUCUUUGCUAUGUCUAUACUCCAGCUUGGCCCAUUAUUUUCUUCCUGAUACUUUAGAUUUUCCUUCAAUCUUUCGGCAAUGGCGCCGCUUCCGCCUCUGCCUUCCUUUCCAACACUGGAUUAUACCAUACUUAAACCAUAUCUCUCUUUAGACCCCACUAGAUUAAUCUUGGGUCCCUCCUUUACUGAAGACCCAGCUCCUGAUGAUUUCCCUUACUCCAGUGAUGGUCUUCCAUUAAUGGCUAAAUCCAUUCAUCUCCACUCCUGGUAUUCCUCGGCUUCGACAGGAAAAAGUCUUCGAACUUGGCCGAGUGUUUCAGAUGCUUACUUGGCUUGGUUGGAUCGAGUGGAGGCUGUUUAUGGUGAUUCUUGGAAGGAGAUCGGGAUUUAUGAAGCUAUUAGGCUACCUAGGAAGCCUCCUGUAGCCGACAACCUUCUGUUAGCUUCUGCUCUCUAUUUUUGGUCCCCUGUUUUCAACGUUUUUCUUUUCAGAGGAGGACCUCUUACUCUAACUCUUUUUGACAUAGCCGCUAUCGUUGGACUGUGUCCUCAUGGAGUUACCAUCUCUAUAGCUUAUAAUCCUGAUGGCGUGUCUGACUUUGAGGCUCAUCUCGACCUCAAUGACUUGGCCUAUUCUAAGUUCCUCUGUAAGUUUGCAGGCGAAUCCCCUGCUCCUGUCACUAGGAAAGAACAUACAGCGUUCCUCCUACAUUGGUAUGCCACAAUCUCUUCUGCACUCGUUUGCAGAAAAUCAAUCGGGACUUUGUCCCAAUUGCCGUUGGUUUAUCUAACGGCGAUAGAUUAGCUCUAUAGCCUUAUUUUCUUACCUUCGUCUAUAGGAAAAUCUUUGAUUCCAUUAAACCACUACCCUCUGGAGAUGGUGUAACAAUCAGCUCGGGUUGUGGUGUUUUUUCGUUUUUGCAAAUAUUUCUGCAAAUUUAUUUUCAUAAAUUGUGCCGAGAACCUCUAGAUCUAAACUCGGCUGCUCAUUUUGACUCUUAUGGGCUUGCUCUCGGCUGUCCUCAGCCGUUAACAUCAGGCCAUCCUCUUGAUUUUAUCACCUAUUUUAAAAUUUUUUAUGAAUCGGGUCCUCAUUUCCUCAUUUCUUGGUCUCCUUUUGCUGAUUACGUCACCGGCCCACCUUGGUUUUUAGCUAGGUACGAGGCCAUUCAAGGUGAACUUGCUUCUUCUCGUGCCGACGAAUAUUCAGAUGUCUAGUACUCUUUUUUGGCUACAAGGGAUUUACACAUUGGUUUGAAAUCGCGCUCAAAAUUACUGCCCAGUACUGAGGUUUACUCCCCCCAGUUCGCAGUGCGUCAAUUUGGAUUUACGCAAGCAAUCCCUGCUCCAGCCAAGUUCUUCAUGGCCAAUACUGCCGUUCAUCGUCCUCCUACCAAAAGUAUAGCCGAUGCUAAUCGAAUUUUGGCCAUGGGGAAUCGUCUUCGGCGAUUUUUCAAAUUAUUAAGCUUUAGGCCAAAUUAUACAGGAGUAGUAGGUUUCCGCUAUACCGUUACUUGGGAUAGUUUUGUCAAUAGCACCUUCAAUUUUCCUACCUCGCAGGCACACCGCAAAACUAUUCACCCAAUCAGUAAAUCUCUUACUUAUGGCUGAUUUUCUAUUCCACAUAAUUUCUGCUUAUCUAUUUUCCAUUUACAGUGUCCUAUCCAAGCAAAAGUCUUUCGGACGACACCGCUGCCCUAUCUGUAUCAAAAAAAGUCGGUUUGACGAUUCGUUGAGUUUGUGUGGAGUUCUUGGCAAAAGGGGCGGUCGUAGCCUUCGUUCCUACUCGGAGAGCCGAAGCGACGUUCUAAGAGAUUGCCGAGUUCCGUUCCUCGAGUUGUAGCAUCGCCAAAAGGUGGGUGGUGCCAUCUCGAAGCAGUUGAACUGCUCCCUAUGUCUAAGUCUCAUUGUUGAUCUCAUGAGCAUCUUGCCAUAUUGCAUUAUAGGGUAUAUAAUAUGUUGUUGUGUAUUCUUGCAUGCUAGUGGUAGUGUAGAGUCGCUUACUUGACACUUGGACCUAGUAUGUGUGACAUGAUGACUUGGAACCCUAUAAUGAGAAGAUAAAUGAUGAAUGUGCCUUAUGUGGAUGAAAACCUAGUAAAGUGUAAACUAGUGUAUUGGAAACAUGUAAUGAGAACGAGUGGCAUCUAGUUAAUGUUGAACACAAGAAUGAGUGGCAUGAAAACCUUAGUGUAGCUAAAACACUAUGAGAUUGAGUACAGGAACACAUUGAUUCCAUGAUCACGAUAACCCUAGUUGGCAGGGUAUCCUCAGUUGACGAGGAUUGGAUCGACUCACAUAGCCUGUCUGCGCUUAUAGUGGUCGCUCCACACAAGCUAUGCACUCCGGAGUUUUGGUCACUAGAGGGGCAGUCGUGAGCUGCCUGGACAGUAGCCAGCUGUCCGCAGGCGGUCUCGGGGGUAGUCGAGUGAUCAAAAUCUCCUCCCCUAUGAAACUUCAAGACGUGAGAUGGUGGCGAACCUUCGGGUUAGUCGAUUGAUUGGGUAAUCUAAUGAAUUACAUCAUUAUUGAGCAUGAUAGCUUGGUAGUAGCCUUUACUUAUGUUGCAUGCAUGAUUAUAGAUUGAGGCAUGGUAGAUUACUUUCAUAUCUCCUUAUUGUUAUCGCUUUUAAGUUUAUCUAUCUAUCUGUUUAUCUAUCUAUGCCUGCUUAGACCUAGUGGGGAGAUCGGCGGAGUGGGCGGCCGAACCCACUGGGAACUAUGGACAAUAGUUCUCACCCUACUUUGUUGCAGGGCCGAGCUCGAGUACACCCGGCGAGGAUCACGGUAAGGGCUUAGCGCCCUAGAGGUUGUAGAUGCUUCCUAUUGCAUUAGUAGUCACCCUUUGUACUUGAGAGUAGAUGAUGUAUAGGGUGAGAUGAUGUGAAGAAUUGUAAACCUUAUGUUUAUGUUUUGGAAGUUUAAAUGUAAUCAAAUGUAUUAAAGUUGCAUGAAUGUAAUAGUUAAGUAUCUCUCUUUUAUUCACUUGUUUAUUACUCGUGACGCUUGCUCUUGAUUGUUGUGCUCCCGCUGUUGUUGUAUGAUCGUGUAUGUAUUCAAGUGAUUUCCUGAGAACUUGUUGUACAUGAUCUCGUUGUCUAGUCUUGGGCGGACAGGGGAGGUCCUGUCCAUUCGGCGUCUGUUCGACGCGUCGGAACCGGACCAAAUUGGUAGCGGGUCUCGGGGCGUGACAGAGAGAGCUAGGGUUGAGGGAAAGUGAGAAAGAAAGAGAGCCAUCCCCUUUCUUUACCUCCCACUCAUGUAACAAGUGCAAAUAAUCCCCUCAACUUUUAGCUUCACCAACAGCCCAAAAUAGGCAUUUUCGGCUACGGGGACCGGUCCUUGGAGUCAGGGACCGGACCCCCAUGGUCCAGAAUUUUCAGUUUUCGUUGAUUUUGCUCCGUUUUGCUCCGUUUUCGCCCGUUAGGCCUCCGAUUCAUUUCAAAUCGAACCGACUCCAAACACGUUUUCGAGCGUAUUUAAAUCAUCUUUUUACCCAUGCUAAUGCCGGAUUUAGUUCACAGCCCAACAUAGCCUUUCGGGUCCCAUUUUCGUGCCUACGCGCACCGAAACGUCCAAAUGCUUCCGGACUUCACCGGAACUUUACCGGAACAAUUCAAAUGGCUUUCCAAACCAAUACACACCAUAACUUCAUAAUUUUAGAAGUCCGGUACCUUACAUCCUCCCCUCCUAAAAAAAAGUUCGUCCUCGAAACUAACUCACAUCAACCCUAAUUUACAGCUCAACUCAACUUAUCGAGCAACAUAGGGUUCCAAUGCACUUUUAUACUCCGGAGUGGCCUUUCACUCAUUGGAAUCAUUCAAAGGUCCACUACGGAGGAUGUGAGACCAAGUUCACUCACAUUGGCUAAACGCAACUCCAAAAGUGCAUUGCAAUCUCCGCAAGUCUCGGUGGUAGCGUAAGUCGACACUUGAUGACUCUUCACGCUCCAACACCGCUCGCUAACCAGCGCACCAAGGUCAUACCAUUUCCUUCGAGACCAGGACUACCCGUCGUCCUCGUGGCGUGGAUCUAACAAAAUGCACCGACUAGUCGUAUCUUCCACCACCACGACACAACACACCCGAGAAGCCCUCUCGAAUCACUCAAGUGUUCACAAGUUGACACUCCAUCACUCGAUCAUACAAGAGUCUAUACUAUCAGGUACGACUCUUCCUCGCAUCAACUUCUCCCCUUGGGAACGCACCCUGCUUCGAUCACCGACAUUGCCUAAAAGCAAUAUCGUGGUGCAUCGGCUAAUCGCGAAUGUCCCAAUCACAAUCGGAUUUCCGCUCUAUUAUGAGAUGGCACACUCCAGCACAUCUCCAAUUCCUAUCCACAAAAGAGCAUUAUCCUCAAGCUUUAACUCACUCAAGAGCAUCAACUCCAAUCCUCACGUGGCAAUCCAUUAUUCAUGUGUCUCCUAGAGACCACUCUACUUUCUCUUUAUCCGUUGACAUCCUAAGCCACGGCCAUCUCGACUUCGCUCUCACAACGAAUUAACACGAAUACCCGUUCGUGAAUCCCGGCCAAAUUCCUCGACAGAGUUAUCGGCCAAACCGACUACCGCGGGUUCCACAGGUGACCAAUGGUCUCAAAUCCUACGUAACCCUAUAACCUAAACCUAUCUCAACACACGUUUCAUCUUUCGCUCGCAAGCGCAGACCCAAUUAGCAUUAGACGAAAUCCUCAUUGGAGAAUUCGCACACACUCCAACCAGGAGCAACCACGACCCCAAACCACAUCAAGUCCCCGGGUUGGGUCAUAACCACACUCUCUGUAUCCUCGAUCACAUGAUCUAACAUGUGGCAUUCCACGUUCCCGGGUCUAAGCUCGGACUACCGCCCCGACAAAAACUCUGCCCUACCUCAGGCCGCUGUCACCCACAGCUGAUUGCACCUGUCCAUAAGGACCUAGGCUCCACAGUCCACGAGUGGUCCAGGCACGGAUCGUCCCCAAGCAAUACCCGCAAUCGUCGUCUCACACGACACGCUCACCCGAGCAACACACGCCACUACCGGCUCCUAUGCACCCAGUGUGAGCCAUCAGCCCUACGAGUGAUCCAUGGCCCGCUUCACACUUAGCAGUGCUACAGUGCUACUGCCAUCUCACUCUCCCGGCUGAGUCAUUACCACACACCACGAGUACCUAUACUCGAGCGCUCUAUACACCGUAUACUAAGUCCAACAUUAGGCAACCCUGCCUAUGCACACCAGCCAUAAGCACGACUCACCCACCUCACUUCAAGGUACUACCAGGCCCACGUGCCCGUACCCAGCAACUAAUCGGCUACUCUCUCAACAGUAACUCUACUUUCACUGUUCGAUCUACCGGAACAAUGUUCACACACUCGGACUACUCGGGUAUCCACGAGUAUCAUAGCUCAACUCUCGCAAUCUAUUAACCACAUUGCCUUGAGAGUUGCUUCACCAUUUCCUUUCCACUACGAGUCUCACUUCCCGUCUAGAACUCACUGCUAGCAAUUCGCUAGUACCGUCUAGCUCUCUACCUGCUCCAGCAGGCGCUAUACUUUCACGCGCAAGCAUGCCUUACACCUACUCGAUCACUGGUCCAUACUAUACUAACGUGUAAAUAGCAGCAAAAGACCACAAGGUAAUUGCAUGCAAUUGCUCAAACCUAUAUCAUGCUGAAGCGUAUGAUUGCUUUAAUUAAAUCAUACCUACGGUGACAUUACGAGCAGCAGCAGGUUCCUCAACCUGGGUCACGUAUCCAUGGCCGCUUGGCGCUCUCCGCGAACCCUCCAGCUGCCCAAUCAUCACCUCUCGCUCUCCAGACCGUGCCAAAGGCUGCACAUCCACCAUCUAUCCAGAAGAUGAGAAUGCCGUCGCCAUCGGCAGGGGUUGUCUAUCACCCAAGGGGCAAUCAUAUCUCACGUGGCCAGAUUGCUCGCAAGAAAUACACCUUUCCUUUCGCAGCGCACACCGCUGCGUCCUGUGGGAUCCACCACAAAUCACACAUCCCGCAGAUAUGGCAGCAGCAGACGGAACUCCACCAUACUGCCACGGAAUCACUAGGGCGGAUGCAAUAGACGGUGCAGGCGACACUCCUUCUGGGCACUGACGGACCAUAUGCCCCGCCUGACCACACCUAAAGCAUCGUCCUGCCCUAUGCUCACAAUUCCUUACGCGAUGCUCUCCACCACAAAAUACACAUUGCUUAGGUCUCUGGCUAACGGACCUCCUUUUCCGGUACUUCGGGGGCUUCUGGGAACUAAAUUGUCCCCCCGAACUACCGCCAGGCCGUUUCUUUCCUCUGCCUCUCUUGAACGCCUAACGCUCAACGUCAGCGACAUAUCGCGACACCCCGCACGCCCAUGCUCCACACAUCCGUGCUUCGCAUGUGACCCGUACGGCACACGUGUCCUCAACGCUCCUGGCAAGGAAGCCAACAAGCCCCACACCGUGCUUCUCGACCGUCCCCACGACAUCACAUUGCCAUGGCGCACCGCGCCCUCAAUUCCCAUAGGUUCGCCACAUAAGGCCCCAUACAAACGAGCCGGCCUCACUCCGCGUUGCUACCCAUCUGACCCCUCCAUGGCUCGACCACACCUGGCCAUACACACUAAUGGUCUGGUCUCUCAAGGUUCACCAUACGGAUACUGAUACCGCUUGCCUCACUGGGUUUCGCCCCUCUCGAGUCUCCAAGACCUACGCGUCCGACGCUCCCAUUUCACCUCCCCAGCCGCCGCAUUGAGUACCAUAGAACCCGAAGCCGCCAGAGGAACACUAGCCGGCAGGGGAUGCGCCGCCGCCGGAGCUACCAAAAUGCUCACACCGUCAGGCGCAUUAGGCGUGAGAGCCGAGGGCGCGGGCGGACCAUGGCCUUCAAUUGCCGUCGCGGCCGCCGCCGCCACUUGCUGCCCCAAAAGCUCCUGGAGCCGCUCGAUCUGACUCCCCUAGCGUUGAAUCACGCCAACCAGCACAGUCAUAUGCGCCCGCAGUCCUUGCACUUCGCUUGACCCAGCUCGCUCAGGCACCUCGGGAGGUGGUGCCGGAACGGAUCUACGCGUGUAGUGUCUCUUUGGUGCCAUUAGCUCCUGAAACACAACAACUCGGUUAAUUACCUUAACUCGUUAAUCUCGUCGCAAUUAUUAGACAACGCGACUCAAAUCAGGCGAAAGUCAUACAAGGGUGCCUAUUCUCAUCACUAGGUUUCAUGUUGUAUGCAUCCAACAUGAACACCCUCGGGUGAGAAUAAACAGAACCUUGAAUCCACCUCUAACAUCCGUCUUAAAGGUUUACUAACUUGACCCAAUCGAUUCAACUUCCACCACCGUAUAGGUCCACACUCCACUCACGCACCUAUAAGCUUAGGGUUUACCGUCCUAGGGUCUUCUAGGUCCAUCCUAGACUUCUCUCUUUACUUGCUCUUAACCGCUCUGAUACCAUUUCUCUAUCACGCCUCGAGCCCGUUACCUAUUUGGUCCGGUUCGGGCGCGUCGAACAGACGCCGGACGGACAGAACCACCCAUGUUCGCCCAAGGCUCAAGCGACGAGAUCCUAUACAUCAAGUCCCCAGGAAAACAACUUGAAACAUGUACAAGAUUAAACAACCAUACGAGGGUACAAUCAGUGCUAAACAACUAAGAGCAAGUAUCACGAGUAAUGUACAAGUGAAUAAAAGAGAGAUACUAAUCUAUUACUUUCAUUCAACCUUUUUAAUACAACUUGAUUACCAUUUAGCUUCCAAAACAUGAACAUAAAGCUUACAUCUUCCAAAAUAGUCUCACAACCUAUACAUCAUCUACUCUCAAAUAUACAUAUGGAAACUCUAAUGCAAAUAGGAAGCAUCUAUCAACUAGCACUAGGGCGCUAAGCCCUUACCACGAUCCUCAGCUGGCGCACUCGUACUCGGCCCUGCAACAAAGUGGGGUGAGAACUAUUGUCCAUAGUUCCCAGUGGGUUCGGCCGCUAACUCCGCCGAUCUCCCCACUAGGUCUAAGCAGCCAUAGGUAGAUAGAUAGAUAAAUAGAUAGAUAACUUGAAAUCAAUGACAAUGAUAAGGAGAAAUGCAAGUACUCUACCAUGCCUUAAUCCAAUAUAAUGAAUGCAUGCAACUCAUAGCAAAGGCUAGCUACCAUACUACUAUGUUCAACAAUAAAGCUAUUCAUUAGAUCACCCAAUCUCUCGGCUAACCCGAAAGCUCGCUCUCAAUCUCACAUUUUUAAGUCUCAUAGGGGAGGAGUCUCACUGAACUACCCCGAGACCGCCUGCGAACAGCUAGCUACUGUCCGGGCAGCUCACGACUGCCCCUCAGGUGACCAAAACUCCGGAGUGCACAGCUUGUGUGGAGCGACCACUACAAGCGUAGACAGGCUAUGUGAGUAGGAUCCAAUCCUUGUGAACCGGAGAUACCCUACCAACUAGGGAUGGCAUCAUCAUGGAAUCAACGUACUACUAUACUCAUUGGUCUAGUGUUUCAACUACGCUAAGGAACUCAUAUGCCACUCGUCAUAGGUUUGCAUUAACUAGAUGCCACUCAUCAUCAAUUAGAUGUUCUCGAUACACUACUUGCACAUACUCACUAGGUUGUCAUUUACCUAGAUUCCAAUCCACUAUGUGCUAUCACAUAUAGGGUUAAGCUAUGUCACAUUAACCUCAUGCAUACUAGGUUCAAGUGCUACAUCCACCAAACUACAUUAACACUAGCAUGCAAGUAUGGAUACAAGUAUCUAAACACCCUAUAUGUAUCAUGUUCAUAUCACUACAUUUUGAUCUCAUGCAUACUAGGUUCAGGUGUCCAAGCCAAUAACACUAUAUUACACUAGCAUGCAAGAAUAUGUAAUAACAACUAAGCACCUUAAUUGUACACAACUACUAGGUUUUCAUUCAACUAGAGUUUAAUCCACAUUAAUCAUGUUAUUAUGGGGUUUCGCAACACUAUGUCCCAAUCUCAUGCAUACUAGGUACAAGUAUUAAGCAAAUAACACUACACUACCACUAGCAUGCUAUAACAUGUAACAAUUACCAUCUAGCACCCUAUAAUGCAAUAUCACAAUAUGCAACUUGAUAAACGAUAACUUAGACAUAGGGAGCAGUCCAACUGCUUCGAGAUGGCACCACCUACCUCUCUGGUGAUGCAACAAAGUAAAGAAUCCAAAUCUUGCGACCACAAGUCGCCGCUACGACUUCUCGGGUCAACUCUGAGCCACGAACACUUGUUUCAGCCGGAACGUCGCACCUGCUCAACGAAUCGACGAACCAUCGCCUCCCACGCGUUCAAACACCUAUCAAUUAGGUUGAUAUAUGAUCAAUUUAGAUCAAAACCCUCUAUUUGUCAAAACCCCAUUUUUGAAGCCUUAGAUGCCAUUAGUGCUAAAUACCCCAAAUCAAUCCAAGAUUUAGGUAAUAGUGAUUUCAUUAGCAUCCUAGGAUUCCAAAAAUACCACUUCUAGAGAUCAAAAUCCAUGAUCUUCCAAAAACCCAUUUUAAACCCUAGGUUUACAACUAGGCAAGAAUCCACCAUUAGAGCUUCGGAUUCAAGCUCUAAUCAUCUAUCUAGCAUAUUAGAGUUCCACUAAAUCCAUUCUUAAGAGUAUAAAACCCAAACUCUAAAGAGAUGCCAUUAAAGCCUCACAAAGCUUACCUCCAAAGCUUACCCUCAUGGUGGAGAAGAUGAUGAUAAAGAUGGUGAAUCCUCUCUUGGCUUGAAUCUGCACCAAUUCCCCUUCCUUCUUCACCUCCUAGAGAGAGAAAGAGAUCUUAGAGAGAGAAAGAGAGAGCUAGGGUUAAGGGAAAGUGAGAAAGAGAGAGAGAGCCAUCCUCUCUCUUUACCUCCCACUCAUGUAACAAGUGCAAAUAACCCCCUCAACUUUUAGCUUCACCAACAGCCCAAAAUGGGCAUUUUCGGUUACGGAGAUCGGUCCUUGGAGUCAGGGACCGGACCCCCAUGGUCCAAAAAAUUGAAAUUUUCAGCUUUCGUUGAUUUUGCUCCGUUUUCGCCCGUUAGGCCUCCGAUUCGUUUCAAAUCGAACCGAGACCUUCCAAACAUGUUUUCGAGCGUAUUUAAAUCAUCUUUUCACCGACGCUAAUGCUGGAUUUAGUUCACGGCCCAAUAUAGCCUUUCGGGUCCCGUUUCUGCGCCUACGCACACCGAAACGCCCGAAUGCUUCCGGACUUCACCGGAGCUUCACCGAAACAAUUCAAAUGGCUUUCCAAACCAAUACACACCGUAACUUCAUAAUUUUAGAAGUCCAGUACCUUACAUCGGCCUUCUUGUUGCACACCACGUUAUCGACCUGCUGGGCCGAAUUUAUCACACAGCCGACCCUGUCGAUCGGCUCCUCUUGCCGAAGCUCCUCUAAAGCUUCGGUUCCUGAUUCUUCAUGCUCCAUUUUAACCAGCUUGGUGGCUCCUCGGCUGCCACCAUAGCUCCUUCAUCUCUAGAGAGAAUCAAUUGCACUCCCUCUUCAGUAACUCUCACGAAAGAGAUUUGAUCUGGGUCAGCGUCGGCCCAAUUGAUGUGGCCGAUCUCUUCUAAAUUAACGUCCACCAUUUGGGGCCGUUCUUCGGCCUGGAUUUCUUCAACUCUGUCACCUAUCCACUGGAAUAAUUUUUCGUGGAGUGUGGAUGGCACGCACUCAUUUUUGUGUAUCCAAUCGCGUCCGAAUAGUAGGUUGUAAUGGCUAUCUCAUCUAUUACAAAGAAUGCAGUUCUUAAGGUUUUAGAACCUACCGUAAUCUCGGCCGUGAGCACCCCUCGAGCUUGUUGACCGCUUUCGGUGAAAUCGGUCAUAAUUGUGUCGGUUGGCUUCAAUUCGUCCUCGCCCUUGCCUAAUUUCUUGAAAAAUGAAGUGGGCAUGACGUUGACCGUUACUCCACCAUCCACCAUAACUCGGCCUACCGGCCGACCUUCGAUCAAGGCCCGAAUGAACAAAGGCCUCACAAACCUAGUCUGAAUGGCCGAAGGUUUUUCGAAAACCACCGCAUCGGCCGGUUUAACAUCUUCUAAUUGCAAUUGGGCCACCGUAAGCCCAACUUCUUCAUCUACCAUCUCCUCAUUGUACUCAACAUACUCUGCCUUAAAAGACUGCGGCAGAGUAUACACCAUGUUGACAUCGGCUGAUCCUUCGUCAGCCGAUUUUCCUUGAAUCCUCUAUUUCUUUUCUUCGGACUCCUUGGCUGUCUCAGCUGAGGAAUCACUCUCCAUCGGUGCCUCCCUCUCUUUUUGAGGCCAUCUCGCUUUUUUGAUGAUUGUCUCGAGGGAGGCUAUUUUUUCUUCUAACUCCUUCCUAGUCAUCUUCUCCUCUGGUUCGACCGUGACCGGCCGUUCUACCUUUGACUUUAGCCAAGGAACGGGUGAUGAACCACCCGCCUCAUGAUUGUUUUUCAUUAGACGAAAAAGGUGUAGUAGCUCGUUAGGUCGUCUCCACACGUUCAGUCUUAUCCCUUUUGCCUCUUCAUAAUGUUGCCUCUCCUCGGCUUGCAUCCUCUACUGCCGACGCUUCUGUGUUUUUGUUAACAUCGGCCCUUACCAUUUGGCCGAUGAUUUGACUUCGACUUCAUGCCACUGAUCUACCGGCACAUUUGUCGAUACCUUCACAGUUCUCAAAUGAUUCUUCAAGAUCUCUCUCCUUUCCCAAGGUCUCGGCCAGGGCUGUAUGCCAAGCUCAUUUACUAAUCUCCGACCGAGGAAUUCUAUAUCUCCUUCGGUCAUUCCUUCGAAUUCUGGUUCUGGUCUCGGCCUGGCUUGAUGCUGCCAGUGCGGCCGAUACCCAGGGAAUCUUUGCUUUGAGCCGAAUGGUUUCUCUGGAUAACUCCAUCGGUUGUUGCAUUUUUCUUUUCUAUUAUAAUAAUCAAGCAGAACUUUCUGCAUUAAUAAAUCCUUCUUGCGUUGAACAGAAUCAACUUCUGGUUCCGUCUCGUUAGAGGCUUCAUCCGAGCCAUCCUCUGAAUUAUCAUCUCCAUCGGGAAUUUCAUCCUAUUCUUCGGGAAAAGCCGCCAACUCUCUCCAUUCGUUGCUUCUUUUCUUGUCGUUGACGAUAACUUCCCAAUCCUUCUUUGUUAUGCAAGAUGCAAAGCCGAAGCGUCUUCUUGACGAAAGCAAUGUUCUCAGCGGUCUUCUUGUCUGCGACCGCCUUUCCUUUGAUAUCCACCAUAUUUACCUGCGAAGGAAAUGUAUUCUUGUCAAUUUCCAUAGCUUUGUUUUCAUGAUCGGCAAAUAUGAGCCGACCUUCCUCUAUUUCUUCUCGGAUCUGUCUUUUUGCAGCCGCUUUUCCUUUUCCUACCAUAUUGACCUGUGAUGGAAAAGGAUUCUUAUCAAUCUCCAUAAUUUUAUUUUUUUGAUCGGCAAAUAUGAGCUGACCUUCAUUUAUUUCUUUUUGGAUUUGCCUCUUAAAGGCAGUACAUUCGUUUGUUUAUGACUCCAGGAAUGGUGCCAUUUACAAUAUCUUCUUUGUUUCAAUUCUUCUACUGGAGGUAUUGUUUGACCUUCCUGUAAUUGAAUCCCUCCGUCUUUUAGAAAUCGAUCAAAAAUUAGAUCGUUCUUUGAGACAUCAAACGAAUAAGUAUAUGCCAACACUCGUGCCUUCGCCUCACUUGAUUUAGCGCGCUUCAACAAAGCACAUUUAUAUGGCUGUCGGUUUUUCACCAUUUCGGCUGUAUAUAUUUCGGCUUCAUCAGCCGAAUUUUCAACCUCUUCAGAUGAAUUUGGCUCCUCAUGAGCCGAAGACUCUUCAAGGAAAGAGAUAUUUUUCUCCUUCCCUUUGUUCCAAUCUUUAUUUCGGCUCCAUCUAGGCUGAUCUUCAUUAUUUCCUUUUCGGAAUUGCUCGUAUUGAGCAACCCGAAUUCCCAAAUCGAAAAUAUUUGGAAAAUAUUUAUCUUCAAAAUGAUCUUUGAUUUUGAAGUGCAAACCAUUAAAUGCCAUUUUGGCAAAUUCCGACUCUGGCAUUCUCACAAAACAACGGCUUCUAGCCGUCUUAAACCUAUUCAAAUACUUCUCAACCGAUUCGCCUGUUCUCUGUUUGAACUGGGCUAAAUCAGCAACCGAUAAUUCCGGUUCCGUUCAAUAAAAUUGUUCAUGAAAUUUACCUUCUAAUUCGCCCCAAUGUCGGACAAAAUUAGCCGGCAAACUUGUAUAUCAAGUGAAAGCCGUUUUGGUCAACGAGGUAUUGAAUAAUCUUAAUUUUAAAUUGGAUCUGCCGCGGCUUCAUGGCACUGAGCUGUAAACCGUGCGACAUGUUCGACCGUAUUUUCGGUCUCAUCGCCGAAAAACUUAUCAAACUUCGGCAUUUUCCAAUUUGCCGAGUAUGGAUGCUCUGCGUCUAUUUUUGCAGGGUAUGGUGAUCGAAAUACGGGCCGCAUUGCCGGCCUUGCGCCUACUCUAAAAGUGUUUCGGAUAGCUUCCUCUGUAACAUACCGAAACCUCGGUAAUUAAAUUUGAACCUUGGUCAAAUUGACCAAAGUGCGAGGUUGGUACACUUCGGAGAGGCCGAAGGCGUCAAAUAAUGCAAAAAUGCAUUACUGGUGUAAGGUACCGGACUUCUAAAACUAUGAAGUUACGGUGUACAUUUAAAUGAUUCCGGUGAGGUUGCGGUGGAAUGUAACAUGCCGGAUUUUAAGUAUAAAGGUGAAAAUAAAUAAAAAUAGUAUGAGAUACUAUUUUAUUGGGUUUGGAGAAGUGAAAUAUAGAUUGGAAAUGACCUGUGCUGAAAUCGAAGCGAAAAUAGAAGAUUUAGAAUUUUCUGUCAGAAACGGGGCAGAUAAAUUAGCAGAAAAUGUACAGUGUCAGAAAAUUAUGAAAACUGGAGGAUAUGUCAGAAUAAUUUUUAUGAGGCUAGGUUUAAAGUUUCAUAACAUU